This 153269-nucleotide long non-coding RNA is filed under the name Pelobates cultripes (western spadefoot toad). The record is from RNAcentral. Lineage: Eukaryota; Metazoa; Chordata; Amphibia; Anura; Pelobatidae.
GGAAGAUCAAAAUUCUGUUUGUCGUGUGCCUAUUGACAAAUUGAACAAAGAUUCUAGAUAUCUGCUUGUAGUGUUAAGGAGGUAAGUGUGCUUACUGAUUGUGGUGUUUUUUUUCUUUUUUGGGGGGGUAGGCAUGUUUUACAUUUGGCUGUCACUAUGGAGACAGACUCUGAUUGACAUUGCCCAAGUAGCACUGUUUAGCAGUAGUCAUGAUACACUGUUACAUUGCAGCCAGAAUAAGUGUGUAUUUAAUCCCAUGGCAGAUGACAUAUUUCUUAAAGCAAGUUUCAGAUGCCAUAUUGUACUUAAGCAAUCGAUUGAUACCUUAGAAGAAUAUAGGAGCUGUGCAAAGAAGAAAAAAAAAGGUUAAAGGUCCAUCACUAGCAGAAGGGCAUGAAGAAUGUAAUACUGCCUGCUGUCAAUGGGUAGAUGACAGCUACAAGAAGUAUAGUCCCUUAAAAAACUGCUGAACUAACACUCGUAAUGCUGCCCGGGACACGUUUUCUCGAUUUGGUGCCAAUAUCAGUUUCCUGCUGAGUCUCAUCUAGAGAGACACAAACAUGUGUAAGAGGGGGCAGGCUGGGGAGGGGGAGAAGAGGGCUGAGAGAGAGGGGCAGCAGCGCCUCCCCCGGCUGAAUGGACAAGAUGCAGAGAUCUAUCAGUCAGUGAGCCGGGUUGUAUACCAAGCACUCAUAGACAGAUAUGUAAUAUCAUGGGUUAUAUCAAACAGAAAUAUUAUUAUAUAUUUUUUAAAGAUUUUUAUUUUCAUAAAAAGUGAAAUGGGGUACCGAAAAGAAAAGGGGGGGUGGGGGAUAUUAUGUUUUAAAUUAAAUAAUUUUCAAAAUAUAAAUAAAAAAAAAAUAUAUAUAUAUAUAUAUGUGUGUGUGUGUGUAUGUUUGUGUGUGUGUAUACAUAUAUGUACAGACACACACACACACACACACACGAGGCUUUCUGCAGUACUAUAAUAUGGACACACACUUUAAUAACACAAUUGGAGUUAUCUUUAACCGUAACCUGUCUAUUUUAAGGACAACAUUUUGACAGUAAAUAGCUGGGAACAGGCGCCCCCAUUGUAAUGAAAGUACAAUAAAGAAGCAUUAUUAUAUAUUUAAUUUUCAUUUGCCUCACAUGCCACCCUAAGCGUCUGAAGAUCAGACAGACAGUGAGAUCUAAAAUCUAUCUAUAUGCAAUACACUGAGUUUUAAUAUUAUUAGCUCAUGUUUGUAUGUAUUUGCACUUGCUCUAAAAAGAGUAUAGUCAGAGUAUCUCAAACAUAUAAUAAUGUCUGACACAUGUUGGAAUAAAAACAAAGCAGACAAAAUAGCAGAAUUUGCAAAGUUGUCAAUUAAUGGGUCUUUCCUUUAUACAGGGAAAUCAUUUUAUUUGUUCUGCUUCUGUUAUGUAAUUCUAUCUGUCCUUGUCACUAACUCCCCAUAUGUUUUACUUGGAAUUCUAAUCGAUCUCUGUUUAACCCCUUGUAAUCAGGGCAUGUUCUCAAUAGACAGAUGGAGACCUGUACUGUACUGAGAAACUGUCCCUGGCACUUCUAAGGCUAAUAAAACAUUUAUUUCCUGAUAAAUGUAAUCAGUGACUUCAAACUGUGUCUGUGAAAACGUAAAAAACACAUAGAAAGGCAUUGCAAAGAAAAAGCAGGAAUCCCAUCAACUGAACUGGCUUUCAAUACAAGCCAAUUCUGUGCUUGCAUCAUUUUCCAAUCGCUCCAGAAACAGGCAACAUUUAAUCUGACAGCACAAACAUUGGGGAUUUCUUUUAAAGGUUAUCUCAAAUCCCACCAAACAAACACCAGCACAGUGUGCUUUCUGUUUACUUUUUUUUUUUUUGUAACUGGUAUAACAUUUACAUGCAAGAGUGAACCAAAUCUUACAUUUAUAGAGAUCUGAUUUUAACACAAUAUGUUACAUUGUCUUAUCCUGAAAAUAAAUAUUAUAUGAUAGAAGACAUUUUUGUGGCUCUUUACACAUGUGUAGAUACAAUGUGUAGAUUUAAAUAGUUGCAUUUACACACACACACACACACACACACACACACACACACUUAUAUAAAUAUACACAACACACAUUUAUAUAUAAUUCCUAUACAUAUUAUAUGUAUCAUUUAUUCCUAUUUGAGAUUAUACUAUGUUUAUAGAAUUUAGAAAUGAAAUACUGUAUAUGCAGUGUGAUUAUUUAUGUUAUUUGUGUUUAUGUCGUUCAUGUUGAUGUAAUAUCAUGCAUUAUUUUUUUACAUGUUCAUUGUUUACUGGUUUAAGUACGCACACCACAGUCAUAGCCAAUGACAUUUAAUACACACAUUGGGAACAUUUUGCAUCAAAAUGAGCUAAAUGUGGGAUAAUGUUUACACACAGUUUUUUUUGUUUAUGUUAUGUAGCUGGUCCCAUGUAUUUAUUAGUGUGUUCGUUAUUUUUUUAAUUUUUUUUUACAUAUAUAUAAAACUAUAUGAAAAUAUAUAUAUAUAUAUAUAUAUAUAUAUAUAAAAACUCGAUCAUGAUUUAACAUAUUCUUUUUUUUAACUAAUUGAUUCCCUGUAAAUAAUAUGAAAGUUUUUUUCCCCCUCUAACCACGCGAUGACAGAUAGGGCAAUAAAAUCCCAGCAAUAUAUGGGCUUUCAGGCCCUUUAAAGAAAGCAAAUAAGGUGACGUGUCUGUGAGGGGCUCCCAUUAAUGGGGAUCUGGGUUCAAAUGACUGAGGUAGUGGAGGUGAUAUAAAUGACGGGUUUGUGGGGAAGGGGACGAGGAAUAAAAACACAAAACUUUUAGAAACCUGAUUCAAUAUUUUUAUUUUAUAUGUACAUGUUUUUUCAGAGAUAUUGAAUUGCUUUAAAGUGGUAGUUAAAAUAUUUCUUACUCAUUUUGGGGGAGGGGGUAAUGGUUCGGGGGAGAGGGUAUAACAAUAGUAUAAAUAUUUCCAUUUGUGAAAGAGUGAAUUUUAAUUUUCACAGGCAAAUAUGACCUGUGGUGAUAAAUAAUUCUAGUGUAAAUCUUUACUUGGGGAAAGGGGCUGUUUGUACACACUGACUUUCAUGCUUAAGGCCCUAUACCUUAGUCCAGAGUAAGGGUUAAACACAACACAUAUUCUAUGAACUCCAAGGCAUGAACUAAAAGAAUAAUGAAUGAUAUUGUUUGGUUAAUAUCACAUAACAUGUCCUCUCAUACCCCUCCCUCCUCCUUUUGCUUUGACGACCUUUUAAUGAUAAAACAACUAUGCAGAGUGUGGACUGUAUUCUAUACAUUGUUACCAGGCUCUCUCCAGCUUGUCACAUAUACAGUCCUUAUCUCCACCUGUGUGUGUUUGUAUUCAUUUAACACAGGCUACAUUUAACAUUUAAUUUACUUACUUAAGCCUUGCAUGAGGCUGUUUCAUUACAAUAACUAUUUUAAUAUGUUUAACUACCCUGACCUAUACCUUCCCCCUAGAUAGCCUAAUCAAAUGGCAAAUAAACCGUAUUCACGUGUGUGUGUAUGUAUAUAUGUAUAUGUGUGUGCAUUUCUGUAUGUGUGUGUGUGUGUGUUUAUAUAUAUAUAUAUUUUUUUUAAAUUUAUUUAUUUGGUAUUUCUUUUUCAGGAAAAGUUGAUACAUUCAUUAUAAAUCAGUAGUUUUUUUUUGUUUUAGUAAUUGCACAAAUUGUUUGAAACGUAUAUAUCCAGUUUGUAAUUAAUUUUAACUCAGUUACUUAUUACCGAACGAGCACUAAUCGAGUUAACCGUGAUUUAAAUGAAUCAUAAAACGCUUUCUGCUUCCCUCGUAUUUUAUUCCAGUCGUGCAAUUUUAAUAUAUUUUUAUUUUGUCGUAAUUAAGGAGAAAAAAGAACUCAAAUUAAUGUGUUUCCUUACACUUUGUAUGAAGGUUAUUAUGUAAAAAAACAAAACCCUAACUGUUAUUUAUCUUGCAGUGUCCGCAAUUCUAAGAUCAGCUGUGUCAGUCAAUUGCUGCGAUUUGUACAGCCUUACACAGGGCAUCAUCAUACAUUUCACAAUAAACUUAAACAUAUCUCUCUGAUAUGUGAAACAUUAUCGCAAUUCUUUUAUUUAGCUCCGAUCAAUACAGUAGCUAAAGUUGAAAACAGUUUUUUAAAGUUCUGGCGUCAUAAUAAAUAACAUUUCUAAAGUAGCGUAAAGACUCAGUUAAAUGCAUCAUAUCUGUACAGCAGUACUAAAACGAACUCGAGUUAUAUACUACAUUUGUUUAUAUAUUAAAUCAUUAACAACAAAAAAACAACCAAAUUCUAUACAACUACACUUUCUUUCCCUGUUUUGCAUGCAAACCUUCCAUAUUAUUCUUUAUUCUCUAUAUAUCUGUUUGCCUAUCUGUCUGGAACUAUAUAUAUCUAUGUACAUACAGAAUACAUACACAUAUAUUCACAUAAAACCAAUCCCCCUUUCCUCUCUAUUUCCCCCUCUAUGUUUCCCCACCCCUCAUCUACAUAGUACUGCUAUUGAUCCAUCCCUUACACAAGCCUACCUUAAAAGAACAAAAUAGAUAUCAGUUCCAUACUUGUAGAGGAGACUAGUAUGGACACUUUAUCUAAACAUUCAACCAUAUCCACAUGUCUCAUGUUAUAUCACUGCUUCUGCCAUGCAGUAAUUGGAGUUUUUUUUUUUUUUUUUUUUACCAAUUUGCAAUAAACCUGGUCAUAACUUGAGUCUUUAUUAUUUGCUUCUUUUUUUUUUUUAUUUUUAUUAAUCAGCAUUAAUUUGAGGCGUAUCAUUUAGAAAGAGUGAUAAAGUGUCCUGCACUGAUGUUUAAUUAGUAGCUACAGACAGCAAUGUGUUUAGUUAAAACCCCAAACAUUCUCAGUGUAUUUGCCCAGGUACUGGGAUAGCAGCCUCUGUGGUCAGGCGUGUUGCAAACCUCAUCUCAGACAAUUCAUCUCAAUACCUGUUGACAACAAGCUUGCAAAUGACCUCAAACACAGGGACCUGUCUGGCAAGUCUAUGUAAUGAGUCAAUACAUCUUUCCAUAAUAGGAUGUGGUUGAAGGUAUACACAUUGUAGCGCUGUGUAUGUUUUCAGACCUGCAAGCUACACUUUGAAUGGGAUGUUUGUUUAGCCACAUUAGCGAUGACAUUAAUGUGCAGUCUAAACAUGAGAUUUAUUUAUUUAUUUACCCUUUCCUGGACCCAGAAAGGAAUAUUAUAUAUAUUUAUGUGUGUGUUGCUGUUGUAGGGUUCAGUUAAAUAAUUGGGGGAUUACAUGGUACUUUCAAUACACAGAUGAGCAAGUAAACAGUUUUGACAUUUCAUCUAUUAUGGGCAUAAUUUGGAAAAUAUAUACUAGAGGGGUGCAUUCUAAUCCUUUAUAAUUAACAUACCGGACUCAGCAUUUUUUAUUAAUGUAUUACAUGCUUCUAUUAGCUAUAAGCUAAGCUGCAUGUUAUAUUGCAGAUACACACCUUUUACAUGUAGAGUGCUUCUACAAAGUCCAAGAUUUAGGAUUUUCGCAGACCUGUUGCAUUUGGGAACCUGAUAAACCCUGGGCUGUCUGUAUGGUCUAAAAGGAAAAGAAGGAACAUCACCUGUCUGAAGCUCAGACAGUCCUCCCACUCCCCCCCAAAAAAGACAAAAUGAGAAUCUUUGAAUAACAGCUUUUGACCCCAGUGCUCAAAACUAAUGCUCUUUAAUCCUAUGUAAACAUCAUCAGAGAAAACUCCCAUGGAGUAGAUUCAGUGUUUUGAUUACCUAGCAAGGAUUACAGGCAAAUAGUGUCAGGUCCACCCAAAACCAGCUAUACUUAACAACAUAGUCUCUGGACUUCCCAAGACAUGGAUAGCUAUCGAUACAUUUCAUUCAUAUACUAUUUUACUGCAGCCACAUGUUCAGAGGUUUAACCCCUUAGGGGGCAAUCUGGACAUACCUCUUGCUAUUGUUUGAGUCUUUAAAUGCCACUGACCCUUCAUGGAGUUAAAUCUAUUAAUACAGUGUACACACUGAAACUAUGAUUGACCCAGAUUAUAGGUUAUAUGGCCUAUUCUCAUCUACCAACAGCAACUCCUACUUAAGAUAACUUAUAGGUUUAUUCAUUACAGUGUAUUGAGAUGAAAUGUCAAGUGAAAUGGUAAAACUCACAGGGUUAACUACUAAAGUGAAUUUCAAAUAUAAAGUCAACACAGCUGAACUGGAAAAGGCUAAUUCUAUGUGAAUUCACCUUAAAUUCUUACUUUAGUAAAUAAUUCCAUCAGCUUUUGCUAGCAUGAAGUAAAAAUUGCAAUUUGGUUGACAGGCCAUCACAAAUUACAGUUUAGUGAUCGGUUUACUUACCUGUACUCAAAUAAGAAUUGUAGCAUUCAUACACUUUGCAUAUGUAUUUCAUAUAGUAACACAUACAAUCUGUAUAUUUGUUAUAAACAAGUAACAUUAUAUGAUAUGAUUAUAUUUCAUUCAAAUCCCCACAGUAUUCAUAUAUAUAUUUGUAAAAAAACACAUUUAAAAUAAUAUGAGGUGGGUUUUAGUACAUUUUGUUUAAUACAAGGGAACCACAGCUUUUAAUGGUGUUACAAAAUUAAACCCACAGGUAAUUAACAGCAGGUGUACGGACGUGUUAAUACAUCUGGUCUGGAUGUUGCAAAUAUUGUUUCCAAAUCAGUAUGUAAAAUAUCAUAAAAUAUUGGUUUAAAUAUUAAACAUUGCAAGCUAAUUCUGUAGAUAGAAUGUUUACUAAUUACUCAACUCUACAUUUUGUAAAAUACAGGCCAAAAGUACUGAUUUGGAAAAACUCUUUAACACUCCUUGGCUAUUUAAAAUUAUAUUUUACAAAUUACUACAAUUGAAGUAAAUGUUUAGUACAUUGGUCCUCAAACUCCGGCCCCCCAGAUGUUGCUGAACUACAACUCCCAUGAUUCUCUGGCUAUCUAUUUAAUUCAAAGAAUCAUGGGAGUUGUAGUUCAGCAAAAUCUGGGGGGCCGGAGUUUGAGGACCAAUGUACUAAACAACCUGCAGUACCACAGGUUGUACCUUAUUUAAAGUGAAUUUGUACUUUCACCCUUUCCAAGGCUAAUAAACUGAGUACCAUUCAUUUGAGUAACAAUAAGUAUGCGCGGAAAUUAGGAAAACCUAAAUGUACUUUUCUUCUUCUCAAACCUCAACUAUAUGAAAUAUAUAUUAUUUAUUUAUAAAGCGCCAACAUAUUCCGCAGCGCUGUACAAUUGGGAAAAAGUUACUAAGCCAUUUGUCAGUGUAAAUAAUUAUGUGUUCAAUUAAUAUAAAUGGUUAGGGAAUACCGCACACGUUUGUAAAAUUCAUCCAGCAUCUUUAUACCAUGCUAGGGCAAAUAAGUAGAGAUGAAAUGUAUUAAUCCAAACGAGAACUCCAGAUCCCAUCAGAUGUGUGUUGUGUGUUCCUCGGUUAUCUCUCUGUAGGAUUACAUGUUUGACUCCUUGACCAAUCAAGUUGCUGGAUGAAUUUUGUAACUGGAAGUUCAUGUUCUUGGGUGUAGCCACAUACUUCAUGCAUGGUAGCAUGUCCUGUUCAUAUAUGUCACAAUAGGUGUGCAUAAUAUCACCUUCUCAACAAGUGAAAGAGGAGUAAAUUAAAAAUGUAAUUAUGUCAAUUUACCUAGUUUACAUUUUCCAUUUAUGUAUUCACAGAUAUUUUUCUAUCAGGAACUGAAGUAUUCAUGUAAAAUGUAUGAGGUAGGUUUGGCAAAUAUAGAUAAAACUAUGUGGGUAAAAUAUUCUGCUUCUGGAUUUCAGUAAGAAGCCUGAUGGCAUUUUUUCCAAUGUAGCUUUCCAUACACACAAAUAAAAUAACAGUGUGUGUGCACAGAAUGCCCACCUAUAUACACCAACUAUUUGUACUUUAUGAUUUAUAUCCGCAUAUCUCAAAUCCUCAUAGAUUGUAAGCUCGUUAGAGCAGGGCCUUCAAAUAUCCUCUUUAUAGGACUGUAAAUCACUGCUGAAUAUGUUGGCAUUAUAUGAAUGUAAAUAAUAAUAAUAUACAGGGCUUUGCAAGGUUCCAGUGCAGCUUGCAAAUAAUCAAUGCUCUAUGAUGACUGACAUUUUAGUCCUUCCUCAGUCCUCUUAGUUCUUUGGUGUUAGAGUUCAUUAAUAAAUCUUGCCCUUCAAAACAACUUCUACGGUGUGGGUUAGAGUGAACAGACCUGACUUUCAUAGUGCCUCUGCUGAGUUAGAGAGGGACAAGAUGGCACCCUAGAACAGAAAUUUAGAAGAGUGAUACCAAACUGUACAACAGAGAGAAAUGAAGAGUGGAUUUGUGGCUCAAUUUUAGGGUGCAUUGGUUUGCCAAGUAAAAUACAUGUGAACCAGUGUGUGCACAUUAUUGGUAAGGAAGCAAUUAAUUUGUGUCUCACGCCUAGGACCUGGAAAUGAUAAGGGUUGUCCUGAUAGAGAGCUUAUGAUGCCAUGCCAUCUGAAAGCAUAAAUGGAGACUAUAGUAUACAGCAAGUAUUUAUAGUCAAUGUGAUGCAUGUUUUUGCCUAACUCGGCAUACAUUUAGAGAUAGAGUCCAUAAUAUUCUAAAUCCACAUUUAGAAUUCAUACACUCAAAUGGGCCCACAGCAGGCAAUUUGGUAUUGCUAUUAUUUACUUAAAUGAGCACUAUAGUGCCAGGAAAACAAACUCGUUUUCCUGGCACUAUAGGGUCAUUAGGACCCCCCACCCUCAGGGCUCCCCUCUUACUGGGCAGAAGGGGUUAAAACCCCUUCAGCCACUUACCUUUCUCCAGCGCCAGGCUCCCUCUGUGCUGGGGAACUUUCCACCCCCUGCCGACGUCAGAUCCGAAUGCGCAUGAGUGGCAAAAGCCGUGCGUGCAUUCAAAAAGCCCAUGUGAAAUCAUUAUUCAAUGCUUUCCUAUGGACGCCCAGCGUCUUCUCACAGUGAGAAUCGUGGAAGCGCCUCUAGCCGCUGUCAGUGAGACAGCCACUAGAGGCUGGAAUAACUCUCAGUGAAACAUAGCAGUUUCUCUGAAACUGCUAUGUUUUCAACUGCAGGGUUAAAACUAGAGAAACCUGGCACCCAGACCACUUCAUUGAGCUGAAGUGGUCUGGGUUCCUGUAGUGGUCCUUUAAUGGUUAAAUGGUUAAAUACUUUUAUAACAAGUACAUAUAAUCUCAUGCAAAUUUUUUUUUGCUAUAAAUGUUACUCUCAAUAUAAAUCAUAUACAUUGCAUUGCUCUGACAUCUUACUUGUUUCACAUACCACAUAUAAGAGACAUACCACAUAUAAGAUUCCACAAAUAAAUAAGAUUCCACAAAUAAAUUUCAUUUCCAAUGUCAUCUUAUCAAGAUCUAAAUCAACAGAAAAAGAAAGCAUUGGAGAGAUAUUUCAUCUUGCAUUUAAAACUGGCCAACAUUCCCACCUCAAUAAAAAAAAUCAACUACAGAAAACGAGCAAUUCAGAUAUAAGCCUAUAUCAUGAUAUAUGAUCAGCAAGUUCUCUUUGUUAAAGAUCAAAACCUGGCUGUUUAUUAUAGCCUGUGCCAGACUUGUUCUUUACUUGACAAACAAAUAAAAGAAGAUCAGUUAGUUUCAGGGCACAGCAGAGAACAACCAAACGUCUAGCCGGAUAUAUCCUGGGCAGAGUUCAAUGUGGAUAAGCAUCUAAAUAGGACUGAAAUGUUACAAAUGCUAAACAGAACCAUGACAAGCCACAUGAGUGAAGAAGGAGGUAGGAAGAGGUUGCAAAAAUGUAGUUAUGUAUUAGGCCUUCCAUUCCAGCUGUUCUUCAUAAAACAAUGUAUAAUGAGAGAAAAGUGGCUAAGCUCUGCAUGAGCCAGAGAAAGGGAUGCUUUCAAUAAACAAGGAGACAGCCAGAAUCUGUGGACAAGGGGGAAACUUCUCAGUACUGCUACCCAUUGACCUUAAACUGGAUUAUUUUCCAUGUUGGGGAGACUGACAGAAGGGUAAAGCAUAUUUUAACUAUUCCCACUACAUGAAACUACUGUUAAAGCCAUUGGUCGGUAGUGAGGUUGGUUACUUAGCCUUGCAUUUACGAUAGUAGCAUAGAAUCCUAUUCAAGUAGUUACCACCUUAAAGGGAUACUCCAAGCACUGUAACUGCAUUCCUUGCAUAAGUUAUCUUGUAAAGAUACCCCUUGUUCUUUCACAUCAGGGUAACACAUAUGCUAUCUAGGGUGUGAAAUAGUGAUUGUUGUUUAGAGACUGGUUUCCAUGGUAACUGGUCCUUAUUCAGUACUCUUCCUCACAAUAGUACCUGUUUUACCUUAUUAUAUAUCUCCGCCACAACGUUAUAUAACUGAAGCAAUUUGCUAACCUAAUUCAGGUAUACUCCCAACUCCUUCUCCCAAAUGUGUCACAGGUAAGCUAUGGUUCCUUUUGCGCUGAGAGUCACUUGUAAGAUCCAAAGAGACUACAUUGCAUUGGUUAAUAUAAAUUUAAUUGAGACAACAGUUUUCUACAGUUGGUUAUGUAAAACAGAACUAAAUCUCCCCAAAACAUCACUGUACACAUAAAGCAUUGCUGCACAGGUAUAUUUAUAUUUACCUCAGUACUGCCUUAGAUAGUUAUGGGAUCCACUUCCGCUUCUGUGCAAAGCUCAUUAUAGAAGCUGCAGAGUUUGGGAAAUUAAAUCAAAUGUAGGAAUUUCUUUAUAUAUUAUUUAUUGAUUUAUUUAUAAUGUUUAAUCCAUUCUCUAUAUGAUACAUUAAAUUCAGAAUGAGGCAUUCUGGAGUGUCCCUUUAAUUCCACAAGCAUAUGUAAAAAAUACAGAUAAUCAUGAUUUGAUGUGCAUUCAAGAAACCGUUUUAGAGCUGGUGAGACAGCUCUGCUAAUUAAUUGAACAACUGUGUAACCUAUUCAUAUUUCAGGGUCACAAGUUCUAUUCAACUCAGUCUUUAAUGCUCUUUGAAAUCAAUAUCAGUAUCACUGAGUUGAUAAAAAAUAACACACCCACCACAAUAUACACUUGAAAACAAAAGAGCAUCUCAAUGUAUUCUUUCUGGUUAACCGCCUUUUAUUAAAGAGAAACUGCCACUUUAUCAAUUUUAUUACAAACCACAAACUAAAAGUUGUGCUAUUUUUAUAGUUGUUUAUAUAUAUAUAUAUAUAUAUAUAUUUAUUCAUUUACAUGCUUUGCCAGGCAAAACCUGGCAAAGUAUGUAAAUAGUUGCAUCUUGCAGUUCAAUACACACACCUAAUUUGAGCAUAUGGCUCUGUUGAUUCAAAUGCACAUGUGCAUCCCUAAGGGGCUUAAAGUAGCUGCAGCAUGGAAGCUCAGUGGAGGUAACAACAUUGUUUUUUGGAUGCAAUUGAGGUGUAAUGUUAAAAGCAGAUCAAGCCUCAGUAAGUUCCCACUUACUAAAGAAUACCUCCACUGCAUUAUUCAUCCCAGUAAUCACUGAAAUAACGUUUACUGGGAUGAAGGAACAAGGAACCAUCACUAGUCUGGAACUGACAGCUCUUCUUUAAGAAACUCUUGCUUCCAUUCUGCUAUUCCAUGGAUGGACAAGAGGCCAGAUAGUCAACUCCCAUGAUGCUUUGCAAUAUGAAUAGUUAGGGAUCUACCUUUAGGCCACCAAAGCUCCUUUCAAAACUGCACACUAAAAUACUGAUUUACACAGAAAUAAAAAAUAACCUUCUGUUUCAUAGUGCCUUUUAUUACAAUCCGUUUUAGAUAACUGAUAUUAUUAGUUUUUGUGUAAUACCCCUUAAUUGAGUGACACAAUUAUUAAUUAGUAUCCUUGCUUUAAUAGCCAACACUCGUUGACAUAUAGUCAUAUACUGCUGAUGUAAAAACUUUACAUUCCUAGCUUCCAUAGGAACAACACUGAUGUGAUGAUAUAGCUCAGCAGUGCUAUAUAGAAAAUGAAAUGGUUAUUGUAUAUAGCAAAGCCACUUCCUUAUCUGGUGAGAGCUCCUUUCAGAGGAUGCAUUAAGCUGGGAAUUAUCUUGAAAAGCAAGUAUUUCAAAUGUAAAUGUCUUGUCAUUUAUUUUUUAUGUUUAUUAUUUUAAUGUAUUCAUUUAGUAUACAUCUUGAUGUAUUACAAAAAGGAAAGAAAAAAAAGAAAAAGAAUGUUUGCGACUGGGUGAUUAGCGAGUCAUUUGAAUUCCAUAAAUCAGAAUCACCACAUGGCCGAAUCACGAAACAAACAAAACGGACAGUGGUCGAACAGUGUAGGUUGAUUUGUGAUUCAGAGUUUAAACUGUGGCCCCCCAAAAAAAGAGAUGAAUGAGGGGAAAAAAAGAUGAUGGUAGGGGAUAGCCACUAAAUGUUGAUGAUAUAACAGAUCAAGCGAGUGACCAAUAAAGGGAAAAAAGGAGAACAGUUAAAAAAAAUAUCUAGAUUUAUACAUUUAUAUAUGUAAUAAAUAUAUAAUAUAUAAAUAUAUUAAUAACGUUUUUGUUCCCUCUAUUAGUCCCUUCUACUCACUUGAUCUGUAAAACAAACAGCAGGAAAAUGCACCUAUCAGUGUUCUGCAAAAUAUAAACAUAAUUUUUAUAUUAUGUAUAUAUUUUGCAGCACACUGAUUUGCCUAUUUUCACCCUUGCAUGGGGAUCAUGUGAACAAACUAAUUUUAGACCAAAUAAAUUAUUUUAUUUUUUUCCGUUCAAAACAAUUUGAUUGGAACAAUUUGUUUCACUGUGCACAAGUCUAGUUUGUAAGAGAAAUAAUUAACUAUGCUGAAAGUAUAGAGGAUAUGGAAAAUGUUUCAAGGAUAUUUUGCCUUUAAAUUUGAAAUUUUGUAUUCCUGACAAUUCUCACUUUAGUGAAUAAAGUCUAUAAAUGCAGUGAAACAAGUCUUCUCACAACCAAUGAUUGUUUAGUGAAUAAACACCGUCACUUAUUUUAUUGCUAAGAAAACAUUGGUUGCCAUUGUUUUUAUGGCAAUACAAUAAGUGCAGAGCUUUAUUCAUGAAACAGUAAUUGGUGGAGAGAAGAUUUAGUUCUUAACGUUUGGUGAAUAAACCCAUAAAUCAACCUCAAUUUCAAAAUGUUCUAAAUUUAUUUAUCCCACUGUAUAAGAUAAGUAUCUGAAGAUUGUAACUGCACGUAACAAAUGGCUAUGGGCAGAAUAAAGCGCACACUAUAUAAAGUGAAUUAUGUCUAAUUUAGUUUUUGUAUCUUGUUUCCUUUAAAUGAAAUAAAUCCUCCUAUUAUAAUGAAAUCUCAGAUUCUGUAAUUCCCUUUAGAACAGACAUUUUGAACACAUUAUAUUAUUUGGCUUUGCAGUGUAACUUUAAAAUGUAGUUGAUUAUAGUUUUGGAGACAUCCCAAUUGUUGAUUGUAUAUUUCAAUUCUUCAAAGUUUUGAGAAUAGACACACAGAAUUCCUUUCAGAAUCAUUGAUGCUGUCAUUCAGUGGAUCUAUGCAAAAGGUCAUUGAUACCCUACUUGGGUCAGCAAAAUCAAUAUUUAUUUCUUCCUGGUUAGAAAGCUGAUAAAUGAGUGGCUUCCUUCAGCAUCAAGGAUUUUGAAAGCAGUUAAACCUGUUUUUUUUAACUCUCUCGCUACACAUUCCCCUUACAUUUAAACAAUGACAGACUCUGUAGCAAAGUUAUUGAGCAAGACAAAAACAAAGCAUAAUUUCUCAUAAGUGCAUACAUUUACAUUAGUUUAUAUAUUUCACCACAAAGUGAAUAUACAACCAACUCUGUAAUAUUAAUGGUCUUAAUAUGUUUUAGUAUCAUUGCAAUGGACACUAAAGUGUAACGUCUAUAGUCAACAUCAUAUCCUAUGCUAAAAACCAUCCUUCUGCUUUCGGCAAGUUGAAUAUCAGCAAUGCAAAAUCUCAUAUUUUUGUCAUUUUUGUUGAUACAUAAAGGUCAAUACUAUAGCCAUUGCUGCCACUCAAGAGCAGUGGGAAUUCAAGCAGGAAGGGCUGUCUACGUUUGGCCAAGGGGCAACUACAACUACAAAUUGAGACCAGCACAUUUUCCCACCAAACUUGACUCCCUUUUUAGUUUGUUGAUUAUUUUUAUUAGUAUACUAAUGCUCCAAUGAUACAAACACAGUUCUAACACAAUACAAUUACCUAAUAUAUUUUGUUAAUGUGUUGUGUUUGGCAGCAGCUCACAAUCCUCUACAUUAGUGGCACAGGGUGCAAUUGCCUCUCUUUCCCCCUUGCCAGCCCUCUGUUUGCUCAGAGCUAAUUUAUGUUUUGAUCUUUAUAUGCGUAUAACUGUUCAUUUGAAUUGCCAUUUAGCUAAAAUGUCUAGUAUUUUUUACUGUAUCAUAUACAGUAGUUUGCUGGCCUACUAAGAGUUAAAUUGAAAAAUAAAUAAAGAGCUUAUAAGUUAAACUUAUAAACUGCAUUUUAAUCCUUUACAUGGAAGAUAAAAACUAUUAAAAAAAAAAGCUUUUUUUUUUAAAUUUUAUUUUAAGGAAAAAUCUUCAAAUGUCCACUAUACACAAACAAGAAAACACUAACCUGUUGGUAAAUAGCACAUAGAAAUGCUCCCAGUGCACAAAAUGAAAAAUAGGCAGGUUAAUGGUUACAAAAGCUUUUACCAAAAACUGACUGUUUCAAAACAGAAAACUGGUCCAUUGUGUUGAUGUAUGUGGCUCAUUGUUCCCCUACGCAGCCAAUACUUAAGCUCUAUUUAUCAGUCUCUCACCUGUUAAUAUUUUAUUUCUUUUUAUACUAGCGUACGUAUUGAAACAUGGGGAAACAUGGGCACGUUGAUGGAAAUAUUGCCAAAAUAAGAACCACUUCUGUUUUGCUGUUUUGUUAAAGUGAGGAUAGGCAGAGGGAUAUUUCAGACAGGAAGGAGGUAAGAGACAGGACUGGUCAGGUAUGAAGGUUGGGAAGGAAAAAUAGAUCUGAAUCUGAAACAAUGUUCUACUUUAAGCCAUGAGAGGAAAUAGAGUUAUCUAAUACGUGGUAUAAUGGUAAAAGAAGAGAGGACCAGGAACUGAGCACACAGGAAGAAGAGUGGGCUAGGUGGAUGACCUAUGCUCGAACAAUGUUUUUUAGCGGGCACAAUGAUUUCUGCUGAAUGCAUUACACCUGAGGAUUAACUUAGUAAUAACCUAGUAUGACUCUGUGUUCUUUAGCCUUGAAAUAUAUGGGCUGAGCAGGAUAAACCUUUACGUUAUUUUAGGUGAGUGCCUAUAGCUCAGACGUGAAAUAGGGACCAAUGAUGGAUCAUUUCCAGUAAGCAGAUAUGGGUUUACUGGCAUCCCUGGUGCAUUUGUCUCUAUUCAUCCUAUCACACGUCAAGUGCCUGUAGGCACAACAUUCUAAGAAGCCCACUGCCCCACAAUAUACAUAACCUGCAGAAAAAGUGAGUUUUAUGAAUUUAUUAACUGGACAUUGCAGAUAUAAAAAGAUCUAGAAAUCAUAUAUUGGUAUUUGAGAAUUGUAUCGUAUAUAUGUAUAUACGUGCAUCCUUGUAAUGUGUUGUGUUUGAGGCUUAGUAUAGGGAGUAUAUGCAGCUGUCCAAAUGCAUGCAGAAAAGGUGUUAGAAGUUGUUAUGGUAAAGGAGGUUUUAAGGUUUGCAAGGGAUCAAUGUCAGAGUUAGAUUACAUAGAGCGUUUUGAGAGGAGUUGUAGUUGUGGUAUAUAGGGUGUUAUAAUUGGGUUUAAACUUAGUAUUGAAGUGGUCUGGGUGUCAGGUCCAGCUAGGUUUAACCCUUUUUUCUAUAAACAUAGCAGUUUCAGAGAAACUGCUAUGUUUACAUUAGGGUUAAAUCAGCCUCUAGUGGCCAUCUCAUUGACAGCCGCUAGAGGGUUUCCGCGCUUCUCACUGUGAUUUUCACAGUGAGAAGAUGCCAGCGUCCAUAGGAAAGCAUUGUGAAUGCUUUCCUAUGGACUAGCUGAAUGCGCACGCGGCUCCUGCCGCGCAUGCGCAUUCAGCCGAUGACGUCACUAUGGAGGAGAGUCCCCCGCCCAGCGCUGGAGAAAGAGGUAAGUUUAACCCCUUCCUCCCCCCAGAGCCGGGCGGGAGGGGGACCCUGAGGGUGGGGGCACCCUCAGGGCACUCUAGUGCCAGGAAAACGAGUAUGUUUUCCUGGCACUAUAGUGGUCCUUUAAGAGUAGUUAAGGUGAAGAUAUUUUCAGGUUCAUACUUUGAAGAAAAGCGUUUGUUUAUGUUUUGGAAGGAGUUACAUUUAGGAUAAGAAAAAAAAAAGGGUGUUAAGGAGAUGUGCAGUGUGAAGGAUUAUUGGCAAAGUACUCAUCCUCUUAUGUUUUCUAUGUUUCUGUCAGCAUUCUAUGAUUGACAACAGAGACACAAGGCCUGCCUCACUCACUUCUGUCCCUGCUCCACCUACAAGGCACUUCCUGUCUGAGAAGCUGUUAGAGGGCAGAUGGGAACUGAUUCCUUCCUCUUCCUGUCCAACCUCACACACACAGACACUGGAUGAUCUGGGGUAGCACUGAGUUUUACACCCUCUAUGACAGUUCCUGCAGCUCUGCUGUCAAACAGACAAGGCUGCCUGGACUACAGAGGACACUGACCAAGACACUGGUAAAUAUCUCUCCCUAGCUGCUCACUCGAGCUCCAAAAAGGCACAUUACAACUGCUGAAAACAGGCACUCCCCCUACAAGACUGGAGAGUGAAGGCAGGUCCCUACUCUGCCUAUUGGGGAAGCACUGUAAAGACAAACAUUAUUAAAACACCAAUGUAGAUUCCCCCUUUGUAAGCUAUUGAGACCAUAGACUAUAUUUGAAUGUGAUGGAUGGCUGCUGUCUACUAACACUCUCUAUCAUGCCUCACAAGUGGCAUCCCUAUUUUGGAGGGAUAGUCCCAGUUUUGGGCUCAAAUUCCUCUGUUCCUCUCUGUAUAGGAGCUGCAUAUUGUUCGUAUGUUUGAUUGUGUCUUUAAACUACAAAUAUGUUUAGAAAUCAGUCUGUACAAAUAUGAUACAUUGUUCUUGUUCUAUUUUAUUUGCAUAAAUUGCUUUCAGUAAGUCACAUAAAAUAGAACACCCCCCACUCACAGCCCUAAAAUUGAAAUGCUCCUCUUUGUCCAUUUAAAAUGUAAAAAAAUAUAAACUAUGAAGAGAGCAUGUCAGUUACUCAAGAUCUCCACGCAUUAAAAAGAAGAGAAUACAGCUUGGAUUUUAUGUAUUGUGGUAAGGAAAACAUUUUACAUCUGUGAUCAAAAAAAGAACGGAAAUCUCACAUUUAUGCCGUACUAUUCUUUUAACAACUGAGAGGACUACUCACGUAAUUCCCAAUUUUACCUGAAUUAAAUCUAUAUUACAAACUUCAGGCUAAACCAGCCCAUAGCUCAUAGAAUUUUUUCCAAAUCAGCAAUUUUAGACUGAAAUUUGCACUUGGCUUUUACAUAUCAUAAAAUUUGAAGAAUAACCGUGGCACUCACAUAAAAAAAAAAAAAUAGUAAUGAAAUUGCUCUUGAAUUCAUUUAGGAAAUAAUUUGUUAUUUAAUAACAUGGGGCAGGGUAGGAAUUGAAAAAAUUCUCGUUGUUUAUUCAGCUCCAUAUAUUAAAACAAGGGGUGUCUAGAAUAAAAUAUAUCUAAAAUUACAGCAAUUAUUGUGUUCAACAUUGGAUCCUUUUUUUAGAGGCCAGCAGAGAGUACCUGCCUGAGCAUGCUGACAUCGUAGGAUAUCACUGCUGGGACCAUGUUUCACUUAAAUAAAAUCACAGGAAACCCAGUGGCAUUCAUAAUUGACAGGUACCCUGUUGUCCAUGGUUUCUGGAUGCAGUGACCUCACUUUAGUCUUCCCCCGCCUUCUUUGUUAUUCUGUAGGUUUGUAACACGGCCCAUUAUAGACAUUCUUUAAUGAGUGUAGGCCAGGAUUGUCCUGUGGCCAUUGUUGGGAAGACAGUAGGGACCAGUUGUUUAUUUGGGUCUCCAUGUUGCUAUGCCAGGUGGUUGUAUUGCUUCCUUGGCUAAAAGUUGCCAGCCUGCAAUGUCUUUAAACCAUCAACAUUCUAAAGAUACAGAAGUGCAUGCUGCUAAGAGAGCCGAGAGGGCAAAAAAUAAACUGCCUAAUCCCUUCAGGAAUUACAUACGUCAAUAAUUUGUGUUUCUUUUCAAUGUAUUGAAGUUUAGUGUUUCACAAUACUUACACCUUGCUUUUCCAAGAUUUCCCAUAUAUAAAUACCUUUAACUCAAUGGGCUUCUAAGAAUCUGCGAGUGUUUGUGUAUGGAGAGCCCUAGAAGCAAACAGAAACAGGGAGGGAAAAAUGGUGGCUUUAAAAUCCUAUUAAGGUCUGUAAGGCAGGGCUUUUAACAAAAAAAAAAAUGUCAAGCUUACUUCAUGCAGGAUAAAAAAGAGAAAUGUAAGAAGGAAACUGUAGUUAGAUCAAUACAAUUCUCAACAAAGCUUUUCAGAGACUCGGAAAGGCCGGAGCCCUUUGACAUGCAUUGCAAAUUAAUUGGGCACUGUACAGAGCAGAGUGGGGGAUUCAAGUUAAUUAGUCUCGAAAUGAAUAAAAACCAAACAUUAUACGAAUUGUCUAUGGUGACUGGUUUGUUAGUGGGGGAUUUGGUCGAUCAGCUUUUGUCUGGGGUAAAUUGGAUUUGAGUGGGGCGGCACAGUGUCUCUCCACACUGGAUACAAGUUUGGUGCAUGGGAAAAACAGAGAGAACCGUAGCAAAGGAGCCUGUUGUGCCCUCAUUAUCUCAUGUCUGAUCUUGUGGAUGGAAGGAGGAGACUUAAUUCACGAAGUGGAAGGUUCUGAAUUCUCUCUUCUAUUAAACCCACCUCUAUUGGCCUUACUCUGAGCAGCAUGCACAAGGUUAAAAUUGAAACCAGUACCAGUUCUGUUAUUUGGGAAGGAGAUUUGGAAGGUGGCAUAGCAACACUAAUAUUGUAAGUCCUUUCUUCACUAUAAGUAUUACAGAGUAUGUGGUAUGUAGUAAGAAACUGGAGAACAAGAAUUGUUAUACUGCAGAAUUUAUUCAGCAUCUUAUAUGUAUAUAACACUGUUAUAACACUGUUAUUAUUAUUUAUAUUGUUGUCCAUAGCCUACAUAGGAUUCAAUUUGCUAGAUGAGUAGAAAGCAGCAGUCAAAAUAAAUAAAUAAAAGCAUUUUACAAGCAUGGCUUCUCUGAUGAGUGUAUCUUGCCACUUCUAGCAUGUGAUUUUUGCAGGAGAAAGUGCAAGGUUUGCAUGAUACUGGGAAAUAUAUCGUAGAAGUGGCAAAUCCCACCUGUAAACAACAAGGCAUUGUUACUGACUGCAGCCAUAGACCAUUAUCCUAGCAUUAACUAAUGCAAAACUUGUCCAUCAAGGUUAACUGAGAAGGGCUCAGUCACUAACACUUCUUCCACCACAUGCAUGGCAGGGAGAAUAGUAAUCAGUACUAGGCCUGGGCUGCCAAAUUACUCCUACCCUUUCAUCCACACCUUGUUAUGUUAGGUGUAGAGCAUAUAUAUAUAUAUAUAUAUAUAUAUAUAUAUUUAUAUAUAUAUAUAUAUAUAUAUUGAGAAAGGAUCAAGAACAGAUCUGAAACGUUGAUGCUAAUUUUUUCACUAAAUAAGACCUGUGAGUGCCUGCUUUUCUUUGCUGAAAUAUUUUGAUAUAUAUUGGUUCCAGCGUGGCGUGGUGCACCAAGACAUUACAACAUUCCUUUUGGAAAAUCAAUUGGAGAACAGUCAAACAAUUAUAUCUUGACAAUUUUUUAAUUUUUUAAAUUAAAUUUUUACUGUGGUGAAACAUACAGUGAAACAUAGUUUUACUACAAUGGCUACGUAUAAAUUGUCAAAAUACCCUUAGGUAAAUACCCCUGGAUGUCUAAUAAAUAUAUAAUUUUGUGGGGCAAUUAUUUUUCAUUUUGUUUUUGUGAUGACUCUAUUAAAUUAGAAGACCAAAUACGAAAUUCUCAUCUAAUAUAAUUAUUAAUAUUUUGUGUAAUAUAGAAUAACAGUUAACAUAAUAAUGACAUAUAUAUAUAUAUAUAUAUAUACACAAAUUUAUGAAUCGUUGUCGAAUAAACCACAUAAAAAUAUACAUACAAAUUAUAAUUUCCUAUAUACAUGAGACAAGUAAAAUAUGUACAGAAGUAAAAAUAAAUUAGUUAUAUCCUAGUACUAAACAAAAAAAAAAAACAAUAAUUGAACAAGUAUUCAGUCAGGUGGGAACAUGGUUAAAGUCUGUAUUCUUUUUUUCACAUCAUCUUCCCACAAGGACCAUUCAUGCUGCAGUAUAGAUGUGAAUGUAGAUGGUUCACAGAAAGCUAGUUCACACCUUUUACUUUCAAAUACUGCAGAUAAAACUUCACCCACAGUUGGAAUAGUGGGUGAUUUCCAGUGUCGGGAGAUGAUGGAAUUUUCUGAGAUCAAAAGAUGGUCUAGCAUAGUUUGUUUAUACUUAGGCAUGUUAGAUGGAAUUUGUUUAAAGAGACAAAGACACAGGGAUAAAACUACAUUGAAUUCUAAAAUUUGAUUAAUAAAUUUAAGUAUGUUCAGCCAAUAAGAUUUGAUUUCGGGGCAUGAAUAGAAGAUGUGGAACAAUAUACCAAUGUGACCACAGUUUCUCCAACAUUUAUUGUUUUCACUGAGGUUUAAUGGGACGCUAUAGUCACCAGAAAAACUACAGCUUAAUGUAGUUCUUCUGGUGAGUAUAAUCAUUAUAUGCAGGCAUUUACAUGCAAACACACUGUUUACAUUGCCCCUAGGGACACCUCCAAGUGGCCACUCCGCAGAUGGCCACUGGAGGUGCUUCCUGGCUCAGUGCUGCAAGUGCCGGCAGACCCGUGCGUUGCAGGAAAUAAGAUGAGUUUUAUUAACUUUUAGGGGGGGGGGGGGCAGAAGCCACCUAUAUGGUAGGUUUAGCACUACAGGGUCAAGGGUUUGUGUUCCUGACCCUAUAGUGUUCCUUUAUUUAAAAAGUUUGGAAGGUGUUAGGUACCAUCUAUAAAUUAAUUUGUAGUGGGAUUCCAAAUACAAGUUACAAAAUCAUACUGCAAUGUGGAAUGAUGUUAGAAUUUGGUAUUUGGAUUAUCACUAUUCCAUCUGUAGCAAUAUUAAAUCAACAGCCAUACACAACCUCUUCAUCUCUAAUUCCCUCACACUGUUAGCACUAACUGAGACCUGGCUUUCCUCCCUCUGAUACCGCUACACCAGCUUCUUUAUGUUUUGAUGGACUACAAUUCUCUCACACUCCCAGACUCAACUGUAAAGGUGGCGGUGUAAGCAUCCUUUGCUCCCCUCAAUGUACCUUUCAACCUAUCCGCCCUACCCCUGCCCUAUCCUAUCCUUUACUUCCUUUGAAGUUAACACUGUCCACAUAUAGUGUCCCUUUAAGUAUUCAUGGUCCUCGAUGCUGCCUAAAGGUACUCAGUUCAUUUCAGUGUAUCUACAAACAAUGAGAAUUAAAGUUUAUGUCCACGGCAAGUUUCAAGAAAACAUAUUUUUUUUUUUUGUAAAUAAAUUUUUAUUGAGUUGUUUUGUUUUUCCCCAUAAAGGAAUGAAACAACAUUGAAACAGCAGUAAGUAUGCAUUCCAGAGACUCGCAGGUCUCAAAGAUUUUAGAAGGCAGCGUCACUUUAUAGGACACGCAGGUCCCAUUACACACACAUAAUUAAGAUACAGUCAUGUGAUGGUUAAUCAAGUGGGGUUGCCAUCUCGUUUCUCAUAUAUCAAUAUUUUUUUCUUUGUAAAUAUCUUCCAUUAAAGAGAUUCUUUCCUUUUCCUGGCUUUCCCCUUAUUUAUUUCUUUUUUUCCCCUUUUCUUCCCUUCUCUCUGCUUCCAACCAGAACAGAUAAUACAGAAAAAAAAAAUACUAAAACUGUAGAUUCCAAUUGUUUGAGAUAAGAAACAUGAAGAUGAGAUACGCAGAUCUCCAAAUAUUCAUUAAGAGGCAAUACAUGAAUGAGUCAAGUUUAGAAGUAAUCAGAGAACUCAUCAAUACGUAUCUGUAUGAUAUUGUUACACAAUCAGCAGAACAUUCAAGGUAGGCUAUAGUUAACGAUGGAUAACUUUUUCCCUUCUCCCAUGCUCAUCCCCUUAGUCCCCACCCUCCCCUAUCCCCCCCUUUCUUGUGAAUGAAGCCCUAUUUCUGCCCCAAUAUUGGUACAUAGCUGAAGCAGAGUCUCAAGGUUAUGUAUCAUGGAUCUCGCAAUUAGAAUACAGUUAGUGUAGGUGCUUUCACUUUCAGGUCUAUCCUCUAAUCCAAUGCGUGUUUGACUUUGCUUAGACUUUGUUAAGUUACCCUUGAAGCUAGGGCCCCAGUACCUCUAUUCCCGUAGUAGGGAGGGAGUUGAUUGCGCAUCACAUCGGGAUCAGAUGCCCUCUUAGUAGUGUUUCUUGUGUGUAAAGUUGAAGUCCAGUUUAAGAGAAGAGAGGGGAAAAGGUGCACAGACGGUGUGGGGAUCAAAGUUGUGUGUCAGAGUGCCAAGGGCACCCCCCCACACACAUAGCCACCUCUCAACCCCCACCAGACCCCACCCCUUCUCUGGCAGUCUAUUCUAUCCAUGGUCUCUACAGUUCGUCCCAUCACUGAUGCCCUGAUGGCCUCAGCUGAAUAAAUCUCUUUGAUCCGCUUGUACCAUUGUUCGAGCUAUGGAGUCUGGGAUUGUUUCCAGAGAGCGGGCACUAGUGCUUUUGCUGCAUCAAUCAAGUGUCUCAGGAUGGAUUUUUUGUUUUGCGAAAUCGGGGCUGGUGUUGAAUGUAGCAAGAUUUCUUCCAUAGUUAAGGGCAAUGUAUUGCACAGGAUUUCUACUAUUUUGGUAUUUAACAUGUCCCACAAUGGUGUUAUGCCAGGGCAAUCCCACCAAAUGUAUCUGACAGUCCCUUCACCCAUGUCACAUCUCCAGCAGGUAGCUGGGAUGUUUGGGAAUAUCUUGUGUAGGAGAGCUGGAGCUUUGUACCACUAUGACAAAAGCUUAUAGUUAACUUUUUGGUAACGAGUGCUUACUGAGGAUUUGUGAUGUAAGAUAAGUAUCUUUUCCCAUUGGGUGUUAGUGAAUGUUACUCAUGAGUUACAGUCAGGUCCAUAAAUAUUGGGACAUCGACACAAUUCUAAUCUUUUUGGCUCUAUACACUAACACAAUGGAUUGAAAUGAAACAAACAAUAUGUGCUUUAACUGCAGACUUUCAGCUUUAAUUUGAGGGUAUUUACAUCCAAAUCAGGUAAACGGUGUAGGAAUUACAAUAGUUUUUAUAUGUGCAUCCCACUUUUUAACCCCUUAAGGACACAUGACAUGUGUGACAUGUCAUGAUUACCUUUUAUUCCAGAAGUUUGGUCCUUAAGGGGUUAAGGGACCAAAAGUAAUGGGACAGAUUAACAGUCAUAAAUCAAACUUUCACUUUUUAAUACAUGGUUGCAAAUCCUUUGCAGUCAAUUACAGCCUGAAGUCUGGAAUGCAUAGACAGUGGUGUAUCCUGGUUUUGUGCUACCCUAGGCAGGACAAAACUCAGGCGCUCACCUCCCUCCGCGCCACCCCCACCCAACCCUUCCCUCCUGCCCCACCUUCUAAAUACACACACACACAGUCAGACACAAACACACACACAGUCAGACACAAACACACACACACACAGUCAGACACAAACACACACACACAAAGUCAGACACAUACACACACACACAGUCAGACACAUACACAGACACAAACACAGUCAGACACAAACACACACACAGUCACAAACACACACACACACAGUCAGACACACACACACAGUCAGACACAACACACACACACACACACACACAAACACACAGUCAGACACAAACACACACACAGUCAGGCACAAACACACACACACACACACGUCAGACACAUACACAGUCACACAGUCAGACACAAACACACACACACAGUCACAAACACACACGUCACACAAACACACACAGUCAGACAAAACACACACACACACACAGUCAGACACAAACACACACACAGUCAGACACACACACACACACACACACAGUCAGACACAAACACACACAGUCAGACACAAACACAUACACACAGUCAGACACAAACACACACACACACAGUCAGACACACACAAUCACUCACAUUAACUUUUUUUUUAAUUUAACCCCCCCCAACCUCCUUACCUUUGGGAGUGCUGGGGGGGGAGGGUCUGUAGCGGAGUAGUAGUAUUAUCCACGGUAGACAGAAUCAAGCAGGCACAAAGCAGGUAAAAUCCAGGUAGCGUAGUUACAAUCCCUUCCUCCCAAGAACUAGACGACACAUAGCUUGGAGGUCAACUGAGGUUUUAUUUUCAGGUCACUGUAUUUAUGGGAUUCCCCAUGCAAGGGUUUCCCUACUGACAUUUCAGGGGUUGUACAGUAGGGGACUACAUGGGGAACUCACCAACACGUACAUUUUUCCCAUCACGCACUGCUGGACGAGAGGGAAACUCCCACUGGAAUAUACCGUUAAUGGGAUUAUCCCUCCAUGCAGCAGAACUUACAUUUUACUUUAAAAAGUAUAACUUUACUAAUAUUCACUUGUUUUACACGAAUGGACGUUCGGUAGUUAGCUGGAGGCUGAGCACAUAGUUCGUGAGAAUACCGCUCAGCUCCCAGUCUAACUAACCGAACGCCGCACGAAAUACACAUUAUUUCUAACAUAGGUUUAAGAUACCGAUUAGGAUAAGGGGAACAAACUACCGAACGGCCGGGGUUCCCGAACGGCCUGGAAGUCCAGCUGUGUUCGCGCCGUCGAGUAGCCGUUUUUAGUUCCAGGCGCUCGACGGCAAAACACCGCUGGGUUAACAAAAGAAUCAAGAUGGCCGACCGCUGUGUGGUCGGUAGUCGAACGACGGUCACCUAGAAACACACUUAAUUACCGAUUGCAACAAUGUUGCAAUCGGUUAAUGGGCGCCACACGACCCCCUGUGUGUGGUCGUGCAUUCGGUAUGUUAUUCGUUUCACGAACAGUGUUUAAACUCACUGUUCGUGAAACUACAGUAUGAAUGCUGGGGUUUUCCUACUGCCAGCAUACGAAUGCCCUCAUUCGCCUGAAAUAUAAAUAGAAACCUGCACUGAUCUUUAUGGCUUAGCAAGCAUACAAACAUACUUAUACAUUAAUAGUCUCUGGUGGCUAGUUUUGCCACAGGGUCUCUCUCUCCCUGGUGGUCCAGUGGCUGCCGGUCGGGCUGGGCGGCGCUGGCUGCUGUGCGGGCGGCUGGCGAGGGAGCUCUUCCUCUGAGCGGUCUGCUCAGCUCUCUCGCGCGCCGCAGAGUGACACUGGGAGCCAGAAUAUGACUGGAGAUAGAUGGACGGAGCUAUCAAGCGGGGUAACGUGGUGUCCAUAUGUCAGCGAACAUAUAUGAGUCCCGAGUUGCCUCCUCUAAUGCGAUCCAUUGCAUAUGUUGUGGUCAGGAAUGCCACUCCAAAAUGCAUUGUAGGGUAGAUGCAUGGUAGUAUUUUUAAAAGUCCGGAAUUGGCAAUCCCUACUGACGUGGCAAGCAUAGUAUCUCAUGUCUGAGCUGCGGUCUUCUGUCGCGCCACACAUAUCUUAUAACUGCAGCUCUCAAAGAAGAGAAAAAUGUUGUGGGUAGUGACAUCGGCAGCGUUUGAAAGAGAUAGAGGAAUCUGGGUAAGAUCUUCAUCUUUAUAACAGCUAUGCGACCCAUCCAAGCGAUAUGUUGGUAGUUCCAGGUGCGUAGGUCCUGUAGUAUUUUAGUGAGAAGUGGUGUAAAAUUGGCCUGAUAGAUCGCACGGCUCUAUUGUGAUCCAUAUUCCCAGGUAUUUCAUUUUGGAUUUUCACCAAUGGAAUGGGAAUUGUGUUCAAAGUAAGUUGCACUCUCUGCUUGGGACCGUAAGGUUGAGGACCUCGCAUUUGGACAGGUUCAGCUUGAGGCCAGAGAGUUGACCAUAGAUCUUAAAUUCUUGCAUCAGGCAUGGCAAUGUAAUUCUCGGUUGUGUGAUGAAGAACAGCAUUUCUUUCUUCAGGUUAAAGCCCAUGACAUCAUUAUUAUGUCUUAUUGCUUCGAGUAGUGAUUCCAAGGACAGGGCGAAUAACAGUGGGGACAGUAGGUAUCCCUGUCUAGUCCUGUUCUGAAUUGGGAAUGCAUCAUUGAGAGCUCCAUUUACCUGGACUUGUGCAUUAGGCGAAACUGUAGAUGGCAUCGAUCCAGGGUAAUAGCUCAAAGACAAAUUCUAUACCCUGAAGCGUCUCCGUUAGGAAUGUGCAGUCCACCCGGUCAAAUGCUUUUUCUGCAUCAGUUGAAAGUACGAGCCUAUGUUCCCCCCUUUUUUGUGCGCGGUGUUGUAUGGAGAAUGUGCUAUCCCUGGUCUCUCUUCCCGGAAUAAAUCCAGUUUGAUCCUGGUGGACCAGCCUUGGGAGCAUUGUAUUCAAUCUAGCAGCUAUGACUUUGGUGAAUAAUUUAAUAUAAAAAAAUUUGAGUGAAAUUGGCCUAUAGCUGUCAGGAUUACAGAAUGAUCCAGCACGUAGAACUGUGUAACACAGAGGACUGAUAGGUAACGUAUACCAGACCUUAGAAUGGCCGGACUAACGUACCAAAGAAUAGUCAGGAAUAGCCGAGGUCAAGGGAAACAGAAAGAGACACAACGAUAAGGAAAAGCCAGGAGUUAGGGAUGCCAGAAAACAGGGAAGUCAAAAACAAUGCCAAAGUCAAGUAACCAGAAUAACCAGAAUCAAUAACACGCUCUCGGACAACCACAAGGGAAUGACAGGGCACUGAGCAGGAUGAGAACUGGGCCUAAAUACCCCUCCUCUAGGUCUGAUAGGCUGUAACCGGCCUUUGACCCCAAAGGCAGUUACCAGAUCUCAUUUGCAUAAUUGCUGCUCAGCAUUAACCCUUCUGUGGAUUUGGUUGUUGCUCGGCACAACUUUUCCUGUGUGGACAGUAAAUGUCAUUAACCACAUUUGUGUAAGCGGAUGAAUACGUGACAAUAGCUGCUACAGAGUUCUGUAUCCUGUAUCCUUAUUUGGACAGGAUGAAAAUUGUGACUGCCAGUAUUUUAUUAUGGAAUUUGCUCCCCAACGUGAGUGCAUUUAGCGCUUUAGUGAGUUUAGGGAUGAGUACAUCUCUGAACUUCUUAUAAUAAUCUAAGGAGAACCCAUCCGGUCCCAGCGCCCUGCCCGUUUUUGCAGUUUUAAUUGCAGUCUCAAGUUCUUCUGUGAUUGAUGUGUCGAGCAGGUCAACUUCGUCCAAGGUCACAGAUUUUUAUAAGAAGUUUGUUAGGUAUUGUUGGGUUGCCUCUAUCUUAUUGACUGUGGUUUCAGCUGAGGAAUGUUGUCGUGGGUUAUAUAAAUUUCAGUAAAAAGGUUUGGAAUUCUGUCGCUAUGAGUUCAGGGUGUUGAGUGGUCUUUCCCACUGGUAAUUUCUGCUUGUGUACCUGUGCGUGAAUUUGCUGUCCUCUGAGCAUUCUAGCUAGAAGUUUGCCCCUCUUGUUCGCAUGUGUGUAAAAAUAACCCUUGGAUCUUUGUAUGUAUCGAUAGUGUUUCUUUACAAGUAUAAUGUGUAGUUGUCAACUGGAUUCUAUCAGUUUCAUAUAGUCAUCUUCUAGUAGGGAUCUUUUGUGCCUUGAUUCAAUGUCUCCUAUUUUGGCGAUUAGUUCUAACAUCUGCCGUUGGGCUUCUUUUUUUUUUACGAGCUGCUAUCUGGAUGAUGUGGCCUCUCAUCACGCUUUUAUGUGCUUCCCAUAUGGUAGUGUCUGAGAUCUCUCUCUGGACAUUGUCCGGGAAGUAGGACGUCAAUGUUUGUCCUAGUAGUUCCCGGGUCUCAAUAUCCGUCAAUAAGGAUUCAUUGAGUCUCUAACUCAUGGUUUUAGGCCGCGAGAUUGGUGAGUCCAUCUCCAUUAGUACCAGUAGUGACUCCAAUGGUUGCCUUCUGCAGUUUGGAGAGCAGUUCCUGUUGCAGAAAUAUGAAGUCAUUUCUCGAAUAUCACUGAUAUAGUCCCGAGUAGUGCGUAUAAUCCUUUUCCACAGGGUGCAACACUCUGCAGCAGUCAACAAGUCGUAUUCUUCUAAUUUCCCUUUGUGGAAUGCUACUAUGUCCCGAGGAGGAAUCCAUUUUUGGAUCCAAUGGGACAUUCAAAUCGCCUCUGAGGAUUAAGGUACCCUCUGUGAACUCAGAUAAGUUAGUUAAAACUCGACAAAUGUUUUGGGACUGAUUCUGGUUGGGAGCAUAGAUAGAGGCUAAUGUAUAAGUAUGAUGAGAAAUUGUACCCUUUAUGAAGAUGUGCCUGCCCUCUGUAUCAACUACCCUAUCUAUUUCUUGAUAUUCUAAUCUUGUAGCCAGUAGAAUGGCUACUCCUGCUUUUUUAGAGAUAGUGUGAUUGCUAAAGAAAGUAUAUGGGUAGGUUCUGUCUUUCAGUGUAGGGGACCAUCCCUUUCAGGAAGUGUGUCUCCUAAAGGAAUGCGAUCGAGACAUGUUUUUGUUGCAUUUCCUUGAGUAGGUGUGACCUGCGUUCCGGGACAUUCAAUCCCUUGCAAUUUUGGGUGAAGAUCAUCAGUGGACUGGGACAGUAAUACAUUGUUGCCACUUGUGAGACCAGGGUAGAUAUAUGUUUUGGAGUUGUGUCACAGAACCGCUUUCUGCCAGAUCUAUGGACAGGAGGAAUCAAGAAAACAUUUUGAUUAAUGUUGUUGAUUAAUAUUUAAUUGUCAUAGUUUUCCUACAUAGUAUACAGCUCAUUACAGACACAGAUAUUUCAAGCACUUCUUAAGGAAUCUGCAGUCAGACCUCUCUACUCCCUCUAGAAUCCACUCCAAACCCUGCACCUAAUUACAGACUAAUCUUCAACCUCACUUUUUCUAGGAAGGCCAUUGAGAAUGAUGUGUGCAAUGAUAAAGAAAUCUGGUAGUCCAACAACACCUACGACACAUUGCGGUCAGGAUUUCAGAGAACAUAUAGUGCUAAGGACAUUGCUAUGUGUGCCAAAUGACCUGUGGGUAGUAGGAAACAGGAGUGGGUUUUCAUAAAACUAGGAGAACAUUUAUAUAAAUUAGUAUUAUUAUUUUUUCAUUAUUAAUAAAUUACCACCCAAGUUAUUCCUACUAUUUAAUUUGUCUUUAAAUGACACUGCACCAUUAAUAUUGAAGUCUCUCAACCCAAUUUGCAUUGCAAUUAAACUAAAGCAAACUGCAUUCUCUGCCAAGGAGUUUGGCAGGCUGGCCCUCCAGUAGAUAGGGAAUAAUAUAUUUGAUUGACACCCUUGCUGCGGCUGUGGAUCUGUAAGUCUGGUCUAAUUCCUGUGUUGGCUCUGUGUGAUCCUAAGCAAGUUAUAUAGACUAAAAAGCAAUUUCUUUAUUUUAAGCACAAAUCGUGUUUUGUAGCAUAGGAAAUGUUGACACUCAUACAUACUUACGGAACUUAGCUCAGAAUCACUUACAAGUCAAUGUGUUACUUACAAUGAUUUAUGGACAAUGAUAUUUUACAGUAUCAAAGUAAGUUUACUGAAAUUAAAGAGAAACAAAGUAGAAAAAUAAUUAAUAGUAAUUAGUAUUAAAUUAAUGUAUUAUCUAUUUUAAAAACAACUUAACAAUUAUAUAUUUAAUUGCCUGUGCGUAUGUUAAAAAUACUUAAUUGUAAAGAUAAAUUAAACAAGAAUAAGCUUUUCAUAAUCACAGAAUAGUUAUUUUAUAGGCAAAAAAUAUUAAAUAAUAAUAAUUAUAGUUUAAGUACUAUUGAUUAUUUAUGAAACACUAAUUGAGACAUCAUAAACCAUCAUAUCUAUAUAGUUCAUUAUCACUGAACAGAAAAUAAUUUCAAUAUUAUACUACCCAACUUUCAUUAGGGUCAGGGUUGAAUGUCUGGAUUCAUGACCCCCUUAGAAAAUAGGCCAACAUGCCACCCAUCUUAAGCUAAAUCAACAAUCCUCAAAUAUUAAUGGGGCAGUAUUAUGCGAUUUUGAACUGGUUUUGGCACCCACCGAACAGUUAAUUUGCAAAUUUGAAGACAAAUAAAAACAUACUUUUGUAUAUCGGUGGUUGAUGUUAACUACUAUGCACGUUUUCUCAUCUGAAUCAUGUUUUGCCUGAACUAGAUCACAUUUUCAGCAGAAGACUCUAUUGUAGUUAUUUCAGGUAUACAGUCAAUAUCUCAAAGCCUUCUUCCUAUGUAGGAGGGCCCCAAAUAGAAAUACUUAAUCAAAUAAAAUGACUGUAAAAUCUGAAGUUAUCCAUUCCAUACUAUGUGACUUCACCAAGCAUUGGUAAAACAUGACAUAAGAUCAUUAUCAAGACAAUGUGUAAGGAACAAGUUAGAAGAUGUAUACUGAAUGAACCAAUACCAUCUUUUAUUAUUGGAGCAUUGAAGAAAAAAAAUAUAUGAUAUAAUAGCACAUAUUUUGUAUGAUAUUGAUUGUAAGGUGUUCAGAUGAUUGAGGACCUGGUUGGCAGUGAAAAAUGUUUAGUUUGUUCCACCAUGGAUUGUUGAAAAAACAAAAAAGGCAUUUUAUGGCCAUAAAAGAAAAAAAAAGAAGCAGAUACCUGGAUAUACUGUCUUCAUAGCUGAUUUUCUAACAUGGUUUCUCUUUGAAAUGUGUCUGUAAGUCGGUGCUGGCUUUCGAGGCCACAUGAUCUAGCAUUAUUAAAGACGGUGUAAACACAUUUUGAAAGUACUAGUUGAUAUAUUAUUAAAUCCAGUUUGGUGUAUAUAAAGGAAGAACAAUUCAUUUGUAGACAAUAAACCUCAAGAUAGUAAAUUCUAACAAAGAAACAACAUACUGUCAUUUUUAGAACUGCAAAUAACUAUUGUACUUAUUGUGAAGGCGCUGGUGAUUGUAGAUUCUGGAUUUACAUCAGACAGGAUGAGACAGAGUAGAUCAAAGAGAUUUUAUCAUCGGUCACAGUGACAUUGUUUUAAGCUACAGAACAAUGUGUUGUUACAGAUCAUGGUGAUGAAGAUUAAUGUUCUGAUGAAAUCUUAUUUAAAUGAAAAGAUAGAAAUUUUCAUUACUGAGGUGAGACAGUGUAAAUGUAAUGCCUCAUCACAUGUGCUUCACAUAAUAUAUUUGUAGUAAUCCUGUGUCACACUAAUCAUUUAUGAUUAUAUAAUUGUGAGACUUGACCAUGGGAACAGAGAAGGCUGGGUGAUAACUAUGGCUAUGUACCAGGAAUAAUCUUCCUUCUACCAUCCUUCUACCAUCAUCAGCUUAAUGAAGUGGUCUGGGUGCCAGGUCCAGCAAGAUUAACCAUUUUUUCUAUAAACAUAGUAGUUUCAGAGAAACUGCUAUGUUUACAGAUGGGUUAAUCCAGCCUCUAGUGGCUGUCUCAUUGACAGCCGCUAGAGGCGCUUCCGCGCUUCUCACUGUGAUUUCCACAGUGAGAAGACGCCAGCGUCCAUAGGAAAGCAUUGUGAAUGCUUUCCUAUGGACUGGCUGAAUGCGCGCGCGGCUCCUUCCGUGCAUGCGCAUUCAGCCGAUGAUGACGAGAAGGAGGAGGAGAGGAGGAGAGUCCCUCGCCCGGCGCUGGAGAAAGAGGUAAAUUUAAUCCCUUCCACCCCCUAGAGCCCGACGGGAGGGGGGCCCUGAGGGUAUGUUUUCCUGGCACUAUAGUGGUCCUUUAAGAACAUGCCUUAGAAAAGCUCUAAAACUUUGAUAUAAAGUGUCUAAAAUUAUGACAUCUGUAAGGUGUGUCAUAUGGCUGCAUGUUUAAAGGACCACUGUAGUGCCAAGAAAACAUACUCUCUGAAACUGCUAUGUUUAUAAAAAAAAAUGGGUUAACCCUAGCUGGACCUGGCACCCAAACCACUUCAUUAAGCUGAAGUGGUCUGGGUGCCUAGAGUGGUCCUUUAAGAAUCUGCAAACCUAGCAUUUUAUUACAAUAAUUAAUUUUUUUUAAAAAGAAUACAAAUCACAGAAGUAAAAUAAGACCUAUAAAUUCUUAAAGAAGCAAAUUGUUUUGCUCAAUGUUAUUGGUUACACUUGCAGAUAGACAUAUCAUUUUACUCCACAGGUGUUUAGUUUGUUCCACCAUGGAUUGUUGAAAAAAACAAAAAAGGCAUUUUAAGGCCAUAAAAGAUACCUGGAUAUACUGUUUAGAAGUAUAGAACUUUUGUGUAAAUGAAAAGUGAAUCAAAAUUGUAAUUUUAUUCACGAAGUAUUGUUUCCUAAAUCAUAAGAGUCACUAUAAUAGAAUUUUCUUCCUGCCUCAAUAUUUAGUGUAAAAUAGUAGCCUAUUAUAGAAUUUUGUGGGGGUUCAGCUCAUCUGAAUAUUGUCCAUACAAAUGAUUCAGUAAAACCUUUAAACAAACCAAGGUGGUGCAAAAAAGAGCCUAUCAGUGUACUGCAAAAUACAUACAGUCAUGGGAAAAAGAAAGUAACACCCUCUUUGAAUUAUAUGGUUUUAAAUAUCAGGACACAAUAAUAAUCAUCUGUUCCUUAGCAUAAUUAGGUAAAUACAACAUCAGAUGGACAACACGUGAUAUAUUACACAGUGUCAUGAUUUAUUUAAAAAACAUAAAGACAAAAUGGAGAAGCCAUGUGUGAAACACGAAGUAUACCUUAUGAUACAAUAGCAUGUAGAACCAGCUUUAGAAGCAAUAACUUGAAGUCAUCAUUUUCUGUAUGACUUUAUCAUUCUCUCACAUUCUUGUGGAUCAAUUUUGACCUACUCUUCUUUACAACGUUGCUUCAGUUCAUUGAAGUUUGCUGACAUUUCUUUUGCCAUGGCAUUUCAAUCAGGUUGAGGUUUAGACUUUGACUCGGCCAUUGCACCUUGACUAAUUUUAUUUUGUUUCAGCCAUUCAGUUGCAGAUUUACUGGUGUGCCUGGGAUCAUUGUCCUGUUGCCUGUCCAACUUUUGGCCAAGCUUCAGCUGUCAGACAAAUGGUCUCACAACUGACUCUAGAAUACUUUGGUAUACAGAGGAGUUCAUGGUCAACUCAAUAACUGCAUGUAUUUCCCAGGUUCUUUAGCAGCGAAACAAGCCCAAAUCAUCACCCCUCCACCACCGUGCUUGAUAAUUGGUAUGAGGUGUUUGUGUAAAUAUGCUGCGUUUGGUUUUCGCCAAACGUUGCACUCUGUGUUAUGGACAAAUAUCUCCACUUUGGUCUUGUCUGUCCAAAGGACAUUGUUCCAGAAGUCUUGUGAUUUGUUCAGAUGCAACUUAGCAAACCUAAGCUGUGCUGCCAUGUUCUCUUUAGAGAGAAGAAACUUUCUCCUGGCAACCCUUCCAACAAACCAUACUUGCUCAGUCUUUUUCUAAUUGAACUGUCAUGAACUUUAACAUUUAACAUGCUAACUGAAGCCUGUAGUGUCUGAAAUGUAACUUGUUUUUUUUCUCCAAUUUCUCUGAGCUUUGCAUGGUCUGACAUUGGUGUGAAUUUGCAGGGACAUCCACAUCUGCUGAUAUACAGUCAUGGGAAACAGAAAGCGCACCCUCUUUGAAUUCUAUGGUUUUACAUAUGAGGACAUAUUAACAAUCAUCUCUUCCUUAGAAGGUCUUAAAAUUAGGCAAAUACAGCCUCAAAUGGACACCAACACGUGACAUAUUACACCAUGUUAUCAUUCAGUUAACAAAAAUAAAGCUAAAACAGAGAAGCCAUGUGUGUAAAAACACUAAGUACACCUUAUGAUUUAAUAGCUUGUAGAACCCUCUUGUCACGCGUAUCGCUACUGCGGUAUUCCCACAAACUAGGGGGAAUACUGCCAAACACUCACCGGAGGUGACCUCUUCUCUCUCAGCAGCCGGGUCUGUAUCAAUAAUAAUUUAAAGGUUUCCUGUUUAAAUCUUAAAGAGCCAGAUCAAUUAAUUUAAUAUGGGUGUGUUACACACAUAAGCUUGAUCACAUGUUUGCCUACAGCCUAUCAGGAAACACAUUUAGCUAUUUAAACCUAGUUUGUCCAUUUCUUAGUGCCCUGUCGUGGUUUCCAGUUGGUUAUCCGAGAGCGCAUUCCUUGUAUUGAUUUCUUGUGUAUCUGACCUUGGCUUCCCUUAUUUACUAUCCGAUCUCUGUAUCCCUUGACUUUUGGCUUGGCUCCUGACUAUUCUGAUAUCUCCAUUCCUUGACAUUUGGCUUGUUUAUCGUUUGCGGUAUACCUUUGUCUUGGCUUUUCCCUGUCUUGUGUCUUUUUGCCUUUUUACGUUAAAUCCGGCCAUUCUAAGGCCAGGUAAUAUGUCUUAGGUAUUUACUUUAUAUCUACUUAAGUUCUGCGUGUUUGGCAUCUACAGUAAUCCUGACACCUCUUCAGCAGCAAAAACUUGACCUAACUAUGUAAUAAAACAUAAAACAAAAAAGAGAUAGUUGUCCAGGAAAGAUGUUAAACUCUGAUGUGGGCUGUUAAGUGUCACCUAAUCAGAUGUAGGUGUGGGAUGCAGUGUAGUGCCAUUGAGGUCAGGAAUGCUAGAUGCAGGCCAGUAUGUGGAGUUCUAGUUUGCGGCAUUACUGUGGGAAAUCACGGUAAUCACAGUGCUCAAUAUUGUCUUGGGUAUACGGUUAGGGGCUUACAUUAAGUACUCGGAGGACGAGGAGCUGAAACGCCAGGCAGCGCACCUUCUUGGGUCUAGGCUGCAUGGUGAACAGUUCCCUGAUGCUCUGGUUUCCUUCUCCAGAUUGAGUUUUUAGGUUUUUUUUGGAGCGCUUCCCCGUGUCUUCCGGAUAUCAGGUACUUUGUCUAGGGCGGAUUUCUGAGGUGCAGGUAGUAUCAUUGAUUGUGUAAGCUGAUGGAUUGACCGAGCUCAGCGAGCAUGUGAUUGCUCUCGGUUUCUUUCAAGCAACACUCCCAGUGCCUCUGUUUUUUUACCCCUUUGUCCAUAACUUUCCACCAGCCCCUACUCACCAUCCUUUUCAGGCAUUCCUUUUUCUCUUUUUCUUUGAUGUCCCAGUAAGCUUAUCACACUCUCCCUAAUUCCCUUUCCAUGAUUUUCUUCCUCCGAUGCUCCUUUAGUUCUAUUCUGUGCUCUGUUCCUUAUAUUGUUUUUCUUUUCUUAGCCAUGGCAAGCCUUGCCUCUUUUCUGUUUUUCUAUUGCUUUCACCAACUUACAUUCUCUCCCACUUUUCUGCUUUUCUCUACCUACCUCUCUUCAUGCUCCAUGUUGUGUGUGCCAGGCUGCUGCUCCCUCACCCCAGUGUUUGGUGUAUGUAUGAUACUUCCUAUCCCCAUCUCUCCCCAUCACAGAGCACUGCUUGUUACAGAAAAGAGGAAACCCGAAAGGGAGAGCAGAUAAUGAUGCCAGGGCUCCACUUUUUAAUUGAAUUAGUUGUUUUGAAAUGGUUUCUUUGCUCACGAGGGACUGUCUUUCUGUAAAGGAAAAUAUGAAGACAAUGCACACACACACAAUGGAAUCAACCAGCUAUAUAUUUCCUGCAACUGUGUCUUUUAUCCUGAUACAUAUAUCCUGAAAUAUAUAAUGGACUGUCCUUUUAAAAAUCUGAUAUGUGCCAAUCAUUAACAUAAUGAUAAUAAUUACUUCUCUGUCCAAAGAAAAAAAAAACUUUAAGACAAUGCAAGAUAACAAAGUAAAUACACUAAUGUAAUGAGAUAUCAGUUUACUAUUAUUAAAAUAAAGUAAUCCGCAGUGAAAAAGCAGAAUACUUGCAAUAAACACAUAAGUGCUAGAAAUAUUUAAUUAAUAUUAGCAGUUAAAGUAAUUGAGGGUAGCAAUGGUCCUCAUAUGGAAAGGGGACUUCAAAUAAGAAAAUGUUGGCAUGGUAAGUUAUAAGUAGAGGGAUCAAAAAGCAGAUGUGGAUUGAAACUCGUGAUGAGCUGACAGUUUGGAUCCAGCCAUCGGUGAAUGCACAUUUUGAGUUGUGGAGACCAAGCUUAACAUGUUAGGUUUCAAAUUCUGGCUAUCCUUGUUGUCUGCCAAGCAAGUGAAAGGCAACAAAAGAUCAAUGUGCUUGGUUUCAUCAGUAGUCUUUCACUUCCUCAUUUUAAUUUUUUAAUAAUUUUAUUAUCAUCUCAAUAAAACAAAGGCAAAAAACCCCACUCGGACAAAUUGGGAUCCUUGCUAAUUUGCAGUCCUUCAGUAGUCAUAUACUUAAAGAUAUAUUAACACAACAAGCUACAAACAACCCAAAUGGAAAGAUAAAGCUGAAAGAAAAGGUAACAAAUGUGCCACUUGAUUUCUGCUGAAGAUUGGACACCUGGUUUCUGAAAUGUUAACUGUCAUUCAGCUAACCAUUCCACUCAUUCUAUUUAGCAAAUCCUAACUAACCAUUCUAAACAUUCUAUUUAAUACACCUUGAACAUUCUGAACAUUUCACAAUUAUUCUACUUAUUUUUUUACUUUCUAAUUACUUCAACAUGAACAUUCCAAACAAUGUAACCAUUUUACUUUGCACACCGGGGUAGCAUUAUGGAGCAACAUAUAUUAUAAAAUAAUCAAAUACAGCUUUAGAACCAUACCGUCUUGCUCAUUAUAACUCUUUCACAUUCUGUAGAAUAUACAGUUGAGAUCUACACUCCAAUUCUAAGUAUGGAACAAAUUACAGUAUUUAUCUUUAAAAUCCUAAAAGAAAAGAUUUUGAGAAAACCUUUAUAGGGACUUAAAGGGUGUCAGUGCCAAAAACCACUUACCCUGCUAUGCUCACUGGGCGAACAGAAGCUUAAAAAUAAAUAAGGAAAUGAACAAAAAUAAAAUAAUUUACAAAUUAGUGAAAAUAUUCUAAAUAAAAAAUGAAUACAACUCCCAGGUCCUACAAUUACUAUUAUAUAUAUACCAUAACCUUUUUGGUUAUUGCUUCCCAAGCGCUACCAAGCCUCAAUAGCAAACCAGUAACCAACCUCAUUCUGAUGAUUUGCAUUAUCAAUGAAGCAACUGUCCAUGAGUGGUUCACUGACUUUGCAUCUUUUCCUAAAUUGUGUUUCAAAGCUGUUGUAUACUGCAAACACAGACUCAAAGGAAUCCAUAUUUAAGAUGGAAUGAGGCAAAAAUGUGAUUCUUUGUUAAACUAAUUUGCAUAUGCCCACCCAUAAUCCUUUGCGGUAGUAACAUCACUGUCAAUUUGUGAUUUCUGUAGGAAAAACAAGUCUUAUGGUUUGACUGGUGUGCAAAUUUUUGUUUAACAUUGUAUUAAAUAUUUUUAUAUAUAUAUAUAUAUAUAUAUAUAUGUGUAUAUAUAUAUAUAUAUAUAUAUAUAUAUAUAUAUAUAUAUAUAUAUAUAUAGGUGGUAGAACUUGUAUUCAUUUUUGAUUAAAAAUAUUUUCACUAAUUUUUAAUUUGUAAAUUCUAUCUCUAUCUAUCUAUCUAUCUAUCUAUCUAUCUAUCUCUGUCUGCCUAUUACAUACCAUGAAUAAAUAAAUAGGAUAUCAUUGUAAUCACUCAUUGGUUUAUAUAAAGAAAUAAAGAUAUUUAUUUCUAUAUAACAAUCACCAUAACCAUAUUACAGCAUGACUCCAAAUUAUGACUCCGAUAAUUCUUAUUGAAAAAUAAAUACAAAAGAUCUGUCAAUCAAUACGCAAUAAAUAAAUCAAAACAAGAAAAAGGGACAAUUGAAUAAUUUUAUCCAUUUAAUUUUGAUCAACUUCUUUACUAGAAGAUCUUUAACAAAAAGGAAAAUCACUGCUUACAAAGCUUUUGCGCAAACAGUGUGUCAGUUUCUUAGUGGAACAGAAAAUAGUUUUAGUCAAUGACUGUCUUAUGUGGUGACAAGUAUUAGUUAUUUUAUUGUUGAUAGUGACUCUCUCUAUAUAUUGUUGUUUGUGAUGACAACCCAAAUAAUUAUUGGCAAAAUUAUCAUUUUCAUUAUGUCUAUACUUAUAUAAUUGUUUUUGGUUUAUGGAUCGUGGCUUGGACCGAGUCAAAGUAAUUUUGUUAUAAAGAAAACAGAAAGAUGACUAACUGAGAAAAAGGUGUCUUUGUGAUGCAACACAUCCAAACAGAAUCCACAUAGUGCUGUAUAUUUAACACAGUAAGUACUAAGGAUUACUAAGUACUAAGUACUUAGAAUUUGAGGGAUACUACUAGGUAACCUGAAUGUUCCAAAGAUACAGUUUUUGAUGUGCUGGAACAUAUUUGUGGAUUAAGACCCAUGUUGACUAGCGUGUGGCACUUGUCAGACAAAGAAGUAACACAGCAGGGACUAUAAUUAGACUUUUGUAGAAGGUGACAGUGGCAGAGAGAUGUUUACUAUGUAUUUAUUGGUAAGGUAGCACUCAGUUCAGUAUGAUUUAAUUCAGUAUGAUUUUAAUGGAGGGGAGAGCUGCUUCAGGCCAGUGGCAGACACGUUUUCGGUGUGCCAUUGCAUCUUGAUUAAUGCUAUGUGUAUUAGUAUCCAAAUACUUACUUAAAUGAGGAAUUUUAGUGUUUGUUUGGUAAUUAGCUGCAUUGGCUUGGCAGCUGUAUGGGAUCUGCAUACACAACCUCUGCAAUAUAUUAGCAAACCCCAAACUGGAGCUUUCACAUUACAGCUAUGUUUAAAUGCCAUUUUUUGUUAGUGUAUCUCUUUGUACCUAUGCAGUGCUCUGCAUCAGUGUAGUUUGUGUCAUCACUUUAAAUAUGUGUUAUAGUAUUGCUCUUGAACAAAUUACUUCUUAAAUAUUUGCAAGUGUCUUUGCAUUUCAUGAAAAUGGCAGUAAAGUAGAAAACUUGUAUUAAAUCAAUGACAAGUGGAGUUACAGUAGAAUGUGUGGAGGAUAUGCUAAAACUUGACAGUUGUGAAGUUCAUUUGUUGUUUUAUGGAGCUUAUGCUUUAGUAUGUAUAGAGUUUCUUUAAAACUCAUAUAAUAACUUAGCUUUUCACAAAACGUGGAAUCAGGAUGAGUUCACUAACCGUAAAUUAACUGCUUUUGAACUUUCACAAGUGAUGUCCUGAAGGAACUGGCUCAGUUGUCCCAGUCAACCUGUUAAUUCCCAUUUUCGUUCACUGACAGAAUAAGUGAGCAUACACUGUUUUAUGAAACCCAAAUGGGUUCAUGUGUGCUCAUACUAUUCAUACAUGGUCCAUGCAGUCUCAAUUUUAGAAACAUUUAAGCAAUGCUUAUUCUCUUUUGUUAUGUUAUGAUUUUGGAACAUUUUUGAAGAAAAAAAACUCCCACCCAUUUUUUGGAUAUAGACUCCUAACAAAGGAUUUGCGUGGGCCAUGAGCUUCUGGUUGCCAUAAAAAAUAGGCCUGUGUAUUAUCCUGUCUAUUAGGGUUUUCAAUGGGUAACAACAUCAGCAGGUAGACCCUAACCUGUUUCAAGUUGCUGUUCAUUGAGUCAGGUGUUACAUAUAAUUGAGCAGGAAAAGUCCACCAAGUCAGGGAGCAGUGCCCCACAUCCAUUAAACUUCACCUGCCUCAAGUGACUGUAUAUCUAGCUAAAUGCAAAAAAAUCAGGAAAUUUACACGUCUGUUUUCAUUAUGAAGCAUUGCUUGCGCUUUUGUACCUCAUGUGUCCCUUUAAGGUAAGGGUGGGGAACCUUCGGCCCUCCAGAUGUUGUGGUCUGCAUCUCCCUUGAUGCUUUGCCAGCAUUUUGGCUUUAAGAGCUUUAUGGGAAAUGUAGUGCAUAACAUCUGGAGGGCAGAAGGUUCCCCACCCUUGCUUUGAGACAUACCACAACAUAGAACAUUGGGUUAAACAAAAUUCUUUUUUUUUUGUGUUGCUGAGAAAAUUGUCUACUUUAUGGAAAUAGAAAAUAAUAUCUGGCAUGUGAUUUCUUGUUGGUAUUUUCCUCCAAAGUCUGAUACAUUGUGCUUUCUUUAAACCAGGUCCAAUCUACAUAAAUUACCAUUCGGACAAUAAAGAUUUACUUCUGCGGCAUGCAUCAGUGGUUUUGUCCUCCAAAGACAAAUUUGCAGUUAUAGAUGAUUAUGGCAUAUUGAAACAUAUUGAUUGAAGAAGAGCUAAAGAUUGGAUAGCAAGAUCUGACAGCUAUUAUCAUUCAAAGACAAGUUGGUGAAUGGGCACAUUAUAUUUAGCGCAUACUAUAUUCUUUUCACUAGAUUAAAGGAAAGUGAAACCUGAGGUUAUGGAUGAUUGGAAUAUCAUAAGUUGUUAUUAUAAGCAUGUAAUAUAUUGUAUAGUACUGUAUAUAAUGCUUGUACCUAUAGGAUUUUUUUUCAUAUUUUUUUGUUACUAUGAUACAAAGUACUAUGUUCUUAGUCUUCCCACUUUGAAAAAUGAUUAAAACGUGUCUCAGUUCUCAACCUAUCUAUCUCAACAUUCAAUCUUCAACCUAUCGCUCCUGUAAUUGUCCUAUUUAUAGUUAAAUCCCUUAUAAUUGUAAAGCUCUACGGAAUCUGUUGGCGUUAUAUUAAUGGCAAUAAUAAUAACAAGAGCAAUUUAUUGAAAAGUGUUACUGAAAAUUAUCAUGAAAAAAAACAAUAUUGCCAUGUUAUAUAUAAUACCUUAACAAAAUGUUGCUAAUUGUGAGCUACAUGACUGGCCGGUCAAACAUUCUGCUGAAAAGUUUAAAUGAUCAGCAAAAUUCAGUUCCUUGUUUGACCUUUAAAUCUUCCUCUAUGGAAUGGCUUGCUAGAUAAAUGGAUUUGCUAUGUAUUUUGGCAUAUGUGUGAAGCCUGAAAGACACAAUUGUGCUUAGGGUAACAGUUAAUGGUCUAAACAAGUGGCAAGUAAUCAAACCCCAACCCAAAAUAAAAAAGACUGCAGUCAAUAUGCAAUAAGUGUAGAUACUAUCAGAUAGGGGAGGCCUUGCUUGAUUCAUUUGUAAAGAACGUUUUGUAGUUUAAUUUUUUUCUCCGUGGUUUGAAAUGCUUACCAACUUUACUGAAACUAUCAAUAAACCCUUCUGCACAGGCAGAGGACAAAGUAGUCCAACCUGUGAGUGAUAGGUCCCCGUGUCAUAUGAUCACAGUUUAGCAAUUAGCAGGACAGGAAAAAAUAUACAAAAUGACAGAAAAAACAGCUGCCCAUGGUUUGGGCAUUGUUUAGGGAUAGGAAUUCAAAUAAAAUUGUAUUAAUGUUUCAAAUACUUUUUAUAUAUCUAUAACAUGUUCUAUUCAGCGUAGUAGGCAGAACAUUUCGCUCCAGUUCAAAAAUAGUCACUUCUGGACAACUGAUGCACUGCAGCAAUGAUGUAAGUCUCAGAGCUAAUGUGAGUCCACCCUGACUCUCUACAUGCGGCAAGAUAGUAUUAUUAUUAUUAUUAUUACUGGUAUUUGUAUAGCACCAGCAUAUUCCGUAUUGCUUUACAAUAUUAUCAAAGGGGGAGAUUUAACAAUAAAUAAGAUGAUUACAAAAACUUACAGGAAUAAUAGGUUGAAGAGGACCUUGUAAAACAUAUUAGGACAGGAAAUAGCAAUCAAAUAGGGUGGGAGUAAAGCAGAGCUGGAGGAGAGAGUAUAGUGCUGCCCUUUAGGAGAGAGCAAGGGAUAGGUAUGUGAGGUAGAGGUUACUCUGGGAGGCCAUAAGCUUUCAUAAAAAGAUGGGGUUUGAGGCACUUUUUAAAUGAUUGAAGACUAGGGGAGCUAACAGCUGUACAGCAUAGUUCUCUGUGUCUGUGCACUCUGCUACUGCCUGGAAGCCUCUUAGAGAGCCCCUCAGAAUGUAAAAGAGAAGAGACACAGAACACAGAGCCAGGCCCUGUGCACUAAACUGCCAAAGGGCCAGGGGAUCAAAGAAAGGGGUGAGGGCUCAGUUAAAUUUUGUAUUUUUACAUUUAAUUACUUUUAUAUUAAUGUGUUUGCAUUGUGAUUGUUUCUGUGAAAUGAGAGUGAUAGUACAUUUUGUAUCUGUAACAGUCUAUAUGCACAAAAAUGCAUGUAAGAGUGUUUUUGAAGACUGAAUAUGUACUUUUGGGAAAUUGGGAAUGUCUGUAAGAGUGUCUUUGUAGAGUGUCUAAAUGUUUCUGUUUUUGUAAGAGUGUCUGAGUGUGUCUCUGAUCGUCAUUGUGCGUACAGAGAAAAGGCAGUGUUUACAUUGCCCCUAGGAACACCUCCAAGUGGCCACUCCUCAGAUGGCCACUGGAGGGGCUUCCUGGCUCAGGGCUGCACAGUAGGCAGCACUGCCAUUCAGCGUCCUCACGCUGUUCAUGGAGACGCUGAAUUUUCCUCAUAGAAAUGCAUUGAUUCCAUGCAUCUCUAUGAGGAGGUGCUGAUUGGUCAAAAUAGUGUUGCUGAUUUUAGCCAAUCCAAUGCUGUCCCUUUGGGAAGCUGGAAAUAAGGUGAGUUUUAACCCAUUCUAAGGGGACUAAGGAGGGUCAAGCCACCUAAAUGGUGUGUUUUCACUGUUUGUGUUCCUGACCCUAUAGUGAUCCUUUAAUAUUGUGGCUAAUACUGUUUCAAUAUAGUUUUAUUUGUCCUCACAUAAAUACUGAUUAAAAUUUUCUUUUAAUGUUUAUUCGAAGAGCCACUUAUUUUUUAGUUUUAAAUAGUUUUUUAUUCGCAAGCAUGUACCAAGAAAACAAGUGCAGUAUGGUUACAUUGGAUUGAGAUGAAAUUUUACACAGACAGGCACAAUGAAGAUACAACAGUACAUCGCUUUUUGUCACAUGGUGUCUUUAAACAGGUUCUGCAUGAGUUGUUGCUGUCAUCACAUGCUGCAAAGGUUUUUUUUCUUCAUAUAUAACAAACAGUGGGAGGGGGGGGAGAAGGUGGGGGAGAGGGGGUGUACAGUGCCAUGGGGGGGGUGGACAGUCAUUCAACCUUUCAUGUUCUGGUGCCACUAACGUAGUGCCUGCCUAUAUGAUAUAUUCCUUCCUACCUCAACUCCAAGAGGUACUGUGUUGUUAGUAUUGAUGGUAGAGUAAGUUUACACGUAGCGUGACCCAGAGUUAAGUAUAGAUAAAUAAAAAGAGAGCUUUGGGAUGCCAGUCGGUUGUGUGAAUAUUAACGCGAUAUACCUUGGGUGUCACCUGGUUAGUCCCAUAACUUUAAAUAUGGGCACAGCUGUUCGACUCUUCCUCGGCUUAGAUAGUUUUUGCGUGUGUCCUAAGGCUUUCUGUUGCCUUAUUCCAGUUCUCCUAAGCUAUCUUCCAUAUUUAGUUUUUUUGGUUGGGUGCCUGUAUGGCUGCGCAUUCGUAUGUUUUAUUUUGGUCUAUCAGUUGGAUGCAUUCUUGAAGUGUUGGGGUUGUCUUGGUGGCCCAUCUCCUACUGAGUAGUGUCAAUGCUGCUAUGGUAAUCUGAAAAAUAAGAUAUGCCAUGUUCGGCUUAAUUAUGGGGGGGUACUUGUGCAGGAGAUAUGUUUCUGGGGUAUCUGGGAGAUUCAUGCCGGUAACUGAUGCUACUAGACUAAUCACAUCUUUCCAAUAUUUGGAUAAUCGUGGGCAGUUCCACCAAAUGUGGAACAUAUCUCCUUUGGCUUCUAGGCACCUCCAACAGCGGUCAGACACUGUGGGGAACAUUUUCUGUAAUUUUGUUGGUACUAAGUACCAUUUAUACAGGAUUUUUCUGGUUAGUUCUAUAUGGGAGGAACAUACAGAGUUUGGCUCUAUGGGUUUCCCAUAUGUGUUUUGUUAGGGCAAUGGUAGGUAGCAUCUUUAAGUCUCUAGGUUUGAGAUGGGGUGGGAUCCACAUAAUUGAUAGGAAUUGGAGUGGUUGCUGAUUCUAGUGUUACCCAUUGUGGUUUAUUUUCUUGGGUUUGUGCUAUAACAAUGGGGUUGAUGUUGGCUGCAUGGUAAUAAUGUCGUAUGUUAGGAAGGCUCAUGCCUCCUUUUGUGUGGUGCCUGUACAUUGUGGAGGGGGCCAGUCAUGGUUUCUUGUUUGCCCAAAUAAAUUUGUUUAGUAGGUGCUGAAUCUCUUUACAGAAGGAGGGUGGUAAUCGGAUUGGCAGGGUCCGAAAGAGGUAUUCAUAUUUGGGAAGAAUAACCAUUUUUACAGUGGCCACUCGGCCUGUCCAGGAGAUGUACUUUUUGUGCCACCCCUGGAGGAGUGAUUGCACUUGUGUUUGUAGUUUUGUGUAGUUAGCUUUAAAGAGUUGAUGCAUCAAUGGUGUCAAUUGUAUCCCUAAGAAGGUAAGAUGGUCUGUUCACCAGUCAUAUUGGAAUUCUGAUUGUAGUGCUUUUGUACAUUCGUGUCACGUGUGGCGGUACGGAAACCGGGACCCCUGAGUGCCUGAUGAGAAGUGGGAGUCUUAGCAUGGUAAUGGACUAUCAGGGCCUGGUGCAGGGUAACCACACGCCCCCUGGUGUUGAGCACCAGCGUUUGCGUGGCCACAUACCAGAACCCUGAUGCAACUACAGCGGAUCUCAGGAACUAGGAGCUUGAUAUGCAGACCUCCCAGGAACUGGAUAGGGGGGCUCUGGAGCAGACAUGUAUCCAGUACAGAAACAAGGCAAGGCUAGGAUAGUCACCAAACAAGAAAACAAGACAGAACUAGAAGAACCGAGAACCAGAGAAGGAUAGGAAGCUAAAUCCAGAACAUGUACACAAUACAUAAGGGAACAUUAACUAAACAGGGGCAGGACAGGACUGUACAUGGACUGGGAAUACAAACUAAAACAAGACAAGAUAUGAUAGGCAAAACAAGAGGAGACAUAACUAAGCACUAUGAAAAGUAUGGGGAUUUAGUUACAUUAUUUGAUCAUACAUUGCAUAAGCCUGCCACAACACCAAUAUACCCCAUAUUCGGCAGGUCCUACACUGCCUAAUGUUCGCUAAAAGAACCAUACUAAACCACAAUAGCACUUACCUGCAAGAAAGGGCAGAGACUUGAAACACUGCUGCAGGUCCAGACUGAAACAAAAGGAAAAUGGAAAACAAAUGAGUGUGGCAACAUAAAACAAACAUUUAAAGGAAACCUGGACAGUGGGAAUUCCAGGGACAGAUUACAGGAAUGAACCCAGAAAACCCAGCAUAAGGAAAAUCAGACAUGGAAUAGAAAACCAAAAAAACAAGAAAAACUAAACAAGAAUUGUAAAAAGAGUACUGGAUACCAGAAGCUAUCACCAGACUGAUCCGCAGAACAAGGCAUGAUGUGACAAUUCGCCUGGGAGGUUAAUGCUCAUGGCUUGUGUCUGGGACACAUUUAGUUUGUAAUAGGAACAUUUGCUAUAGUCUGCUAGCGUAGUCGUGAACGUUUGUAAGGAAAGUUUGGGGUUUGUCAGGGUAAGUAGGAUGUCGUCUGCAAACAGUGUGAGUUUAUAUUCUUUUUGUUGGACUCGUAUGCCUUGUAUAUAUGGGUGGUAGCGGAUUAGGGUGGUGAGUGGUUCUAGUGCUAGAAUGUAUAGUAGGGGUUACAAGGGGCAGCCCUGCCGUGAUCCGUUGGUUAUGUUAAAUGGUUGGGAGAGGAACCUGCUUGUAACUACUUUUGCGGAGGGGUUGCUAUCAAGUGUUUUCACUGCAUUUAAGAAUUGUGUUGGGAAGCGGAAUUUGUGCAGCACCCUGAGGAGGAAGGACCAGUUCAGCGUAUCGAACGCCUUUUCUGCGUCUAGGGACAGGAAUACACUGUCCCCCCCUCCCCGGAGGCGAAGAACCGCUUAUGACAUAAACAUAUUUACAGCCACACCUGGCACUAUUAAAAUUAAUAUGUCCAUAAGAAUGCUAUUGUCAUCAGGUGCUUUUACAAAAUAUAUAGAUAUAAAACAAUACUGGAAAAUUUUAUCUUUGAUAUUAAAUAAUGAUAAUAUACUGAUGGAUGGUUACUUCACAGAGAGAAACAGAUAAGGGGAGAUCAGCUACUGGAAAGUCUCCUGUGUCAAAAAGUGAAAGUAUUUUUUUGACCCCAAGCAGUGAUCUAAUCCCUUAGCUAUUGCUGGCUUAAACAUGUAUUCUUCCACAUACCAUCCUUUCAUGCUACCUGACGGGGUGUGACUACACGUGGAAUAUUUUUCAUAAUUUAUGUGAGGAAUCAGUUAGGAUAACUGUUAUAAUUUUUUUUUAUCAAUUCUUUAUUUUUGCAUUGACAGACAUUAAAAGUGAGAGCAUUUUUGGCUUACGCAGAAGCCCAUCUUUCAAAUGUGCUUUAGUCAUGUUACAGAAAGAAAAUCUGGGUUGUUAAUAUACAUAAUAUAUGUUUUAGACAUGUUGCAUGUGGGUUGCGCAAAGGCUGUUGUCAUAAUUUUAAGGCCAUAUUUAAAUGUAUAUUCUUGAGAUUAUGUGCCUAUAAACCAAGGCAAUUUAGAAGUAGGAGGGUUCUUUUCAGCUAUCGCUGUCAAUAUAUAAAAACUGCAUAUAGAAUCAACAGCAAGGAACAUUUAAUUACUGUACACAACAUGCCCGGGUAUUGACAUUUAGAAUUAGGGGCACGUUCUGUAUUUUUAUUCCAACAUUUUUGCUCCAUAGCCCUUUCAUCUUGCCUUUCCAUCAAGCCAAUGUCUUAUAAGAUAGCAUUUCUUCAGGUACCAAGCAAUCACGACUAGAUGAAAGGGCUAUGGAGCAAAAAUGUAGGAAUAAAAAUACAGAACGUGCUACAGAAUGUCUAGUGCAUGAAGUAUAGUAAUUCCAUUCCACAUGAAUGUGAAGUAUAAAUGCUCCAGUAUUACACUCUAGUGCUAAAAUACAUAAAUGUCAUUGAAAUGAUGAAGUAAUCAAGUUUAUUGCACCUCCUUUACUUUCCUGACUAUAAUCCACCAAUAUGGGGUAAUGUAUACUUUAUUUAGGUGGCUCUGAGCAACAGCGGAAGUAUCUGCCCAUUUAUUGCAUAACUACCUCUUUUUCACACGUGGAAGCACCAGCUACUCCCCGUUUUUUCCUUACAUGACAUAAACCUCUCUGACAUAGCACAGUACGGACAGUGAGUAUAAGGCAAUGCAAGGGGUCUCGUGUUUUUUAAUGCGCAAAUAAUCUUGGUUGCCAACACAAUCCUGUAGGUUGGCACUUCGACAGAUCUGACCUAAUACAUGAAGGCUUCUCUGUGGAAGUUUUAUUUACUAUGCUAUAAAUCAAAUAUAAUAACCUUAACUAGCAUACUCCUAGCCAAGUAGGAGAAUCAAAAAUACUAGGAGAAUAAUGGUUUUCAGAAUGUUAACAUUUAACGUAGUGUCAUCUUGGAUGUCAGUAUCCAUAAUAUUCUAGAGCACAAUUUUUGGCUAAAGCCUGACAUUUUUGCAAGCGCUCUCCGUGUUUCAUGCCAUAAUGAUUAGCCUCGCCAUAAGUCAUAAAUCCCAAACUGAGUAGGUUUAAAUUUUAUGUUUUACUACAUCUGGUUUCAAAACCCAUUACUUAUCCUGUUUUAUGACCUCAUUUUGGAAGCAAAAAGAGUCACUUCAAAGGGGAAAUAUAUGGAGUUAUUUAUAUGGAAAACACAACAGCCUUCCGUAUAAAACUGGCUUUAAAACACAGCUCGCAAAUAGCAACUGCAAAAAAAAAGAAAGGACUUUAUAAAUCGCGCUGCUGCCAGCAACAUAUUCCUAUACCAUUUUGGCUGUGAAAAAAAAUAAAAUAAGAAUUGCUGGCUUUUGGUGUUUGUUUAGACACCCAAAACUGCAUGGAACCUGUAAUAAGAAGAUAUUUGAUUUGAAGAUAAUUGCCAAAUGAAAGGAAGCUGUGGAAAAAAAAGAAUAUUAAGGAUUUCUAAAAAUAGUAAAUUAACGUUUCAUACUCAAUAUUUUUAGGAAAUUCAGAAUUAAUUUCAAAUUUCAGUUCAAAAUAGCUAAAAAUAGAAACAUUUCCAAAAUCGGCUUUGCUUUCACUUUCAAUUCAUUUUUAACUCACAGCAAUUCACACAGUAGUAAAUAACUCUGAAAGACAUAUUGUAAGGUCACAUCUAUGAUUUGAUGAAAAACAGAUCUAUGCCAUCACUGAAAUGCAGACACCACAUCUGCAGCCUACUUUGUUGACUCCAUUUAUUUGAGAAACCUUCAGAACUGAUAGGGUCACAAAUGCUAGAAAAAUUAAGCACCUGAGAUUAAAAAUGUCAAUCUGUCGGAGUUUUAAUAUUUCUUAGGAUGUCGGCUGGAAUUCCAAUAAAAUGUUACCAAUUAUCAUGCUCUGUGUUCUUUAAUCAAUAAUUACUGUCAUUCUUUCACUUUCUGAAAUGUGCAAUAUCAUUUCUAUGCAGAUGACACGCAAAUCUACCUGUCCUCUCCUGAUCUCUCCCCGUCCCUCUUGACUAGUGUCUCUGACUGCCUCUCUGCUGUUUCUAAUUGGAUGGCUGCCCACUUCCUUAAACUAAACUUGACCAAAACUGAAAUUCUGGUCUUUCCUCCCUCAAGUGUUGUUACUCCUGUGUCUAUCUCCCUCCAAGUCAACGGUGCUACCAUCAGCUCCACCAUGCAGGCUCGCUGCCUAGGUGUUCUCUUUGACUCCGACCUCUCCUUCAAGCCUCAUGUUCAAUCUAUCGCCAAAUCCUGUCAUUUCCAUCUCAAAAACAUUGCGCGCAUCCGCCCCUACUUAACGCCAGAUGCGACUAAGGGGUUGGUCCAUUCCACUGUCCUUUCUCACCUUGACUACUGUAAUCCACUUCUCAGUGGUCUUACGUGCUCCCAACAUGCGCUGUUACAGUCCAUAAUGAAUACGGCGGCGAGGCCCAUCUUCCUGUCCACCCGCACCUCCCAUGCCUCACCCUUCUGUCAGUCCCUACAUUGGCUUCCUAUAAAAUAUAGAGCUCAAUUUAAAAUUCUGGUUCUUGCUUUCAAAUCUCUACAUAAUGCUGCUCCCACCUAUCUAUCCUCCCUUAUACACAAGUAUGUCCCGUCUAGGCCAUUACGAUCUGCUGAAGACUUACGUCUAUCUUCUGUCCAUACUCCCACCUCUGAUGCUCGCCUUCAAGAUUUCUCGAGGGCUGCACCGUUCCUGUGGAACUCGCUUCCCUCCUCUGUUAGAUGCUCACCCAGUCUCCACUCCUUCAAAAAAUCGUUAAAAACCCACUUCUUCAUAAAAGCAUAUCAAUUAAACUGUUAAUAGCUCCUGACUGAUUCCUCUUCUGCAGCUGUCACUAGUCUAAUACUAUCCUUACCUUUUUGUGUCAUUUUACCCCACUCCCUCUAGCAUGUAAGCUCAUUGAGCAGGGCCCUCAACCCCUCUGUUCCUGUGUGUCCAACUUGUCUGGUUACAACUACAUGUCUGUUCGUCCACCCAUUGUAAAGCGCUGCGGAAUUUGACGGCGCUCUAUAAAUAUAAUAAUAAUAAUAAUGUGCCCUAUGUCAAAUAUUAGGAAACAAACAAUAUUAUAAUACACAUCUUGGAAUUUUGCAAGAUAUUUAGUUUCUUGGGUGAUGCUGCUUAACAUAGGGUACCCGAACAAUAUUAAUCCUCCCAACAGUGAAAGUGCAAUACAAGUAAUUCACAGAUCAUCUGGGUUCAACCAGGAUGCAGGGUAGCCCAGCCUAAUGCCCAAUGUAUAUUAUAGUUAGUACUCCCUAAUCGGCUGCAAAUGUAACCUAUAAACGGGUUGCUCUUCAAAAUAGCCUUUUCCCAUUAUACUGAUUAUAUUACACAUUAUAUAUAUAUCUACCUCAAAGUUUGUUUAAUUACUGAUGACCUAUUCCCUUUUUAAUGGACGGUUUUGUUGAUGCUCAUACAUUACAGAUUUUUUUCACCCAUGUAUCUUGUUUUUUGUACUAUAUACUGUACUCUUUCACAUAUGUUUAUACCUUAAUAAACAUAGAUUUAAAAAACAUCUUGAGAAAGAUAGAACCAGCGUAAAAAUAAAUUGCGACUAACUAGUCCAGAAACCUCUUGUGGCCACUGCAGCAACUGCACACAAAAAGUACUGUCAAAUUUCAUGAAAUCAGAGAAGCCUCUGGCAUUUUUCCUAUGAAUAGUGCUGGAUUAUUCUGUCUAUAACAUACUAUAGAAGAAGCUAUCAACUAAUAAUGCUCCAACAGUGCAUUGUAAAGCGGUGUGCUAAAACUAAACCUAUUUUCACAUUUUUAAUUGUCUCUCAAUUAAACUGACACUUCCAUUAAAAACAAUGAAAUACUUCUUUUCUUGCUACUACAUGACAAGGCUUGUGAAUUGCUCUAAAAGUAAAGAUAUAUCACUUUUGGUAUAACUGGUUUUGCAGCUCAGACAAAACUGGCCUUGAUCAUAAGCAACAUUACUACAACAAUGAAAAACAAAGUGGCGAUCUGUCACUCAACAGGGGAAACCAAAACUGAAAGUAGUACAUAAAAUCUGAUUGGUAUAAAAUGUGUUAAAUAGUUAAGUAAAUUAAAGGCAAUUUUUUUCCUGGGCUGUCCCUCUGAUGUCUGCAAUAAGAUGCUUGCUUGGAUUUAUAUCUUAGAGUCCUCAAGUUACUACACCCUCAAAGCAGGACAUUUGCCUUUCUGGAUCUUUUGUAAAGAAUAAACAACCCAACAAGACUAUCUGCCCUAUCACCAGUGGUGUACACACAACACAUGGGGCCCCGGUGCGAAAACUGAUCCGUGGGCCCCCCAAUGCGCGCUUACUCUGCGCGGGCUGGGGCCGCAACACAUGGCAGGGCUGCGACCCCUGCGACCGCGGUAUGUACGCCAGUGCAUGCAGAUACACAUACACUUAAAGGACCACUACAGACACCCAGAUCACAUCAGCUCAAUGAAGUGGUCUGGGUGCCAGGUCCCUCUAGUUUUAACACUUCAGCUGAAAACACAGCAGUUUCAGAGAGACUGCUAUGUUUCAUUGAGGGUUAAUCCAGCCUCUAGUGGCUGUCUCAUUGACAGCCGACUAGAGGAGCUUCUGUGAUUCUCACUGUGAAAAUCACAGUGAGAAGACGCUGAACGUCUAUAGGAAAGCAUUGAGUAAUGCGUCCUAUGGGCAGUUUGAAUGCGCGCGUGGCUCUUGCCACGCAUGGGCAUUCGGAGCUGGGUGGCGGAUCGGGGCGGAAAGAUCCCCAGCGCCAAGGGAGUCCGGCGCUGGAGAAAGGUAAGUGCUUAAGACACACACACUCUCAUGAACAGACGCAUACACACUAGCUAACAGACACACACAUUUACUGACAGACACACACUCAGUGACAGACAUACACACUCACUGACAGAAAGACACACUCACUCACUUACAAAACACACACUCACUAACAGACGCACACAAAAUAACACACUCAGUAACAGACACACACAGUAACACACUCACUGACACACUCUAACACUAACGCACUCUCUAACACACUAACACACACUCUAACACACACACACACACACACUAACACACACACACUCUAACACUAACACACACACUCUGACACUAACACACACACUAACACUAACACACACUCUAACACUAACAUACACACACACACUCUAACACUAACACACACACUAACACACACACACUCUAACACUAACACACACACUGACACUAACACACACACUAACACACACUCUAACACUAACACACACACUCUAACACUAAAACACAAACACACACUAACACACACACACUCACACACUAACACACACACACUAAAACACUCACACACACUAACACACACACACACGUUUUAAAAAAACAUUUAAUCCCCCCAGCCUCCCUACCUUUGGGAGAGCUGAGGGGAUUCCACUGUCUAUGACUGUCCUGUAAAUCAGACGGGACAAGAAAUCUCCAGGCAAUUGGUUCAUGGCUACCCAAGAUUUAAACUAGGUCAUAAUCUAAUCCUGACCAGACUGACUGUAGAUGAAUGUAGUUUAGUCCAAUUUGUUAACUUUAACCUCCUUUAAAAAUCCUCCUUUAAUUUUUUUUAUAUACAUUGCUGUGCAUGACAAUAUAUAUAAAAAGCUGGUAAGUUUCAGACUUGUGCAUAGUGAGAAAAUUAGAUUUGGCUGAACCAUUUCCCCCAAAAAUAGAAAAUGUUUCAGGACAAACAAAUUUUACCUGUAGGUCGGUUUGGCUUGGCAGAAUUUCAGUACUGAAAAACUGAUUGGGGAACAGUAUCAGAUGAAUCAAAAGGGCACAUAAUUGGGCCAAUCAGUGUACUGCAACUAUAUAUGAAACUAUAAUAAUAAUAAUUAUUAUUAUUGGUAUUUAUAUAGCGCCAGCUUAUUCCACAGCACUUUACAAAGAGAGGGGAAUUUACCAAAUGAGACAAUAACAAAAUUUAACAGGAACAAUAGGUAGUUGAGGACCCUGCUCAAACGCGCUUACAGUCUAGAGGAGGUGGGGUAUAAAAACACAAUAGGAAGGGUAUUGAGGUAGACAGCAAAUAGACAUGGUGGGAAAGUAUCAAAACUGGAGGUGGGAGUGGAGAGUGGCCCUUUAGGAGAGAGCAAGAGGAAGGAUUGAGAGUUACUCUUGGAGGCCAUAAGCAAUCCUGAAAAGAUGGGGUUUGAGGGACUUCUUAAAAGAUUGAAGACUAGGGGAGAGUCUGACAGGGGUAGGCAGGCUGUUAUUAGGAGAGAAUUACAGUAAUCCAUGCAAGAUAUUACUAGAGCGUGAACAAGCUCCUUGGUAGCAUCUUGAUUAAGAAAGGGGCAUAUGCGGGCAAUGUUUGUAAGCUGGAAUCCACAGGUUUUAGCAACAGACUGGACAUGAGGCGCAAAGGUGAGGCCAGGAUCAAAAAUGACACCAAGACACGAGCUUGAAAGGAUGAGAUGAGGCAGGUACUGUCAACCUACAGGGUGAGUGAAGGAGUGUUAUGAGGAGGAAAAAUAAGAAACUCAGUUUUCGAGAGAUUGAGUUUCAGAAAGCGGGAGGACAUUCAAUCAGAGAUAGGCACUUGGUGACACGUUCUAGGACAGCAGGGAGAGGUCAGGGAAGGAGAGGUAUAUCUGGGUGUCGUCAGUGUUAUGGUGGUAGUGGAAUCCAAGUGAAUUAAUGAGUUAGCCAAGAGAGGCAGUAUAGGGAAAGAACAAAAGGGGACCAAGAACGUAAUCUUGAGGGGCUCCGACUGGGACAGUAUGAGGAGAGGAAGUGUAGUUGGAAAAAAAGAAACUGAAGGAGCGUUGGGAGAGAUAGGAGGAGAACCAUGAGAGGGCUGUAACACAGAGACCAUGAGAUUGAAGGGUUAGGAGAAGAAGCCAUGAUCAACAGUGUCAAAGGCAGCAGAGAGGUCAAGAAGAAUCAGUAUGGAGUAGUGGCUUUCAGAUCCCCUGCCCCUGUGCUGCUCGUGGUGUCCUUGCUUACCUCAUCACAGCGAGCGGCAUCAUCUGGUCCCUGUCUUUAGACUGGCAGUGUGUCUGACGCUGAACGCUCCAGAGCAGCUUCCUUAUAUGUGUGUUGCACCUGGUCAUGUGACCCGGCACACAGUGAUGGCCUCAGAGACCACAAGGGAGGGAAGAAACUGACUUUUGCAUAACACGACCAUUAUAAGGAUCGGUAUUGCAAUUCUCUCUACUCUGUCCUGUCUGCAUGUUAGGGUUCCCUAGUGAACGUUACAGUGGCCUUUGGAUUUAGCUGCAAUUAGAUAAUUUGUAACGCUAGUCAGAGCAGUCUCUGUUGUGUGGAGAGGGCGAAAUCCAGACUGAAGAAGGUCAAGGAGAGAGUUAGAAUUGAGGAAGCAAGUCAGAUGGGUAAAGACAAAUCUUUCCAAAAGCUUUGAGGAGAAAGGGAGCAGGGACAUGGGAUGAUAGUUGGAAGGGGAGGUAGGGUCAAGAGAUGGCUUUAUGAGGACAGGUACAGCAGUAACAUGUUUAAGGGGAGCUGGGACAACACCAGAAGAAAGAGAGGAGUUGAAGAUGUGCGUUAAUGACUGCACCAGACAAGGGGCGAGAGAUCUGAUGAGGUGGGAUAGGAUUGGAUCAAAUGGAAACGUGGUGGGACGAGAGGAAAGGAGAAGCGCAGCCACCUCCUAUUUAGUAGCUGGAGAGAAGUCUUGGAGGGUAGGGAUGGUAUGGUCCAAGUGAGUUUGAGAUAGAGAGGGGAUAAUGAGGAAGAAUGCAUUCCUCAACUGUUUAAUCUUGUCAGUAAAGUAACAUGAAAAGCUAUCAGCUGAAAGAUUAGUUUGUGGGGUGACCACAGCAGGGCAAAAAAGAGAGUUAAAAGUAUUAAAGAUAUGACUAGGAGUGUGUAAGGGGGGCUGUGGGGGCAGUGUGUUUGGUGGGGGAGUGUGUAAGGGGGGCUGUGGGGGCAGUUUGUUUGGUGGGGAAGUGUGUAUGGGGGGCUGUGGGGGCAGUUUGUUUGGUGGGGGAGUUUGCAUGGGGGGCUGUGUAAAACAAAUUAUUUUUUUAAUAAAUUAUUAUUUAUAAUCCCCCCUCCCUUCCUACCUUUGCCCAGGGAGGGGGGAUAUCGCUUGUAAUCCCUGGUGGUCCAGUGGAAUCCCUGGCGUUCUAGUGGGGAGUGAACUCUAGCCUGCACCUCCUGAGGCUAGAGUUCACUCUCGCGCGAACAGAGCGUUGCCGUGGUAACCGCGGCAACGCUCCGUGCUUGCGAGAGGAGACCUGGCGGAGCUGCAAACUAGAGCUCCUCCCGGGUCUCCUCUUUUCCGUGCCGGCCGCCCAGCAAUAUGCCUGCGGACCGGUGAGGGAGAUCUCUGAUCUCCCCUCCGGUCCGUGAAGGCACUUAGCAGGGCCGGCCCUUGGAUAGCACCGGCCCUGCAGAAGACAGCAUCGGAUCUCGGGGGGGGCAAUUGCCCCCUCCCCUGAUCCGCCACUGCCUGGAGUGGGGCUGCAGCAUCUAGGGCAAAGGUCUGGGUAGUAUUAUAUGAGGAGAUAGUCAGAGAGGGACAGGAGAGGGUAGGGAUGAGAGUUCAGAAUGGAUGUCAGUCGAAAGCUGCUGGAGAUCAAGAGAAUUCAAAUUCCUCCUGAGUUGAGGGGGAUUAGGUUGAGGAUAUUGGGUGUGGGGGCACUCAAGAACAAAUGAUAGGAGGUGGCAGUCUGAUAAAGGAAAUGGAGUAUUACAGAGAUUGGAGACUGAGUACUCAUUUGAAAAAAUUAGAUCUAGGGUAUUGCCAGCUACAAUUAGAGAUGGGAUAUUUCUUGAAAGGAAGUAAGGAAGCCAGGCAGCAAAAUGGUCAAGGAAGAGACGAGGAGAACCAGGGGGCCUAUACAUAACUGCAAUGUUUGCAGAUAUUGGUUUGAAUAAGCGAAUUCAGUGAAUUUCAAACGAGGAGAAAGAGAGGGAAGAGGGGUGGGUAGAGGUUUGAAGGAGCGGUGGGGUGAAAGCAGAAACCUUACACCGCCACCUUUACUGUCAGACUGUCUUGGGUUGUGAGUUAACUGUAGACCACCAUAGGAUAAUGAGGCAGGGGUUGCUGUGUCAGAAGGAGAGAGCCAAGUUUCAGUUAAAGCAAGUAAGUGAAGGGAGCGUGAGAUGAAUAAGUCAUGGAUGGAAGUAUAUUUAGUUAUGUUGCACACAGAGCGUGCAUUCCAGAAGGCAGAAUGGAAGGAGGGCUUAGAUGGAGAGUUACAUGGGAUGGAUAUAAGAUUAAAGAGGUUUUUUAGGGUGGACACAAGGUAGGUAGGUAGAGACCAGGGUUUGGAGAGACAUCGCCAGCUGUGAAUGGGUAUGAGUAUAGUGUGUGGGAUGAACAGAGAGAGGAGGUAAGAAAACCAGAAGCAAUGAAGAUGGUGUCAGUAUGGACUGGUAAGCAGAAAGAUAGAGAGAUUUCAGUAAUGAGAGAAGUGAGGGUGAAACAGAAAAAUAGUAGAGUAAACAUUGUUAAGUAGUGUUUUGUUAUAGAUGGGGAAAUUAUAAGGGCAGCUAGGACCAUAGGAGAGCUUGGAGGGGUCAACGGUUAACUGGUCUGUGGCGUAGGAAUGGAGGUAUUACAGGUGAGAAGAUGAUAGACAUGAUUGGUGUGUUUGAAAAAACAGGUGAUUUGAACUAUCUAUAAAUGUAGUAACUAGGUGGGUGGGAAUUUUUUUCCAGAGAUGCUACCAAAGUCCAGCGGCACGCGUUCUAGUCUAAUACGGCCCCAGAGGUAAUUUGGCUAAUCUAUCUGUUGUGGCCCCCAGUAAAUCCCAGAGCGCCAUUUAGGAUCCCUGGAUCUUUGAACGCUGCAGGCCUGAGUGGCAUGCAGGGAUUCACUGGAGGCCAAGAGAUCGCGAGAACGCAGACGGUUGUGCAGUCACUGCUCGUCCUCGGUCUGUGUUCUCGCGAUCUCUUGGACGUCAGGGUAUCUCUUGGAUAUCGACGACGUGGGAUUUGAUUCCUACUCCCUGGAGGGACAGAAUGAAAAGGGACAGAAUCAAGAGAGACAGAAUAAAGAGAGACAGAAUGAAGGGACAGAAUAAAGAGAGACAUAAUGAAGGGAAACAGAAUGAAGGGACAGAAUUAAGAGAUGAAAUAAAAAGUAUGCCGUUUGUCAGGCAGCAAAAACUUUGCAUAAAAUAGUUAAUUUGCAUUUAAUUUUAAUGGUUCAAAGAACAUCAGGCAAAAUGAUCGGCCCUCACGCAUGUUCACUUCAUCAAAUCUGACCCUCUUUGAAAAACGUUUUGACACCCCUGGCAUAAGGCUUUGGAGCUGCAAGACUUCCAAGCUGUGAGUUCUGGGAGCAAUCUUUAAGUUUGUUUGUUGAGGUUCAGACUGAAAUAGAAAGUCUGGGUUUGGAUAAAAUACAUCAUUUAUGGGUGGAGAGAGACAUGAAGACAUUGAAGUGAGAAAGGGCAAUUAAGGGAAGAAAGCAGAGGAGAGGACAUUUGAGAUUUAAAGGAGGGCAUGGUAAAGAUCAGAUAGGUGAAAGUAAUACAAUUUGAAAUUGACAGGACUAUGAGUGCAAUAACUAACUAAAACAAAGAUUUUUUAAAUGAUCAAUUAAGCAGAUAAACUAUAGGGGAGGAGGGCAAAUAGGAAAGCAAAAGUAAAUUAAAGGGACACUAUAGUCACCAGAACAACAACAGCUUAUUGAAUUUGUUCUGGUGAAUAGAAUCAUUACCUUCAGGCUUUUUGCUGUAAACACUGUCUUUUCAGAGAAAAUGCAGUGUUUUCAUUACAGCCUAGUGAUAACUUCACUGGCCACUCCUCAGAUAGCUGUUAGAGAUCCUUCCUGGGUCAUGGCUGCCUAAAAUGCAUCCAAACAUUCGGUAUCUCCUCCCUCUGCCUGCAGACACUGAACUUUCCUCAUAGAGAUUCAUUGAUUCAAUUCAUCUAUACGAGGAGAUGCUGAUUGGCAGGGCUGUGUUUGAAAUGUGCUGGCUCUGCCCCUGAUCUGCCUCUUUGUCAGUCUCAGCCAAUCCUAUGGGGAAGCAGGCAGUGGGCAGGUCUAAAGGAAACAGAGCCAGAGCUGACAGCUCCAGACUUGAAUACAAGUAAGAUUUUACAUUUUUUAGGGAGGCAUGAGGGGACCAGGGUGGCUAGAUGGUGGUUUUAACCCUAUAGGGUCAGGAAUACAUGUUUGUGUUCCUGACCCUACACUCUGUUCCAAAUUAUGAUGCAAAUGAUAUUUUUCUCAUUUACCUAAAUAAUUGAUGUAAAUAACAGUCAGCAUAAUUCUCAUGUUAUCAACUAUUAAGAGUACAAUUCAAAUUUUAUUGAACAAACCUCCUAAUGAUAAAGGUAUUUUUUUAAACAUAAAAAACUUACAAUGCACUGUUCCAAAUUAUUACGCACAGUAAGUUUCAAAACACCUUAUAGGUGGUAAAGAACGGAAAAUUGUCAUUUGCUGUGUUUGCAGCAUAUUUACUGAAAUCAAAAGCUAUUUCAAUCAAAUACUGUCCAACAUUUUAACUUUUUAAAUAUUUUAACAGGUCACGUUACAUUUUAACAUAGGACCCCUUAUUUGAUAGCAGCUUCACAAGUCUUGCAUCCAAUGAACUUGUGAGUUUUUGGACAGUUUCUGCUUGAAUUUGUUUGCAAGAUGUCAUAAUAGCCUCCCAGAGCUGCUGUUUGGAUGUAAACUGCCUCUAUCCCUCAUAGAUCUUUUGCUUGAAGAUGCUCCAAAGGUUCAUUGAGGUCAUGGGAGGAUGGAGGCCACACCAUGACUUUCUCUCCUUUUAUCCCCAUAGCAGCCAUUGAUGCAGAGGUAUGCAUUGUCAUGCAUGAAGAGCAUUUUUCUUCUUUCUGUACCAGGGAAGGAAGUGGUCAGUCAGAAACUCCACAUACUUUGAAGAGGUAAUCUUUACACCUUCGGGGACCCUAAAGGGGCCGACCAGCUCUCUUCCCAUGAUUCCGGCCCAAAACAUGACUCCACCACCGCCUUGCUGACGUCGCAGCCUUGUUGGAACAGGGUGGCCAUCCACUAACCAUCCAGUACUCCAUCCAUCUGGACCAUCCAGGGUUGCACGGCACUCAUCAGUGAACAGGACUGUUUGAAAAUUAGUCUUCAUGUAUUUUUCUGCCCAAUGCAGCUGUUUCUGCUUAUGAGCAUUGGUUAGUGGUGGCCGAAUAGAAGGUUUAUGCACAGUUUCAAGACUCUGGAGGACUCUACACCGGACGUUGGGACUCCAGAGGCACCAGCAGCUUCAAAUAUCUGUUUGCUGCUAUUUAAUGGUAUUUUAGCAGCUGCUCUCUUGAUCCAAUGCAUGGAUCUGGCAGAAAUCUUCCUCAAUGUGACUUUAUCUGCACAAACCUGUCUGUGCUCUGAAUCAGCCACAAAUCUCUUAAUAAUGUGAUGAUCACGCUUAAGUUUUCGUGAAAUAUCUAAUGUUUUCAUACCUCGUCCAAGGCAUUGAACUAUUUCACUCUUUUCGUCAGCAGAUAGAUCCUUUUUCUUCCCCAUAUUGCAUGAAAAUGGUGCUCUGCUUAAUAAUGUGGAACACCCUCCUUUAGUAGUUUUUCCUUAAAUUGGGCUCACCUGGCAAUCUAAUUAUCACAGGUGUCCGAGAUUGUUUUCAGUGAUCAAAAGAGCCCUGAGACACAAUGCCAUCCAUGAGUUAAACUGAAAAACAAAAGAUUUAAUCUUUGUGGCACUUAAAUAGAAUUUGCAUAAUAAUUUGGAACAGGGUGUAGUGCCCAAUUAAAUCAAAUAAUUUUGUACCUCUGCGCCAUGCACAUUUUUUUAGUUUCAAAAAGCUUUAUUAGUACAAAAUAUAUGGUUACAGUAAACAGUAAAGGAGAUAAUGUGUAUGUGAGACUCGCAGGUCUCUAUUCUGUCAAUCGAGUUACAGUAUCGUGAAGAAUAACAGAAAGUAGCCAUAGUUUCAUACAUAUAUUAUAAUCAGUUAGCUAUUCUAAGAUUUGUAUGAAAGGAUAACAAAUCCGUGUAGGACCAGCCAUGUGCGUAGCCUGCUCGAAGAGCACUUAAUGUGUGUUCCGUGUUCCGUCGGGCGGAUCUGAUUAGGUAGGUGAUAGUUAGCCUGUAUCUGGUGAAUCUGAACUGUGAGCCACAUAGGCUUGUGGGGUUCUGAUUUAUUUUUUUGUUAUAUUGGAGGAUGGAAGCGUUUCAGGGUAGGAGGUACUGGUUGUGCCUUAGGAACAUCAUGAUUGUAUACGUGUGUAACUUUCCUCAACUCCCAACGAACCUGUUGCGCUAUGGGGGGACGACUCUCGGAUUUGGGCUGGAAUGUUGCUUAGCUCAGUAAUGGCAUCUCGCUUCCUGGGUUCCCCCUCUAGUUAGUGGGCACACCUUGGCUGGUGCCCGUGGGGUACAUAAAGUAGUGAAAGGAGUAGAAUGAAAGAGGGAGCAAGUGGUAGUCUGAUGGUCAAUUAGAGGCAGACAUGGGAAAACGUGAUGCUGAGAACCUCAUGGCCGAACGCAAGGCACAUCCCCUAUUCAGCCCCCUGCGGGUCAGCCCCUGCGCCCCCGACGCGCACAACAGCCGCACGCGCCACGUAUGCAACCAGGGUCCCUCCCUCCCCCCCAACAAGUGUGCUAUUGCCCCAUUGCCAGCCCUCAUGUUGGUCCAACCUCUCCCGACCACCAGUCAGCUAUGCGCAUCCCCUUCUACCAUCAUAAUAUCGCUGUAGCUACCUAUGCUUGCGUAACCAUGUCGUGUGCACGUGGUCACCUGUGGCAUCCCCAACCCCACCAGCCAAUCCCAACAACACCCCCCCCCACCUUCCCCACCACCCCAGAAUGAUAGUAAGUACAUCACAUAAGAUCCCUGGUCCUUUCAGUGAACAUGAGCGCUACCAGUCCAUCAGCAGGGGGUACCCGCUGCUCAAUAUAUUAACUGAGAAAGGCAGUAUGGUGAUGUCCCCAGGGUACCCCAAUUCUCUCGACCCCCUCCCACAACACAGGAGCCCCAACAUUGGUUGCUUAACUGACCGAUGUUGGUGGGAAAAAGGUGGCACAGCGUGAGGAUCAAAACUUUCUAAUGUGACUCUUUCUAAUAAAUAAAUCUUCAAAAUUUCUUUUAUCAGAAUGCCUAUAUGUGUUACUCCCCUUCACAUUCAUAAUUUCAUGAUAAUGAUAUUCUGCUCUCCAAUCAUACAAAAUCUUGGCUGUUGCAAAUAGACUUUUCAGUUGUAAAUCGACUUUUAAUUUAGAGUCCAGUUAUUCUAAAAGCCUUUUCUGUUCUGCUCAUGCCUAUAGGUUUACAUUCAAGGGUCUUUGUUUUGCCUUUGGAGCAGGAUACUGCCUGCUUCUUUGAACCUAUGUAUCUGACCUACCACAUACAAACAACGACCUCUCCAAAACUAUUGUAAAACCAGUAAUCUGGGCCGUCAUAAAUAUUCCGAUAUAAAAGAAGGACCUAAGCAUCAAAUACCCUUUUAUUAAGUGGUCCUCCUAAUAACAUUUAUUUGUUUUGGCAGGGUUACAUAAAAAAUGAAUCAGUGCAUCUGGAACAAUAUUAGCUUGCUCAUCACUCAAAAUAAUUAUGUUUUUUUGUUUUCCUAAAUUUAUUUUCCAAUAUAUAAAUUUCAAUAUCUCCCCUUCAGCGUUGCAGUGUAUACUAUACUCUACAAGUUUUUCUAAUUAAUUAUUAAAUAAAACAGUCAUUAUAAACUCUUGUAGAACAAAGCCCUAUUUGCAGCCUGGGAGGAUGUGUAUAGAGUAUAUUCGUAAUUUUGUUUACUCCUGCGUGCUGAGUAUUUAGGAGGUAUUUUAAUAAAUAAUAAUGCUUGUUAAUAGGCAUCCAUGUAAUUAUCUUUCUCGCCUCAUUCUCUAUAAAUAUUAAGGCCAUAUGACACAGGAAAUCUCCAUUCAAUACACAGGAGCAAGUGAAGGAACAGCAUAGAUCUCUGAAUAUCAAAUAACCAAAUAUGGAAUUUAAAUGUUUAGGCCGAAAAUAGCAGAAUUUAAAAAAAAUCCAUUACUUUGUAUUUUGAUUUAUUAUUUUUAAGUGAAGAACCCUGCAUAUCGGCAAUAUGUAAAAACUAUUCAUUGGUCCUUCCUUGGUAUUACUUGUAAAAACCCUGACCGUGAACAAAAAUUUACAAUAUAUCUAUGGCUUUUAUAUUUCAUUUCAGUCACUGCAACAUCAUUGCUGACAGAACUGAUAGCUCAUGUAUGGGGUAAACAUUUAUUAAAUACUUUGUUAUUGGUAUUUACUAUAGUGUAAUAUCUUACAGGACACCAGGAAAAGGAAUUUAAUGAGCAAUUCUUCUGUGGGUUUCAGGUGCACCAUUCUUAUUCACGGCAUACCUGAGCGUGAGUUUUAAUCCUUCUUUCUCAGGCAGCAUUCCAAAGAUUCAGACACUUCACCAGUUGUAAAACAAAAACCCAUGCUUGUAUUCAGAGGAGCAAUGUCAUAGUAAUUCAGGCCUCUAACCGUUCGAGUCUGCAUAGCAGAACAAUGGAGGUGCUGUUCUUUGAGGAGGGACUGAGGGUGUUUUAGCAAACAUGCAAGGUUAUUAUAAUCACACCUACACACAACAUAGUCUGCCAAACUCAAUUAUUUUAAUAGCAUUUAAUAGUCCUUUCCUUCAUAUACACAUUCUGCUAAGGAACUCUGUAGCUGUAUUUAAGCCACAUAAACGUUCUUGGCAUAAUAAGAGUAUGAACCAGUCCAUUGGGUAACGUGAAUAGUGAAGAGGUUAACAGUAGUUUUUCUGUGCAAUGUUUCGGCUGAUGCAAUAUUGUCCAGGCUUUUUGAAUAUUGGGGCACUUAACAUUGCAGAUGCCAUACAGGACAAAAUGUCAAAACAGGUGGCAUCAUUUUUGCUUAACAUAUCGCAAUAUAACAUGCAGUGCACAAUUACAGGAGUAUGGCCAUAUCAUUCCUUCAGUUACUAAGAUACUAAAAUAAAAAUGAUGGUUUUAGUUUUAGUUUGGUUUUACUACAGAAAAUCAGAAAUGAUAAUUUUUCAAGUUUCCCGUACAUGCAGGUUGUAUAUAGCUGUAUGUUGGACGUUGAGUGUGUAGAGUAGUUUAAAAUAUGUGAGCCAAUACUUUUUUCAAUGCAUCUGCUGAUAUUAGUUGGAGUAGUAGCGUAGGUGAUCUACAAUACAAUUACAAAUGACAAUUAACAGAAUAUAUGUUGUAACAUAUAUUUUAGUAAAUAUAUUCUGUGAACUAAAAACAGACAUUGGUACUGAUAGAUGUUAAUAGAGUUGGACCUGGUCAUAUCUUGUUUUUGUAUGCAAACAGUACAGAAAUGCAGACUUCUUAAUACCUUAUUAAUAUUUUAAAAAAAUAUCAAAGAUAAAAUAAGCUGUUCAUUUACAAAAUUAAUUUUGCACUCCACAAAGAAUAAUUACUUAGUUGAGCAGAUUCAAUUAAAAGUAUUACUAUAUCGAAACUUAUUGACGUGUUCUUUCUCUAUUUCCUGUUUACAAUAGUGAUAGGCAUGGCUUCCAGUCAGAGUUUUUUGCAUUUAAUUGAAAUGUCAGGAAAGGUCUUAUUCAGCUGAAGGCCUUGUACCACCAACACUGUGGUGGUCCUUUUGUUUUUAAUCUGCAUUAAUAUUGCUUUGUAAUCAGUAACUGGUUUAGUUGAAUCCUUUAGGAAAGUGGUGUAAUUUCUUCCCCCUCUGUUAGUCAAUGUCAUUCUGAGGUCACGCCCAGGAAAUUCUAAUAAACUAUUACACACUCAAUGAAUUUUUGUAGGAAUAAUAGAUACUCUAAAGGGGGUAUAACCUGCUGGCUCUAAAUUCACAUCUGUCAGAUAUUUUGAAGGUUUUUAAUAAUCUUGGCAGUGUUUCAAGGAAAAUGGCAGCAACUUUUGUAGAGUAACAAUUCUUCCUAUAAUUUCAAAAUAAUAUUUGAAUAAAAUAAAAAUAAUAUAAUAUCAAAUCCUCCCUCUCAUCUUUAAUAGACAUUUGUAACCUAAGAGAGUUAAAAAUCAGAUAUGGUUAUUCACCAAACCAGGAUUUAUUGGUAAAUUUAAAUCUAAGCCUAAAAUAGCACGAUUGAAACAAUACCCAAACUCAACUACUUUACUAGAUGGGGUAUUUUGGCCUUUAAAUUACCAAGUCAAUUCCUGACUGUUCUUAAUUUAGUCAAUAAAUGAAUAAACAAGUGUACAAAUAACUGCGUAUAUUUAAAAAAUAACAGCAAAUAUGUGAUUUUUGGAUGUUGCUUUUAUAAUUUUCAAGUGAAAGACUCUAGCGUGCAAAUUCUGUUAGAAGCAUUAAAAAUCAUAUUUUAAUCUAUACAAAAUUCUAAAAUGCACCUUAAUUAUGGAAACCCUGUUAAUGUUGCUUUUGGAAAUAUGGUUCAUUGUCAUAUUUUUUUGUCAUUGCUCCACGAAUUAUGAUUCCAUAGGUGAUUAUUUGCUUACCUGGUAGCCUUGUCCCCAGAUCUGUCCUUAAUUAAUCCAAUUAUUUGUAAUGAUCUCUACAGAUCUGAACAGUAACUUGUCUACUGACUACUAAAUUGCAUUACAAAAUAAUAAAAUAAAACAAAAUAAAAAGAAGAAUGCACUCCAUUAAAAAGGAACAGUAUACAGUUGUGCUCAAAAGUUUGCAUACCCUGGCAUAAAUUGUGAAAUCUUGCCAUUGGUUUUGAAAAUAUGACUGAUCAUGAAAAGUUGCUUAUUAAAGGAUAGUGAUCAUAUGAAGCCAUUUAUUAUCACAUAGUUGUUUGGCUCCUUUUAAAAUGAUAAUAAUAACAGAAAUCAGCCAAAUGGCCAUGCUCAAAAGUUUACAUACCCUAAAAUGUUUGGCCUUGUUACAGACACAAAAGGUGACACACACAGGUUAAAAUAGCAAUUAAAGGUUAAUUUCUCAUACCUGUUGCUUUUUAAAUUGCAAUUCGUGUCCGUGUAUAAAUAGUCAAUGAGUUUGUUAGCUCUCAUGUGGAUGUACUGAGCAGGCUAGAUACUGAACCAGGGGAAGCAGAAAAGAACUGUCAAAACAAGUUAAUACAACUGUAUAAUGAUGGGAAAGGAUAUAAAAAGAUAUACAAAGCCUCAAAUGCCACUCAGUACUGUUUCUCAGUACUCAGUACUCAGAAAGAAAAGAAUAACAUACAAAGAAUCUUGACACAAGUUAUUAACUCCUUAAGGAAGGUGAUUGUGUUAUGCCGUCCUUAAGGAGGCAAUCCUUAACACAGCCGGUAGGACGUCUUAGCUGUCCUCGAAGCCCACGUGACUUCCAGCAUUACCCCACUGGAGAUCGGGAUCACAUGUCCAGGGGACUGCCUGUGUUGUCAAGCUGAAAUUAAAGUUCCAAAUUGCAAUUAAAGCAUUUAAUCAAUAUAGUAUACAUACAUUAUAUAUGUACACUAUAUUAUAAAAGAAAGCAUUUUAUUAAUAUCUUAUACAUACAUUAUACAUAUGUAUACAAUUGAAUUGAUACUGUACUUUUAUAAUAUUAAACGUCACUCUAUGCCCAUUAUAGGUGCAGGGUCUGUAUAUUGUAUUUGUGUAUUGUUCAAUGUUUUGUGUGCUGUCCUGUCCUGCUGAUGCUUACUACCAACUUUGUGGAUUUGGCUAUGGAGCCUGUAUAGCACCCUCUCUUGGUAGGAACAGCUAUAUGCACUACCUGAAUAGCAAGGCUUGUUAAUUUGCAUAUUCAGGUAGAUUUGCAGAUUGGUCAUUCUGUAGGCAGGAGAGAUAUUUUGUGUUAAUUAUUGUCUUCCCCACCCCUUCAUAAACUUGACAUUAUGUUAUUAUAAGUACCUGUAAAUUGUCUGAUAUGAUUUGGUUAUUUGUAUUUUAUUGAAGUUGUCGCAAUAAUCUAAAUGUAAUAAGCCUGUGGGCUAGUCCUGAGUAAAAAUAAAGCUGUCUUUGAACCGGUUGGCUGGCUGCAUGAUCCCUCUAGCCCAAAUAAAAUUUCAUGUGAGAACCUGUUUGCAAGUGAAAGGGAUAUAUCAGUGCAGGGUAAACAUUGUAAUGAUGCAAAAGCACCUACAUGUUGAUCUCACAUUCAAAUUAGUAGAUUAUCUGAAUUGGAGGAUUAUGCUAAAUAUGCAUACACUAAACAUGUAGUUUUCUAUAGGCAAAAUUACAUAUUAGCACUAGAGCAGUGGUGACCAAAAGUCAGAUCCCAGAUGUGAACAUUUGAUUCCUGCAUGAGCAACACAUGACAAAGAACCAUAAGAGCUUUUAAAACAUCUGGUGAUCUACAUUUUGAGCACCCAAGCACUAGAAGGUAGUUGAAUGGGAUAGGCAUCUCUUUUGUUGUUUUACCUAGCUUGUUCCUUGUUAUCUACCUGCAGACUUUUUUCUUUAAUUGUGUGGGUAUAGCUAUAUAGCAUUUGUCUUUCAAAGGAAUCAAGGUACUUAAACCUCUAUUCAGGGGAACAAGAAAAAAAUAACUUUGGUACUUUGUUUUAGGUAUACAUUUUGAAUGUCUAUUAUAAAUCACUAUUUUCCAUGUUUGUUUAAAUUGAAGAAAUGAUCUAAAUACAAGUAAAAAAAAUAGUUUUUCCAUUACUAUACCAUAAUUACAAUCAACGGGCAGCAUUCUAUUAGAAGAUAUACACUUAAUUUGAGUAGCUGAACAGCAGUUUUCCCAUUGAGAGCUACAGGUAAACUAUACUAGAAUACAAACCAAAAGUGAAACAAAUUCAAAUGUUUAGAUGAUAAACCGCAAAAUCAUUCAAUUUUGUUAAGUGCAGCACUUAAAAUACACCCUCAUGCAAGUGUAUAAGGGCUUACCUGUAUGUUUUUAAUGGAUGAUUUUCCACAUAAAAAGGGAAAAAUAAAAGAGAAGUACAAUAGUGUGGUAAAAGAUGGAUAUACAGGAUAUAUAAAAGAUGAUAAUGGAUGCUCACAAUUGUAAUGCCUUUUGAACACUAUGGCUCUGAAUGUGCACGUUUUCUGUGCCUUUAGGUGGUAACACAAGCUCUUCAAUGGGUCAUUAGACAUACUCCAAUGUGAUGUAUGUAUAAAACAAAGGAUACAAAAAUGGCAGAUAGAAUAGUCUCUUAAUGACACAUAGGUAGCAUAUAAAUGUGUUAGUUUUGCUUACCUUUACUAGUAGCCCAUAGUGUGCUGGCUCCAAGUUUUUUCACAUUACAAGAAAAGAGUCUUCUGGCCUGGAUUCUACAAUUUCUGUGUUGGAUAUCCACAGAGGGAGUUUGUAACUUCUUACUUGACAAUCUGUGGAAAAAAAACAGAGAACAAUAAGAGUGUUUGAGCUAGUGUGCUGUCUGUCUAGUGUAAUCUAAUAUCUGGAACCCCCAGGCAAACAUCCAAUGGAUGUAAUUGACAUAUUGCCUGAGACACUGUAGGUGGAGUGUUUCUCAAAAUGUAUCUUGUGAAGUUGUCCUGGAAUUUUCUAAUAAAGCAGGCUGACAAUGCUAUGGGGUUGGUUCUGAAAAGAUAUAGGAAACUUAGGGUACUGAGUUAAUUCUGCAAACCAGGAAACCUCAAUUUUGGACUAGUUCUCUGCUGAUUUGUUGAGUUGGUUGAUGAGUUUUGUGUGGUUCAUGAUGAUAAGGGCCUGAUGUGUCAGUGUGAGUUGUAUGCCUAGAUAGGCAAUAGCUUUGUUUUUGAAAUCUCUGUAGGAAAAAUUUUAAAUCAUGGGGCACAUUUACUCGGAGGUCGUCAGUCUUUUCCAUGUUGUUUUCAUGGUAGGAAACUUUGUAUUAGUUGUAUUAGUGAGAGAAUAGAUGUCGGGGGACUGCUGUGGGAUAGUAAGAUGUCAGCGAAAAGUGCUUUUUCUUGACGGCUUAAGGUGUGGGUAUUCUUGUUAGGUUCAGGUAUUUUUUUUAUUUUAUAGACCAAAGGCUCAAGGACUAAAUAAAGAUUAGAGGUGACGAUGGGCACCCUUGAUGGGUGCCAUUUGUGAUCAUAAAAGGAAAGAGAAAGAUCUGGAGUUCAUAACCCUGACGGAAAGAAUUGAGUAAAAGCAUGAACCCAGUUAGUCCUUGGGAAAUAAUUUUAGGAAGGAUGCUUCCAUUCUGAGAGCUUAAAUUUUAACAUAGAGCUUGGUGUCAGAAUUUAAAAGCAAAAAUGGAUGGGUGGUGGAGCAUUUUGUAGGGGUCUUACCCAGUUUGGGCAGUGUUAUAAUAGUAACUCUAGCACUUCUUUAGGAAUAGUGCCAGUAUCUUUUAGAUGAUUAAAUAAGACUGUUAAAUGCAGGACAGGGAUAGGGGAAAUUAGUAAUUAGGGAAAACGUUGGGGCCUAGUGCUUUAUUCUUGGGUAGGGAAUUGAUUGCCUUAAAGAUUUUCAAUUCAGUAAAAGGUUCAUCAAGAAGGUCCUUUUGGUCUUGGGGCAUAGUAGGAAGGGGUAUGUCCUCUAAAAAGUAUUUUAUACUUUGGAGUGUUGGCUGAAUUAUAGACCCAUCUUGAUUUAGAUUACAGAGUGAACUGUAGUACAAACUGUAAAUAUUUUGUGAUAUGUGAGGGUUUAUGAUUUUUUUUUCUCCUUUUCAUUUAUGCUAUGGGAAAUACUUGUCUGCGAUUAUUAAGUUUUGAGUUUCUGUGCUAAAAGUUUACAUCCCUUACUCCCUUGAUAGUAAUGUAAUGUGUGUAACCUUGUUUCUUUAGAUGGUGUUCAGUAGUCUGGAGAUGUGUGGCAUGAAGUUUCUCCAUAAGUUUAGCUAUUUGUGCAGUUGUGGUUUCAGAUGGUUUUAAUUUGUUUGCCUGAUCUAGGUGUAAGGUGUAUUUAGAAUAUCUUCAUGUAGUCUUAUAGAUUUCUGUUUUUUUAGUUCUCCUUGUUGUAAAAAACUUCCACAACCCCCUGUUUUUAGUAGGUGAAGAGAGUUGCAGUGUGAAACUAACCAGGGCACAGAGGCCAUAUGUCAUACAAGUCAUGGUAUUAGGAGUAUUUUGGUGACUUGCUUGCUUGAACUCCUGCUGGUUUUAGAGGGGAAUUUGCAGAGGGCAAUUUGUGUGUCUACAGCGGUAUGCAGUACACAGUUACAAAAUCACCACAUAUUAUUCGCUGCCCCUGUUGAAUUGACUUAUUUAGCUAAAAACUGUAGUUGGUUCUUGUUUCAUGAAUAAAUAUUCACUGUGGUUAAAGGCUUGUCAUUAGGUAGACCCACUGCAAUACGUAUCCUCCCAGCUGAAUCCCUGUAUUGGGUAUUAAGUGUAAAAGAGAUGUCCCUGUUUGGAAGGAUGAAUACCCCCUUGGAUUUGGUUUUUGCAUAUGCGUAAAAUGUCUUGAGAAUAUGUGGAGGAGUGCAUUUCGAGGGUGGGGUUUCUUGUGCAAAAGUGGGUCUCCUGAAGAAAGACCAUCAUUGGGUUUAGGCGGUAGAAAUCAGAGGAGGCCAAUUAUCAUUUGUUUGGUGUGUUGAGAUCUUUGGCAUUAAGGGAUAAAACUAGUACGUCAUGAGUCUUUAUAGUGUACUUGUAAAAAGGUGUACCUGGUCAAGUUGGUAUCUUCGAAUUGUGUUCUUAGGCUGCUGAUCUAGUUUGAUGGAGGCAGGAAGAGAGAUGCUUGAGGACUGUGGCAUCGUCUGUGGGUCUAAUGGUGAAAGGUGCUGAGCCUGGCGCUCCAAGGAAUAAUGGGUAGGGUAAUUUAGGCAGAAAACAAAGAAACAGUGAACAAAAAAACAACAUACGGUUGUUGAUGAUGAUGAUCAGAUCACAUUUUAUGACCAAUUUGUGCAGAAAUCCAUAUCAUUCCAAAGGGUUCACAUACUUUUUCUUGCAACUGUAUAAAACACUAUUUCAUGUUGUAGCUUAGAAGAAAUAGCAACUGUGGUUGCUCAACUAAGUGAACUUUCGGCUUUAGCCAAAAUACUGGUGUCUCUCACCCAUAGUUGUGCAUAAUGGGGUUAGUCAUAACAAAGUGAAGCUCUCCAUAAGCAUCACAGUGGUAGGUUUGAAGCACUACGACUGCUGGCUUUGGCCAGUUUAGUUUCACUAGUGGAAAACUCACAACAAUUGUUUUUUGUGUGUGUUUUUUUUUUUUUGUUGUUGUAAGUUUUGUCUGAAUUUUAAUUUUUAAAAAAAUAUAUAUUGUAAAUCUUUUUGUGAGCAUGAACCAUCUUUGAUUUAACAAUCAUAAACUUAUAAAAGUGGGAAUUAAUGGAUAGUCAGAAUGACAGUGGUUAAGAUGACAGACUCCAGUAUUGUAGGAUUUUGAGGCUUUCGAGAGGAGUGUGGAAUACUUUGAUCACUGCAUUCCUCCAUACCAAUAAUUUAAUGGGGUAGUCCAUCUGUAUGAUCAUCUAAUCAUGUCUGAUGUCCGAGCAACUUUUUGACAUUGGCAAAUAUUCCCUCCUGGCCAUUGUGGAAGCUGAAAGGUCUGCAUAGAUUGCCAGGUUUCAGCUUUCUAGCAGCUGCUGGAAGAGCAUUUUUAGUGUGGUAAUAAUGUAGUCUUUUUAUAACAUUUCUAGGUGAUUUCACUGGGAUACUCCUAGGCUUUGGCAGUCUGUGAACCCUGUCUAAUAGCCACUCGUUUUCAGGUGUAGUAGGGACCAGGGCCUUGAAGAAGGAGCAUAAAAAUCUGGACAGUUCAUCCAAAGUUAUAUCUUAUGGAAUCCCUCUAAUUCUAAUGUUAUUUCCCCUGACUCUUCAACGUCAGCUAGCUUUUUUUUUUUUUUGUAAAUCUUUCUUUUAUUGAGGCAUAGGAAGAAUGGGUACAGAAAAUAAAAGGGAGGUAUACGAAAUGAUCAUACAUCAGAAGUUCAGUGACAGGUACAUUGAUGCAUACUCCGUGAUAUGACUGCCUCAUUUUAAUUUUAUAUUAUACAUGCUAAACUAACACAUUGCAGCAAUAGAGCAGUGUUGGUAUGGAAAGGUUGUGUGUUAGAUGUGUUUUGAAAGGAACAUGGUGGGUAGUGAGUUUGUUGCUAACUAUGGUGAGAAGCUUAUCAAUUCCACCUAGAGUAAACAUUUAAUAAAGUAAGCUUAACUAUGCACGACAAGACAACUUAUUAAAACAUGCUAGGUUAUUACAUCUUUGUUGUGUGUAUUUGAGUGCGAGUAAGGUUAAACAGGCAAGUAGAAUGCUGCAUAUUCGUUUGUUUAGUUAGGAUAUGCUCCACGUUGUGGGCUAUUAAGCUGGGUCCAGAUAAUAGACAUAUCAGGCGCAACAUUUUUUUUACAUGAGUAUAUCAUACAUGAGUAUGUCACACAGGCUGUCUGGCAUGUCUACCCUAACUUUAAGCAUCAUGGGACCUUGAGAAAAUGUCAACUAGACAUGUGGGCGCCCAACUGUGGGAGCGAGAGCCAUUGGACUGCCAAUCAGGAGAGGGUGGCGGCCCUUGGCUGCGCAUGUUAGCCAACAGGUGAGUUAUCAUCCAGUGUAAAAAUAAAAGCAUAGUAAACAUAAGUGGCAGGUUAGAAUGAUCGUUGGUUUCAAAAUCUAUACGGGACCGGGUAGCCGCCGCAGCAGGCUGGUAAGUCCACGGUAUACAUGGUGAAACUGCCCUGCUACGUAAGUGAACAGUCAGCCUAUGCCCAGGAUCGGGAAGCACAGGACAGGUAGGUGUAAGGUCCAGAUGGUACAGUCUCUGUGGGUUUUGGAGUGUCCCUGCGGUGUUGCUGGGGAUGCUAUUAAAUUGUGCAGUGUCUCUAGCAUGAGUGGUUGCGCAGCGUUCACCUUCGUGAUAUGUGGUAGGCAGACUUGUGAGUGUUCUCGGUGUUGCAAACCAUGCAAGCCUUUACACCUUUGGGUGCCAACCCGCUUUUCCGCCUCUCGGAGGUGUUGCCGGGGUCUCUGCGCUUGCCGGAGCUCCGAUGGGCAGUAGUGGGUGCACUGUCCCGACCGGGUGUGAGUAUGCCUCUCGGGUGCUGUAGCUAGUUGCAGGCACGUAACGUGAUGCUCUGGACUCCUCACUGACCUGUGGUGGCCGAGGUAGCUGGUGCUUGUGCUGUAGUCGAGCCCAAAACUGCUCCCCCAUGACGUGAACCUUGCGUUGGAGGCUACUGCCCAAUCGCUGGGGGUCUGUUGUUGCGCUCAGGCAUUGGUGCCGUCGGCUAUUUUAAUCAGACCUCGUGGCUCUAGCUUGCCAGCUGCGCGCCCUGGUGCAGCGCGUGGCUGGAUGCUCUCUGCUCGGUUGUGUGGACCGGGAUGACCCCCACUGGUCCUGGGGGGGAAGACUUUUCCCGGGGGUUCCAGUCCCUGCUUUUGUGCCCGGGGAGCGGACAUCUCACUGUGGCUCAGUUGUAGGUAGGCUGCAGGCCUCAGUGUGUCCAGUCGGUUCCGCCGGUGCUUGGGAGAGGUACUGUUCAGUGCAGCAGCCUCUCCCGGUUGUGAAUAUCUUGGUCUGCGGCUUGUGAGUAGUAGUAGCUGGGUGUUAUGCCCCGGUUUCUGUCCCCAGACGUGGGAGCUCUUGCCUAGCACGUCUGGGCUGCUCAGUUGCUUGGCUCCGCCACCAACAUAAGCCAGUUUUGUGUGUACCUUGGUGUGAUCUUAUUUUUGAGCAAUGAAUCUAUCUAUGAGCUCGUUAUGAGCUGUGCACAGCUCAUCCAUCUUACCUUCUGUGUGUGGAGAUUUUACUAAAGUCUUCUUGAAGUGAGGAGUGGACAAUCUGCAACACUGCAUGCAUCCUUUUUUCUGAUGUUGAAUAGUAGUUGGAUAGCUCCCCCAGAAGUUAUGAUUCAGACGCAGUGUCCAAUUGUGGAGAGGACGCAUUGUCGUUGGCGCCCUCUUGGAAAUGAUGGAAUGGGCUGUGGAUCAGAGCCCCUCAUUGACUAUAAGAACUUUCCCUGGAGCCAUCUGGGAGGAAUAGUUCUGGAGCAAGUAGGAAGAAUUAUUAUUGUUUUUGCAAUGUCGGUAGCUUUGAGGGCUAGUCAGAAAUUAAAUAGAAUAUUAAAUGAAAAAUCAACUUAUGGACACCUAAAAUAUUAUGCUUCAAAUGAAAUCAGAAAAAAUUCUAGACUUUUUAGACAAGUGAAAAAUGAGUAAAAAAGAUUGGGAAUAUAUAAAGGUUAAUUUUUCAAAAUCACAAUUUUUUUUCUUUUUUGUGGCUAAAAUCGAUAAGGAUAAGGAAUAAGGAAUCUACCAGGGAGACGAAUUAUACCUGUUAUAAAGUCCAUAUUAAAUCUCCAGAGGUUGCUCAAACAAGUUCCCACUUGAUCCUGAAUGUUAGGAUGCUCUCUUACAAACGUUUGUAGCCCAACUGCAUAACCUGUGGCUUGGAAUCAUUUUGUGGCCUGCACUCCUGGUGGGAUCCACUGAACGGAAAAAUGGCUGAUCUCCCAGCUUGGAACUACUGGCAUCUGCGACAACUGUUUUUCAGCCCUGUCCUCCUUCACUCUGGAUCGGUGGGGGAUAUCCCGGACCCCACUGGUGCACUCUUGUGGCCUACUUUACCAAGCAUUGAAAUUGUGGCCUAAUCAUCAAGAUGGCUGCCCCACCAGUGCCUAAGGCGAUAUGCGCCUACUCAUAGCCCCCCAUCCAUGUUGAUCCACUUCUCCAGAUGUUCGACCACAUCUGUGCACAAUUUUGGCUGAGGCGCAGCAACUGGGCACUCACCGCUGCUCCUGUACACCUAGUUAAGCCUGCAAUGCGCAAACUACAAUUACAGAAGAGGCAGCUGGGAAAGAAACCAAAGCGAGUGCCUCGCUGUCAAAGGAACAGCUCUUACCUGACUUGCGACCCGCACGGAGAAGGAAGCAAAUGUGACCGCUGUGGCUGGAGAAAAACCGCCAAAGCUGGGUGAACAGAAGUUACCACAAGCGCAACCUGCAAUCCCAGAAGAUUCCUGCUCAGCAAGGAUUCCUGCGUGCAUUGAGCUGGAUGCGAAGCCCGGUGCUCGUUAUGGAUCACUGCUGGAACCAGAGAGUCAUCACACAGAAUUAUCCCAGCACUUGGAACCAGCGGGGUGAGCAUAUGCAGCUAGGACUCUCAAACCCCUGGGUCGGUAGCCUCCCACCCAAGGGCAUCGGCUGACCGGUGGUAUGACAAGACCGCAGAAUCCCCACAGCUGUGCUUAGUCUCUGUUUUAUUUUUCCAUAUGUAAUUAAUUUUUUGCACUUUUAGUCUCAUGUGCAGAAGGCUAAUAUGAUAAUUUAACACUAAGCACCUCUUUAUAAGCCACAAGCUGUUUUUAGUAGCUCUGUUAUAGUGCCCUACUUAAUCAUCUGAAAUAGUUAAACUUAAUAAUCCAGUGGUAAUACAUUUUGUUAAGCUAGUUUGUUAGCAUGGUAAGUAGAAGUCACACUUCACAAAUUAAUGUCUGACUGAUUUUACAAGUCAUCCAGCUUAACUUUGUUGCUUAUGAAAUUAAAUGUAACAUGCUGACUGGUGUCUCAAUGUCCUCUUCCCUCAUAGUUAGACAUGACAGAAUAGCCUGAACAAUAUUAUUCUCAAAAAAAAUAUACCAUUUUACUAAAAGCCAUGUUGUUGUCUUAUGAUAUCUGUUACUAUAACGCUUGUACGAGCUGUCGUGGCUUGAUUGUAAUCUUGCGCACAAUAAAAAUAAAGAAUUAAAAAAAAAAAAAUAAGGCAUGGAAUGUGCCCCAAUAUUGGGAGAAGAUAAUAUAGACUUAAUGACACCAGGUAUUUGAAUGUGAUAAUACAGGGCAUAUAAACUGACUGAGGAAGCCUCAGUUGUAGGUGGAAUGCAUUUUAGAGAGGAUAGACCCUAUUUCUAAUGCUUUUUAUUUUUUGUAUAUUGUUUUAUGUACUGCUGUUCUUUUCACUUAAAAUAAAGUAAAUCUACCACUGAACCAUCAAAAAGAUCCUGAGUUGAUUUGACACUAGGAGUGGCGUCCGACCAACAGACGCUUAUGUGCAUACGAUGAGCCUGAGAGGGAAAGCUCUGGGGACAUGUGAGUGAGAUCACAUUGAUUUUUUAAAGUAUAUUUGUUUGGAUGUACUACACCAUAUAACCUUUUUUAUUCUGCUCUUAUCUGUGACAAUUACAUGAGGGAGAAGAAGAUCGUAAGAGGGCAGGAGUCCCCUUAUACAAAGCUUAAAAUAUAGUGCAAGAAUUUGGGCGCUAGUCUUUGCACAUCAGUUUUUAUACAACAUUGUUUCGUUAUAUGCACGUUACUGGAUUGCACUUUAUAAACUGUGACAUUAUGUAGAUGUUUUUUACCAUUGCACUUUUACACAUAUUUUAGGCAUAAUAAUAGUUAUACAUCAUUUAUUGUCAAAGCAAUUUAUUCUUCACAGAGUGUGUAUUUAAAAAAAAAAAAAAAUAUUAUUUUUUUCAUUAUUUUCUAUUUAUUGAUAAAGCACGUUUAAAUUUAUUUCACAGUGCGGUUUAUUAGGAAGAAAUAAUUUUCUUAAGUGCUCCAAAAAUCUUUUGUAUAUUCGAUUUCUUUUUUACGAUAAUAAAGUAUACGCUAUCAGUAUGUGAACUUCUAAUUAAGUUUAGUCCAUCAUACCAUAGGAUUAAAGUUUAUAGAUUUUUAAGUGCCUUUAAAUGCAAAAACUAUUUUUAUAAUCCUAAACAUCAUCCUAACUGUAAUCCUAGCCCAGGGGUAAGCAACCUUCGGCACUCCAGAUGCUGUGGACUACAGCCAUAAUUCUGGCAAAGCAUCAUGGGACGUGUAGUCCAAAACAUCUGCAGUGCCGAAGGUUCUCUGUCCCUGUCCUAGCCCUAUCAAUAGUGUUAGAGGGAAUCCCUUGCUGUUUUAAUCUCACUGUGACUUUGGGGUAGUAGGCAUGCACGAUUUAUCAGCAUAACGGAGUCACUUAAAUUAGCUCUAUGGAGAUAACACAGUUAAGCAUAUAGCUUUCUGAUUGAUUUACCAGUGAUGUUAUUCUGCAAUUAUUUAUGGAGAUUUUAGGUAGAAAUCAGCACUUUUAUAAACUGCAAUUAAAAUGCACAUACCCUUACACUUAAAGCACUUUGGCUGCUUUAUGUGUGGGAAUUAUUCCUUUAAGAUCGCAAUGAUAGUGAUAGACAGGAAAUAUAAAACUCUGUUGUUUAACUAGUAUUGCAAUGGAAUAGUGUAUCUGCUUCCUAAGUAUUUUUUUCCCCACGUUUGAAACUGGACACUUGACUAAUGUAACUUGUGUAAAUUGCAAAAGGAACUAAAUUGUAUGUUCCAUAGCACUUAAUUAACUGAUUGCUUUUAGCCCUUUUAGAAUCUGUACCACAAAUAACCAUCAGGGCAGUGAUAUAAGUAGGUGCGGGACAUACCUCUGAAAUUUUAAUUCAGAAUAGCCUGUUUAUAGUUGAUAGAUACCUUCUAUUACUGUCAUAGAUACGUUACUUGUUGGUAAGCCAAUAAGACAGGGCUAUGUUCGUUAACGUAUUCUUUAGUUGAUUUAAUAAAUUACAAUUAAUUAAAUAAUUUAAAGAGGCAUGUUGCUCUCACUCUAAGCACCAAACAACUUUAGCUUAAAUCUUAAAGGGACACUCGACUGCCCAAAAAAACAAAACCAAAAAUAAAAAUCACUAUAUAGUAUAUAUACACCCAAUGCAAACAUGUAUGUAUUUAAUUAUGCAUUUUUCAUUAUGAACACAGCUAGCAAAAUUUGUAGAUCUCUGGUCUGAAGCCUUUCCAGGCCCUCCUCUUCUAACCCAGCCCAGACUUUCUGUAACUGUCCAAUCAUAUACUUCCCAAUGCAGCUAAAUGAUAAGUAUUUGCAAGGCAGAAGCUCUGAGCAAUUGCCUGUCUCUUGAGUUUAGCUCAAUUGAGCUAAACAACCAGGAAGUAACAGGACUGGAUGUCAUGGGGUGUAAAAAAGUAUAUUUAUAAUUUCUAUUGAAAUCUGCAGUUUUUGUACAAUGAAAAAAGGACAUACUUUUUACACAUAAAGCACUUCAGCAAGCUGAAGUACUUUAAGGGUCUGGAGUGUUCUUUAAACUUUAAAACAACUGUAAAGUGGCUCUGUUAUUUAAAAAGCAUUUGUUGAGCAUUUCAUAAAGAUAACAUCUUUAUGAAAUACUCAUAAAAACUGUUUGAACUUCAUUGAAAUCCUAACAUAGUCAAAAGAUAUCAUAAGACAAAGUAUGGACUAGUUUGUCUCAUGAUAAAAGUGUAUGUUUGCAAAACUUGAAAAUAGGCAGAGCUACCACCAUCCAGUUUUACAACUUGAAGCAGCCAUUGCUAGCACAGGGUGUUUACUGUGGAAGUUAUUAUCUCCUGCUCUGUCAAUGAAACUCUUAUCACACACAGGAAGUUGCUGCAGGUUCUAGCAAGUAAUUAACAAAGCAGGAGAUGAGACAUUCUAAAAUGAACACACUGAGCAAUAACAAUUUACGCUUUUUUUCAGGAAGUGUGUAGUAAGACGGUGUGACUCACAACCAGGAGGAGGCGUGGAUAGGGCUGCAUAAAGUGUUAUAACUCCUAUUAGGCAGACUCGCGAGAAAUAAAACUGUAAGGGCAUAAGAAGUACUGCCCAGGAUGGUCUUGUUUUGCUCUGUAGAGCAACCUGUAUUCUGCCGUGGGAAAAACCUGGAUGCAGAAUACUUACCAAUGGCACCACGAGAGACCUAAGUUAGUUGUAAAACAAAUGGUUUGGCAAAUUACUUUGGGAUGGCACAAGAGGAAUUCUAGCGCCAUAGCUACUACAGCAGACUAUAAUGCUUAUGGUUAUUGAACUGUUCUUUUCGCACUGCAAUGUAUUGCAACGGCUCUUCUAGAACCCUGAAAAUACAUCUUGACAAGUACAGUAUAUUUAUACUGAUACAGAAUGGUAGGUACCAUUAGGACUUCUGCAGCAAUUAGCUUUUGUGCGCUAUUUGUAGUUACAUCAUGAACCCCUUUUACAUUUAUGUCUGAUUAUUUUGAUAACAUUUUGUAAUUCAAGUAACAUCAAAGAAAGUAAAAUCAACAUUAGAAAAUUCACAUAAUCCAGGGAUUGGGGUAGCUGUGUGUUCUCUUGUAUUGGCUCCUCUCUCCAACAUGUUCUGGAAGGGAAUGCAGCACUAAAAAGAAGACAGAAAAAGAAAAGAAAACCACAACAUUUAGAGAUAUGAAAUAAAUUGACUUUUUGUCAAGUGGAGUUGCCUUUGUUUGCUUUUCUUCUACAAACAGCUGACAGCGUUUUUCUUUAAGACCACUAAACUCAGAGCCAAAGAUGUUUAACAGUGUGUUUUUGUGAGGCAGGGCAAUUGUGUUGGCUAUUUGCUUUCUGUGUAAUAAAUGAGAUUGCUUCAGGUGAGGAGUGCUAGGAGGGAGGAAUGUAUGAACAGAUUUACACCUGUCCCACAGCUUAAAUUGACAGCACUAUAGCCUACAGAGAUGGCCAGUGGUGCCAGUCAGUCUGGAAGCCAUCAGGUAAACUCCUGUGCAAUAGAAACAAGAUUACAAACACAUCCAAAACACUAUAGCUUCUUGGAGCCCUACCAGCCUGCCUACUAAAAUCAACCCAUUGUAUUGGCCGUGUUAUUUGUACAGAUGCAACCAUGCAUGUCAAGUUUCAUGGAUAUAUUGUACUGGAAACUAACAGAACUAUGGCUGAGCUCAUUACAAACACAAAAAAUGUCUAAGACAAGAAACGUAUCCAUUAUUACCAAGCUAAAUACACUUCAACUCUGACAGAGGAGCCACAUUUAUCAAAAGAUAGCAUAGCACAAAGCUGCCGAACACUUACAGGACAUAAUAAUUAUUAUACGAACCUCCUUUCUGUCUCCAGUACUAGGCUCUCUCUUUCUAUCUCGUUAUCACGGUGAUCAAUUCUCUCAAUUUUUUUUUUUUUUAGAAUAUAAGGACCUAAUUUAAUUUCACACAAUUUUAUGACCACAAAAACAAUUCCAUGCUUUAUUAAUUUAAAAAAAAUGUUUUUGAAAAUACAAUUUCGGUUUUGAUUUUUACCCUCUGAUAAUAUAAAGUAUUUGGGUGUACUCCCAUUGCUCUUCAGGAAUUCAUGAAAAUAGAUUUUUGGUUGCAUCAUAGAGGUUCUGUUAGUUGUAACAGAAUUCCACGUUAAGCAAGAAAUGUAUUUUAUGCUGUUAGUGUCAUUGAACAAAGAAAUAGAAAUUGUGCUACAUCUAAAUUUUCCUAUAUUUGAAGUAGGCAUUUUGUAUUAAUCCCCUAAAAAUAGCAUAUUUAUAACACCAAUAAUAUAUUCCGCACAUUACCGUUGCCAGAGUUAAUAUAAAUAUUUAGGGGACACUUAGUGCAUCAGGUAUGAAUUCAUGACAGAUGUCACAGAACCUUCACACUUACAUGCCACAGUUCUCACCUUCCUGGCACUCUGUCCUUAAAGGGACAGUUUAAACACUAAAAUCACUUCAUCUUAAUGAUGUGAUUAUAUUGCAUACAUGAUCCCCCUGCACCUUGCUGCUAUAAACUGCAUUUUUCAGUUUACAUGUCUACUAGUGAGAUUUUAAGUUUUUUUUAUGAGACACAGUAAUCUAACAUGAUAAAGGGACACAUGUAACAUAUAUAUAUUUAUAUAGAUAUAGACACAAUACACAAUCCAGCACACUCACUCAUUCACUAAACAGCGACGUCAAGUCUCACCAAUUGUAAAAGUUUUAUUUAAAAACAUCUCAACUAGGCAAAAAACAAUGGAGGUUAAAUUACAGUAUAGCCUAAUGCCUGCUCUUAUAAGAUUAUAUAUAACGUUUGUUUUAUAUAUGUAUUGUUGAUUUUAUGUGAUCACUGUAUUUUCACUAUAAGAAUUCUUGUUAAUCUGAAAUCGAGUUUGAAUCUAUCAGGCACAAAGAUACCUCUUAAAUAUCUGAAAUCUUGAACAGAUACUUUACAAAGUGUUCCAUAUCCUGUUAUCACAAGUAGAUAAAGCAAUAGAACCAGCUGCUGCAGUUUAGUUUGAUCUCCCCUUUACCACAUUUUAAGAAGUCAUCAGCACCUCUGCAGGGAAGUAGAAUUUAACUUCCCCUUGCAGUUUCCUGAGAGACACUGUACAGACACCUCUGGAAUCUAGACUCCAUGUUUUCUUCGCUCUUCACGCAGCAGCAGUGUAGGUCACAUAUCCCCACCAUGUACAGGCCUGUCACCACAUCUUACUGACUGUUGAAAUGACAGUUCCCUCGGACAGCCCACUCAAGAGAGUGGAGCCAGUGGUACUCAGCCCCUGUCUUAACACACACUUAGAUGUCAUUGAGUCCAUUAAGUCUCAGAGACGCUGAGGGUCAUUUGGUGAAGGGAAGUCUGCAGCACUGAAUGGGGAUCUGGGGAAAACCUCUUACACAGCUCUUGUCUCAGAUGCCUUUAUCUCUGGACUGAAACCAAGUCAUGUUUGGCAAUACAACAUCAGCUUUGUUCUGUCAGGGACAAGGUGGCCGACUGGCUUGUGUUUUUAACUCACCAGCUGCUGAUUUUCAAACCUGACAUAAAAAACAAAUUAAGUCCUCAAGUGUGCAGAAGUCUCAUGAAAGGUCUAAAAUUUACAUUGUACCCACUUUCUCCUUCAAGAAGUAGUAGGUGGUUAUUUGGGGUAAAUUUUUUUGCAAUUGCCAACAUCAAAAAGGUUUUUAAGUCAUGCCAAACACCAGGCAAAAUGCUAGCACUGCAUGUGUGGUGUGGAAUAUAUCAAACAGUUAUUUGCUUUGCUCGAGCUAGUUACAUAAUGAAAUUCCAUAUUAGAUUGUUUAGAGUUGUUACUUGUGACAGGUAGAGGCGCCAGGGAACAAUGACCUAGACUAGAAGUGGUAAAACGAAAUCCUCUCCAAAAUCUAUAUGAUUCUGUGGAAUCCAUUUAUCAAGAGAAGAGAUUUACGUGACACUUUGAUGAACGAGCUUUAUAGAAUAACACUUGAUCACGAAAGUGCCUUGUGCCAGAGCUUUUCUUUGUUUUAAUAUGUAAUCAUGCUUUGAUAAAUCUCAUUACAAAUUUUAGGUUCACCCAAAGUGCUGUUUGCUGGAACUGAUACAAAUACUAACAUGAAAUAACUUUAGAAGAAAAUACACGUAUAUUCAGCUUUUAAAGAAUUAUAAAACACUUUCCCCUACUCUUUCAAAAUCACAGAGUCCCUUUUCAUGGCAAACUUCUAAAGACCUGCCUUUCUCCUGGCGUGGUCUACCUAAUAUUUUUCUUAAACGCGAAGAGAUGUGAAACAAAUUGAAUACUUCCUUAACACCAUGUGUUGGUUUUACUUGGAUGAAACCUUCAAUUAUUACAAAUAUAUUAUUUUCCCCAGCAGACACUCAGUGACAGCAAAAUUACAGGUUAGCUUUCUUCACACUGAAUCGUAUCAGAGACAGAAGCAACUGAAAACCAAUAUAGCCUUUCCUUUUCUCAAAAGGCUGUUUAUACAUUAACCCCCACUGGUGUGGAGCGAUGGAGGUGUUGGUGUGCAAAGAAAAGAAACAAUCAAUUUAGUUUAAUGUUAAUUAGCUGAAUUACUUUACCUAAAUAUAAAUAAACAGGGAACAGAUAGCACAUUAUAUUUGCAAGAAUAAGCGGAUAAUUAUUCUCAUACUACCAGUCUUUAAAACACUAGGGAAAUAUUCACUAAACUGACAAUUGUGAAAACGUGACAAGGAUAAUUUUAGGCUAAAAUCCUUUUUUUUUUUUUUUUUUUUAUGUUUGGCUAGAUUUGGCCCAAAAUGUGUAAGUUCUGUCUCAAUUCUUCACAGUUGGUGAAUGAACUCCAUUCUGAUUUAACAUAAUUAUGUGUUUUAAUUAAUUACAAUUUGUGGGACCCGUCUGACAAUUUAGGCAGAAAGUCCAGAGAAUUUAAUUUGCAAGCCCUAUAUUUAAUCCUGUAUGUUUCCAAAAUAAAACCUAUAUGUACUGUUGUACUUGUGAGACUUUUCUGAACACAAAUAUGAUUGUUUUUUAAAACAGUAAAACAUAUCAUGACGAUAAUAUCAACGCAAAAAUAAAUAUGAACUGUAACUUUGGCCACGGUUGGCUACUAAAAAAGGUUGGAUAUACCCCAUUUUGAAUAUCCUGGAUUGUCUACUUUUGCAAAUGAUAUGUCAUGAUGGGGUAGAUCUCAUUCCAGGGCUACCAUACGUUUUAUCAAAAGCAACACAAUCAAACGGGUAAAUUGUGUAAAAACUAAAAUGGGAAAGUGUUAUAUUUGACCCUGUAACUUUCCAAAACACCAUAAAUUCAUGACAUGGAGGCUACUGUUGUACUUGUGGGACAUCGCUUAACACAAAUAUAAGUAUUUUAGAGCAGUAAAAUGUAUACUGCUGAUUAUAUCAUUGGUGAAAGUGCAUUUGUUUUGUAAAAAAAAUGCAAAAGACAAAUAUGAAUGCUAACUUUGACCAAGGUUUGUGACUAAGUGGCUACUAAAAAGACUGGACACACUCCAUUUUGAAUACCCUGGGUUGUCUACUUUUGCAAAUGGUAUGCCAUGAUGGGAUUCAUUUUUAUUUCUGGGCUGACAAAGGCAACAUAGGCCUAGCAAACCAAUCUCAAUGUGUAUAAACUGAAAAGGUGAAAGCCCUAUAUUUGAACUUGUACCUUUCUAAAAUCCCAUAAAGCCUGUACAUGGAGGGUACUGUUGUACUCGUGAGACUUUUCUGAAUACAAAUAUGUGUAUUUUUUGUAGUAAAACGUAGCAGUAUUAUGACAUUUACAGUUAAACUACCAUGCAGAACUAAGAAAAUAAAAAAAGUAUUUUUUUAGAUUUUAUUCAUAUUAAAUUAUGUUUACUAUCUAAAUAUUUGAUGUGAAAUUAAAGCCUUUGUCUCCUAAACAAAAUAAUAUAUAAUAAAAGUGGGUGCACAUAAUAUGAAAGAGGUAAAUUAUAGUUGAACAAACAUAUAGCGUAAAUUCCAGGUUUUAUUUUGAUCGGAACUUGUACAAUUGCCUCCAUACUUAAGGAGUUAAUCAGAAGUUCAAUAUGCUGUAGACAGUAGGCAUUAUUUCAGAGAUUUAAAAAAAAAAAAAAAUUUUUAAAUCAAUUUACAAGUAGCCCUUCAUGGAUUAUUUUCAUGAAGUAGAAUGGAAGCACCUUUAGAGGGACAGUCCGGUAACUAUAACCACUUAAUUUCAUUGAAGUGGUUAUAGUACCUGGAGUCCCCUGGCAUCAUCCCUUUGCUCAGUGUAAAACAGGUUUCAAAGAGUUUCUGUGAGUCAGCUAUGCUUUUAAUUCAGCUACUCUGACAUUAAAUUUGAAAUUCACUUUGAAUUCACCUUCAGUUUUCUCUUUAGUACAUAACACUGUCUGAGAUUUCUCCACCAAUCUAUUAUUUUCGAUGAAACGGCUGCGCGUAUCCCUUAAACUAAUUUUCCUGGAAAACGCAGCUUACCUGCUGUGAGUGCUUUCAUUCAAGAAGUAAAACCGAAUGAUGCCACUCUGUAUUUUAAAAGCAGUGGUCUGGGUUUAUAUUCAUUUGCAGUCAGUAGAAUAGUCACAACUAUUUGAAUAAAUUAUAAUUUUCGCCAUUUUUGUGGAAAUGCAUAACACUAUUUAAGUUUUUGCUAACAAAACGUACUACUAGCAGCUGCCAGUGAGAACCUGCGAUUUCUAUAGUUAAAUUGAUUAUCUCCUGGUGAGUACAGAUGAUUAAAAUGCCCAGUCUACUUACAAAAUGCCCAGAUUUGUAAAAUAUCGACCCACGGUUACAUUUAAAGUGAUAUGCAGUGGUAAAAAUAAGUAUCAAUAAUAUAUGUAAUAUUCAUGUGGAAUAAAAUUUAGUUUUUAGAAGUAUAUCUAUGACAGGAUAGUAAAUAUGUAGACAAUGUGGUCUUCUCACUAAACUCCAGCUUAUAGCAAAUUAAAAUCAGAAUGGUAAAAUUUAGGCAAACAAAUAAUUUGUACAAAUUUCUGCCAUUCAGUUAUAAUCAAAAUGUGUCUAUUUUUGCUUAAACUUUGCCUUUCGGAUUUCCCAUCUCUAUGAUUUUGAGAUUAGUGAAUAAAGCUGUUUGAGAGAAUUGUAUUUUUAGAAUUGAUUUAAAAAACUCACUCACCUUCAAAUCACUGCAAAUUUUAUCAUUUUUAAAAACAAUCCGAUAUGUUUUAUACUGCAAAUACAUUACAUAUGAGAAAAAAAAGAGGUGUUGCAUAUGCAUCAUAAACACCCACCUGUCCCACUUUCUGAUGAAUCUUUGGUCUGUAUUGAAAGAGUACUGGGAGUGACAGACCACUAUAACCACCUCUCAGUGUUUGGCGCCUGGCUCUCUUCUUUGAUACCUGUUUAACACAGGAAGCCAAUGACAUUGCUGCAGAACUAACUCCCUGAUGUAAAGGUUAAUUUUCCUUUCACAAUUGGAUAGCAUGAGCAACUCCUAUUUAAUGCCUCCUGGUACAGGAAACAGAAGUUGAACCCUCAAAUGCAUAUGUUGUUUGCAGUACAAGAGCUAUAUAUGGUUAAUGCAGUGCAUUAUAUCAUUAACAAAAAAAACAAAGAAAACCCCUGUGUUUGUUUAACUCAGAGUAAUGUAUGCAUAGUCUGAACAUGUGUAAAAAUAGUACAUGCACUUUUAUUUUAAAAAGUAAACUAAUAAACAGUUUACAAUUUAGAUGGGUGCUAAUAAAACUUAAUAGGCAAAUAUGCCUUUGUUCCUUAUGCAAAAACCAAAGAGAUCAUCCUUUUUGUGCAGCUGUAACAAUUUAAAAAGUCUAGAAUCUGAGUUAACGUGUUUAACUUUUAACAGUUUUAAGUAUCCCUUGGCAUUUGUAUGUUGGGUGGUAUGCAAUGCACUGUUAACCCCUUCACUAAUUUCUUUUCUUUUAUCCAGAUUAAUGCAAUAUACAGUUGGCAUAAAAAAAAACCUUACAUAAAUAUAUACAUAUAAAUGUAAGAAGAAAUAGUAAUUUUGUUUAUUUUUUAUUUGUUGCUUUUUUACAGAAAUGUUAGAGCAAUAAAAGUAAUAUCUUGCAAUACUGAAGACUGAGUUUAUAAUUUUAGUGCAGAAACCCAAAUAUCAGUUUCGUUAAAGGGACACUAUAGGCAACCAGACCACUUCAGCUCAUUGAAGUGUCUGGGUGCAGUGUAACUGUCCCACUUAGUCCUGCAAUGUGAAUCGUUGCAGUUUUAGAAAAAUUGCAAUAAUUAUAUUGCAGGAUUAAGACUGCCUCUAGUGGCUGUUAAUCAGACAGUCACUUCAGGCACUUCCUGCUUGCUAAGCGACAUUUGGUCAUCUAACUGAUGCUGGACAUCCUUACGCUCUGCAUUAUGAAGCAUUGCAGCAUGCUUUCCUAGGAGGCGGAGCGCCAACCCAGCACAGAGGUAGAAUUGGGUGAGUACACAAAGGUUUUUUUUUUAACCAUUUUCAUGUUGUCAGGGGUGGGGGUGCAAGGUACAGGGCAAAGGGAACUCUAGUGUAAGGAAUACAACUUUGUAAUUCAUUCCACUAUAAAAUCCCUUUAAUUACAAUAGUUGUGAGAAAGAUGUAAAAAUAAUCAUUGUCAAAUACUUUGCUUAUUGCUAUUCAUAAGAAACUUGCUGGCAUUUUUGGGAAUGCAGAUGCCCACAAAUAUCACCAGACUAUAAAAUGAAUGUCUGUAUGCUGGGAAAACACGUGUAUACAAUGAGUAGACUUGCAUUUCUAACAAAAUAAAAGAAAUGUAUACUGCAGAGGAUAAUGAAGGAUGCAUAGAAGAACUGCAAUGUGCCCAACAAUCGCCACAUUGUUUCUAGUGGAGGGCGAAAGCAAUAUUUACAGAAAUUAAUUUUACCUCCAAAUGUACACUAACAUGGAGUGUUAAGACACGAGGACAUUAUUCAUUAGAUUUUUUUGCAAAUAAUAUAUUAAAUUUAAACUUGCAUGUACAUGUUGGUCGGGAAGUUGAUAAUAUUCAUAAUUUUACCAUUUCACUCUCCUUAUGCUUAUACACAUUUCACACACUUAUUUUCUGUUAAAUAUGUUGGCAAGACAAAUUCUAUUUCCAUUGGUAUACUCAAGAUUCAUCAUUGUAACAAAAAAUGAAUAUAUUACAUCCAUGUUUUAAUAUCAAAACAGAAUGCACGUGUUAUGGUUGAUUAUAUAUUUCCUACCUGUUCUAUGUAAAAUUUUGUAUAUAUUGUGUAUUAAUAUUGUUUUUGUAUUUUAUUGUACCCUAUUGUAUCAAUGCAAUGUUUUGUGGACCCAGGACAUACUUGAAAACGAAAGAAAUCUCAAUGUAUCUUUCCUGGUAAAAUAUUUUAUAAAUAAAUAAUUGUAACCAGAAAUUAAUAUAUUACAUCCAUGUUUUACUAGAACCUUGCCCUAUUAUACCAGAUCCGUUAUUGUUGCCUAAAUCUUGCCCUUUGGUUUGCAGCUUACAGUUGGUAUUUUAGUAAAUAGACUCCGUAGUGUUGACGGAGAGAUGGGAUAUUGUCAUUCUAAGGUAAAAUAAUGUAGGAAGGCAUUUAAGGUUUUGGCUAGCAAUAGUAUUCAGACACAUAUGCUUUGAAGAAAAUUUGGUUCGGUGAUUUGAUUUGGCCAAAAUUAAAAAAAAAAUUGUAAGACAGAAUUUUGUUGAUGCUGCAUUUCAAACGAAUCAGGAAAAAUGAUUUGGAUGAGCUAAAUGGAUUAAAAAAUUAGCCUUUCAUUAUACCACAAAAAUAUAUACAUUUUCAUGCCCGAUUACUGAAGAAAAUUCCAGUGGUAAUGGAAUUUUACUAUUAAAAUUAGGUCCACAUUCAGUCAAUAUUCAAAUUUUAAACAAUUGGUUACUUUUAAACAUUUGGUUGCAUAUUUUAAGCUUUCAGCUUGGCUCAAUACUUUCUUUCUUUGUUUUUUCCUUCCUUCUUUCUUUCUUUCUUUCCUUUCUUCAUCUUGCCAAUACUCGACAACAAUAGUUUUGUGUUUUAAAUCAUAGUGUACUGGGUCUCUUAUAUUUCAUAUGGAAUUAAAUAGAUGUCAAGUAGUUGUCCCCUAACUGCUGAACUAUAGAGGAUGGGGUAAAUCGUACCUUUAAUGAGAGAAUUAUGUUACGCAAUGACAUUUUUAUAUUGUAAGUGAUAUUUUUUUUUAUUUAAAAGAACACUUGACUGCCCAAAUAAAUAAAUAAAUAAAUACAUAAAUAAAUCUCUAUUUAGUAGAUACACUCCAACUGAAAAUAAAAUGCAGUGCAUGUAUUUUUUCAUUGGGGGUAUAUCUAAAAUCAGAUCUCUUGUCGGCUGCCUUUUCAAGUCCUCCCCUUUUCCUCAGCCCAGACUUCCUGUGGCUGUCCAAUGGCAGACUUCUCAAUGCAGCUCAAUGAGAAGUCCUUUGCUAGCAGGUAUUCUGGGCAAUUGCUGCCUCUUGAGUUUAGCUCAGCUGAGCUAAACAACCAGGAAGUAACAGAACCAGUGGUCUAAUUGACAGCUGGGCAGUGUAACAAGGUACAUUCACAAAAGGGCCAAUUUCUAAUGAAAUCAGCACUUUUUGUAUAUUGAAAAAUGAGGGCCCUCUCUUCACACAUAAAUCAUUUCAGUAAGCUAAAGUGCUUUAGAAGUGUGUUUCUUUAAACUGUAUAAAGAUUGUUCCUAUGUAUGAGGGGCGGGAUCUUUUUUAGUGGCUCAAAAUAUUUAUUGCUUUGAGUUUUUUAAUUUUAUACUUCAUUUUGCUUUAUUCAAUUCAUCAUGUGGAAUUGCAGUCUGACUUGCUGCUGUUUUAGCUUGUACUAUAUUUCUGUAUCAAUGUAUCUUCAAGUAUUGCAUUAAAAUAUAUCCACUGUCAUAUCAUCAUUUCUACCUAAUUAAGUGUAAUCUUGCAUUGUUGAUUUUCCCUUUUGUAUCCAAUAUUAUAUAAUCUUGAAUUGCACUGUUGUAUCUGAUUCCUUUAUUGCAUUGUUUAACCCAUUGUGAUGCUGUCUUGCAUUGCAUUCCCUUUUAAAUAUCUUAUAUCACAUUGUUGUAUUUACUGUCAUACUAUUCUGUCCUGUGUGGUUAUAUUGAGUGUUACACAAUACGGUAUUGCUCUGCUAUCGGCCAUUACAGAGUACAUUUUGUAUGCCAUUUACGUAAGUGCUGCUAUUAUGUCAUGUAUGGCAUUAUUGUAUGUACUGUGUUAGAAUCUUUUUCUUCCCAUUGUUAUACUGUCUCAUAUUGCAUUUUUGUAGCUCCUGUUAUCCUAUAUAAUAUUGUAAUGUUGUAUCUGCUACUAUAUUAACUUGUGUUGAGUCUGUGUACUGGCUGUUACACUGGUUUGUAGUUUAUUGCCGUUCCUGUUAUAUUAUCUUGUAUUGCAUGGCUGUAUACAUUGAUAUAUGAUCUGAUAUUGUUGUAUCUAUUAUGUUUUAUUUUUGUAUAUGCUUCUAUGUCAGCUGGUAUUGUAUUUGCAUAUCCGCCAUUUUGUAUUGUAUUUCCUCUGUUAAACUAUUAUACAUUGUUUGGCAGCUGACAAUUAUAAACUAGUUUUACUUCUUUCUAGGAUAUAUUUUCACAUUAUCAUACCUUGCUAAUCUUAGCUAUCUCUGCACAUGUCAUAACAGAGAUACGGUUUAGAAGUACAGUACUUUACAUAGCUCAGUGAAAAACAUUACAGCCUCACACUUUACUAAGCUGCAUAGAGAAAAUUAAAACUGUACCUUCCUUAAAUUCUCAACGGCAGGCUUAUGUAGAGUGAUCUUUACUAGUCCAUCCAUUGCCGUGGAGACGCCACUUUAAUUGGCUUUUGAGAAGUGACCUUUAAUGAUUUGGUUAUUGAAAACACCACUGAUAACCAUCAUUUAGAGAGCUGAAGAACAACAAGACUAAUAUGAUUGCUCAACAGUAUUAGAAAAUCUGAUUCUAGAAUAGAGAAAUAUGUUUGUCUAAAACAGUUGUAUAAAGUGAGCAACGUGCACCGUACCUGCAGUUAGAUAGCAUUACCCAUCACCAUUGAUAAAGGAAUUAUUAGAACUGAGGCCCAGCGCGACUGUGGGGCCACACGUUUCAUUAGCACACCAUGUUCACCUGGGGAAGGAGAUGUACAUUAAAUUUUCAGGUUUGAAAGGUGCUGUUUCUUUUAAUCUUUCUUAGACUAAAGAUUGAACAAAACAAACAUAGUCACACUAGUAUUCACUAAAUGGUUGAUUGCCAGGAAUUCAGAGUCCAUUUAAAGUGAAUUUCAAAUAACCAGUUUGUUGUCAGUUUAGCUAUUUUGGCCUAAAAGUUUAAACUGACUCUAUUUUCCCUUUGAAUUCCGGAGAAUUCACAUUUUAGUGUAUAAGCCCGACAGUGACUUGGGGUUUUACAACAGAAGCGCAAGUCACAAGUUAGUUGUGGCCUAAUAACAAACUUGUCUUUCAACCUGCUGCACUCCAAACAUCUGUUCAUUUAUACAAUGGCAUGCUCCAUCUUUAAUUUAUAUGAUGAAAGGACUUUUUAAUCUUUUUAACCCUUGAAUGCAUUGAUUUUAUGUAUAAAAGGGGUUUGUUUAUUAUUCUGCAAAUCGAAUUAUGGGGCACAAUAGAAGUUUUAAAUAAGGGUUAAUCAAACAAGACAUUAGGAGCAGGAAACAUGAUGAGGUGGAAUAAUAGAUAAGGAAUGAAUAACAUAUAUUGUGGUCUUUUAAAACUGUGGACACCUUUGAUCCUAUACUUAUAGCAUUGCUUUGCUGUAACCUAACUACAACAGUGUUGUUUUUGAAAUGAUCAAAUAAACUGUAAGGGGCUUAACAAAGAGUCUAUCCAUUGUACGGGGAUUUCCUCUCCACCGUUAUAGUAAAAGUAAGUUCCUAGCCAUUUCUAAAAUAAAAUUGUCACGUCAAACACCAGUUGAAAUGGUUUUAAUGGGUUAAUCUCAGUGUUGCACCUUUCGCAGGCUCAGCGCAGCAAGAUACAGUGCAGAUCGCAAAAGACUAUAUUCGUCUAGAGCUGUACACAGUUUACUAAUACAAGAUACGUUCAACUAUUUUCGUUCACCAAAAAAUUUAAAAACCUGACGGCAACUCUCUGUCUGCUCUGUCAGUUGCUAAGGGGUUAAAUUUCUUCUGCAAAGCUAAGCAAGCAGAGCUGUUUUAUUUUUUUCCUCUAGUCAAUUUGCAAUAUGAUUGAGUUUGAACAGCAUUAUGGACGGAAGGACAUUAAUAGAAUUCUCAGCAGAACAGGCCAAGGUUCCUGGGAGACAGUAGUACUUGAAAUAAAAAUGACUAAUAAAAUCAUUGAGCUAUAGGCUGGCAUUCUAGCGUCUAAGGGCAUUGUUCUUUUGUCCAGGGCAAAAUGCUAAAAACAUGUGCGUCUUUUAUAACAAAGUUCCAGGAGAAUCUUAUAUCCCAAGCUCUGUGAUAGCUAAUUUUGACUCUAGUUGCCUGUAAACUACAGUUACCAUGAUGCCCAGCCAGACUUCUGUCUGGAUUACAGUUUUAGUAAUGCAGUUCAGAUAUUUCCUGUGAUGUGAAAGUCAGCCAUCAAUGCCCUAUUCUGCAGAUAAUAGUUUUCAAAAAAAUUGGUAAUAUACUAAAAAUAAAAUGUACUAAAAAAAACAAAAAAAACUUUAAAAAAAAGACAACAUUUAUUUUACAUGAUUGAUAAACUCAGAUUAUUAUUUCUGCCUAUUGACACGAUGAAACAACAACAAACAUUUUGACGGUAUUUCAUAUAUAAAGGUAGUAUUUAAACGGAUUUAUAUUUAUAAAAUCAUUAAAUUAAAGGGAAUAAAUUACACACUUCCUAUAUAUGUUUAGUUGGGAUGAAAGUUCCCAUAAAUGUACAUGUAGAUUCUGAAAAACCUCCUGAAUGUGAAUGAAAAUUAUUAACCCUUUCACGUUUGACAAAAUGCACGACUCUCAGGUUGUAAUAUAAUUCAACCUUUUUAAAUUAUUAUUUCUGGGGAAUAAAAAUCAUGCACGUGAGAUUGUAUGAUCAUGCACACCAGGCUAAAACCUUGAUUUUUUAAUCUAUGAGAUUUGGAUUACAUAUAAAAUUAAUCUUAUAUCAAUGCGUUCAGUGGUUCACUAACAGUAAGAAGGAAGAUUAUCUGACAGUUCUAAAUCCAUCUAAAUAGAAAAUAUAUCUUUCAAGCAGUUCCUUUCUCAAUUCUGAAUUUGUUACAAACCUCUUAUCUUGGUUUAAAAAUAUUUUAACGCAUUUGUUUUUCCUCGAAUUAAAAAAAAAAGUUGUUGUUUUUUGUGCUUUUUGGAGGCAAAUAACUUUUGAGUUAUCUUAUAUUUUCAAAGUAAUUACUACAACUAUGUUUAAAAUUUUCUUUACUUAAUAUUUUAUAACCUAUUUGUUUUGUAAAAUUUGUAUAUUACAUCUAUUUUGCCUUUCUGACUAUUAAACAUUACACGUCUAUUUUGUACAAAUAUUUAAAAAGAAAUAAAUAAAAAUAUAGACUAUAUAUACUUGAUAUUUAAAGAUUUGGGGUACAGUAAUAUUCAUCAGUUGCUUUUUUAUGCAUUAGUAUUUUAUAGCUUUUACUGUUUUGAGGGUGAUGGCAUUAACACUACAGGAAUGUAUUUCAGAUCGGGGCUAAAUUACACCUAUCACAGUUUUUAGGAUCAAAUUAUUUUACAGAUUAUGAAAGAUUCUGGCAUAAACAGAGUUGCCCUUCAUCAGGUAUUAGAGAGAUUGUAUUAAAUAUUGUCUUUGUAACCUUAAUUCAUGAAACAAAGCUAAAGAAAUGACACACAGCUAAUUUUAAUUUCAUUUCUAAAUCGACUGCACUCUAAAUAUGGUUAAUCAUACAUUUAGUUGUAUAGUAGAACAUAAGUGGAAGAAAUAAAUUGUAAUGCAAUGCAAACAAGAACAGCCGUCUAUGAAUAAAAGCUUUUAAAUAUAUAUGUAUCUUUUUGUUUCUUUUUCAGUCAUAUCUUUCGGAACAUUGAAUUAUUCCGGCAGAUGUUAUUACAAAGUACAGCAUCAUUUAUACUGCCAAUGCAAUAAUUAGAUUUUUAUUGGUUUCAGUAAUUUUAGAAAAUUGCUUCACUUUGGAUAAUGUGCUUUCAUACAGAAGGCUCUCCAUUGAUCUCACCAAUGACAAUUAUUAGACUUCUGCAAAAUGAAAUGCUUUUUUUUUCCACGUCAAGAAAAAUAAAAAUAAAUAAAUAUAAUAAUUUUGGUAAUUGGAAAUAGUAAAUGCAGUUUAAAAAAAAAUAAUUGCAUCUGGCAAGCUGUUGCCAAAGAUUAAUUAUCUAAAGUCUUUUCUUUAACUCUGAAUACAUUAUUAAUAUUUAUCUGAUUGAAAUCCAAAAAUGUUUAAUUAAUUUCCUAGAUAAUAAGACUGUCUAUAGCUCUUUUCCAAAAAGAUAUUGUGUUUUACAUUAUAACAUUUUUGUUAGAUGUCUCUAUCUAUCUCUCUAUCUCUAUCUAUCUAUCUAUCUAUCUAUCUAUCUAUCUAUCCAUCCAUCCAUCUAUCUCUCUCUCUCUCUAUCUAUCCUUCUGUCUGUCUAUAAAAUCAUUUUAGUAUUAAUUGUGUACUAUUAUUGAAUUAAAUCCAUUUAGUUUUCAGAUGUUUACUCUCAUGCUGUUAUACUAGAUUACACACAUAUCAUCAUAUAUCAGUAAAAUACAAACAACAGUAAAUAAAAUAUAGAUUUAUAUAUUUUUAUUAGGCCAAUAUUUUUUUGCUAUAUGAGUAAAAUUAAAUUAUCUACCUGUUUCAAAGCAAGGAAAACAUCACUAUAGCUGAAAGCCAGCCACAAUAUUUUUAUUUUCAUCAUGUGGAACAAGAAGCUUAAUAAACAUCUGCAUCUUGUAAGUUAAAGGUGGUGAGUUUGUAUAUUCCGACAAGUUAUCAUAAUUUAAAAAAAAAAAAAGGAAAGAAAACUCCAGCUGAUAGAAAAACAUUUUUGUUGAUGAUGUGUGGAUAGAUGGUCUGAGAAAAACUCAUCAGAUAUAAUUUGCAGCAUGGCCGUGCUUUUGACAAAUGAGUAAUUAUUAGGAUGAAGAUGUUUUAGCUCUCAUUUGAAGGGUAUAUUUGACUGUGGGUUCUAGUAACAAGGCGAUGGGGAGGGGGGAGGAGGGAUGAGUGCAAUUUUCCUACAUUUGCUACUAAAAUUGGGGAACCAAUUAGAUGUACUUGUCAGUAGUUCCAUGCAAAGAAAGAGUUCAGAGUAAAUAAAUACAGUAACAAUGGCAUGAAAUAACAGGGUUAUAGGUCAGCAGAGGGAGGGGGGGGGAGAUAGAAUGUUCAGAAACUCAAGUGAGAUGUAAGUCUAAUAUGGAAAAAAGCCUGCACUCAGAUGGGAUAAGUGUGGAUACAGAAAGCUGUGUGUUUCGCUAGAUCUUGCAUCCAAGCUUUUAAUUAUGAUUUCUUAGGUAAAUGAAAUCCUCAGAGGACAUCCAUUUAGAAACCCCUCAGUAGGGCAGGAGGAGGGGAGCAAGAGGCUUUGUUCAGCUGUUGUGUAGAUCAGAGGUUUAAGUGAAUUUGUUUUUCUUUGAGAAAGUUGUCCAAUUAGUCGUACUGCCAUGUGAAGUGUAUUGACAGGCAAUAGAUCUAAUGAGGAAAGGGAGAGAAACACACAUGCGGGUUAAAGAAGCUUUCCCUGUUCAAACUCUUCUCUUUUCUCUAACAGGUGAAAGGAUUUCAGUGAUCCAGGAUACAAUGUCUCCAGCGCGAUUUGGGUAUAUGAAUGAUGAGACAAUACCUGCAUGUUUUAUGACUAUUCACGGCCAAGGUACGCCAUGUAGUGUAGACACAUACAGAAACGAAGCAGCCUCCCAAUAGACUGAUACAGUAACAUAAAUGGAAGAAACUUAGGAGAGACAUUAGGCUCCAGGAAAGGAUAACAAUUAAACAGAUCUGAUCUUUUACAGCAGAUAGAAACAUGGAAGAAUGGGUGGGACGAACAUGUUUUUCUGAUCUCAAAGCCAUGGCGUACAAUAAAACAAAGUGAAGGAGGGAUUUGUGCUACAAAGGAUCCAAGCAUAUAUGCUUCAUUACAGUUCACGUUUUAUUACAGAUUUUUAGAUCUGCAAAUGAUAAUGAAGAGCUUACGGUAACAGGAUGUUACAAGGUAAAAUGCAAUCUGAGCCCCAUUCACAGCAACCACAAAAAUUGAGAGCGAGUGAGAGAAAGAAAUGAAAGAACCAAAUAGUUUUUGUUUUACCAAAAUGCUGCAGAAAAAAAAAUACCUUCCCAUUAGGGUGCAGAGUGUGUGACUUACCUGUACAAGGGAUGGGAAGAACGCUGACAUGCCAGAGUUGUAUGGUUGGUCACAAUCUCUGAUGUAAGAAAAAGAGGUACCUGGUUCCUAGUCUGUAGCCAAAACAUUUCAUUAGAUUAAGAGACUCCAAACAUACCAAAUCGUAAACAAUACGAAAUACAAAACAAAUACAUUUUAACAUCUGUAGUCACUGGGGAAUAAACAUUUUUAUUAAUAUCCAAUUAUAGAGGGUACUAUAUGACAUUGGAUAAUAAUAUCAGAUAGUUGUCCAUUCCCCAUUCUACGCCAAUGCUCCAUUUUCACAGCAUGGUUGAGAUGAUACAUAGGUUUAAUUCUGAUCCCAACCAUCGUAAGAACAGCAAUGGGAACAAGACGGGUUAUGCCUCUUCUAUAUGUACAAACAUAUACAGCGAUCAAGCUUCCUUAAAGGACUGAGUUGUCCUUUAGAACCUUUGCCAUUACAGGAAGUGGUAAUGUAUGAUGGGGAAUGAUGCACAGACCUGGGCAGUAAAAGAUGUUAUCAUGUUAAAAAGAUACUACCCCUUUAAUCCAAUUAAAUCUGUAUUUGUUUCAGAACGGGAGUGUUAGUAUUGUUAUGCAAUAUAUCUGUUAAAUUAAUAUAAAUACGUAAAAAAAUAAAACAAUGUUUAAACAGUUUGUAUCAUUAUUAUUAAUCAGCAGUGGUUAUUCUAUUACAAUUAAAUAUCUCGGACUUAAGGCUUGACAGCAGAACCAAGCAGAUGCAUGCUACGUGGGCUACGUGGAAAUACAGAUAAAAAAGGCAUUUUUCCAUAUCCCAGAAAUCAGAAAAAGAAACCCCCCGAUUCCCACUCAACAUGGGACAAAAGACAAAAAAACAAAGACCGGACAGACCCAAUUGCAUCUGGCAAGCUGUUGCCAGAGAUUCAUUAUCUAAAGUCUUUUCUUUAACUCUGAAUACAUUAUUAAUAAUUAUCUGAUUGAAAUCCACAAAAGUUUAAUUGAUUUCCUAGAUAAUAAGACUGUCUAUAGUUAUUUUCCAAAAAGACAUUGCGUUUUACAUUAUAAAAAUUUUUGUUAGAUGUCUAUCUGUCUGUCAUUCUGUCUGUCUGUCUAUAAAAUCAUUUUAUUAUUAAUUGUGUACUAUUAUUGAAUUAAAUCUAUUUAGUUUUCAGAUGUUUACUUUCAUGCUAUAAUACUAGAUUACACACAUAUCAUUAUAUAUCAGUAAAAUACAAACAACAUGGUCACUCUGACUCCUCAGACAACUUCUUCCCAGCAGAGGCUGUGGGCAACCAACCUCCCGCAAAACCUCAACCAGCACCGGGUUCAAGGGACAUGGAAACUGUGACGGCUACAAUGCUAAAAAACAUGCUGGGGGACUUACAAAAGAUCUUACAGGCAGAUGUAGCCCAGCUACGCGCUGACCUCAUGGACCUGGUAGGCUUCAUCGUUGUGGUGGAGGCGUCCUCUUCACAACACACACAAGAACUCGCUAACAGGAGGUGACAGCACUCCAACUACAGCAAGCCAAGAGCAAGCAACGUUUCGCGGCAAUGGAGGACGCCAGACGUCAAAAUAACCUGAAACUCCGCGAGUUCGUGGAAGACUUACCCACAGAAGAAAUCCUGCACUUCCUAAGAAGACUCUUUGGAGCCCUACUGGCACCCACGCAAGCUAAAAAUGUCAUUGUAGAGGCUGCCUUCUGGGUCCGGAAUGGGCCCCCCGAGACCUAAUAGUAUGAUUCAGAAGUGCGGCAGACAAAACAGCGAUUAUCAAGGCCUUGAAGGGGGCAGCCACCUACAGCUUUGAACAUAUGGACUUGUCAUUUUUUGCAGCUCUAUCGGGUGCUCCCUGCGGCCCCUAACCACACUGUUAAGAAGUCACCACAUUCACUAACGCUGGCACUCACUGAGAACACUUCAAAUCACACAUAAUAACGUGGUCCACUCCAUCAGAAACCUCCACAAAGCCGCCUCUCUGCUGCGUCAACUGGGCCUGCCGACAGAAGCAGUACCGACAUCCACAAUCCCGGAGCAGCCAACAGCGAAUCCAUGUUGGGACCCAGCGAAGAUAGUCCCCUUCAGCCCACAAGACACAGGGAAAACAGCGUACACAGCAGCUACCACCUGAAAGAUGGAUCUCAGCAAUAACUCCUUCUCUCACAAAGGACAAUACACAACCUGCGGUUCGAGGGUGAAGACACUCUCUAUCUGUUGGUGACCUCUUUCUCAGUCGCCCACUGGACUCUAUCAUGCUCUUACCAUCUCUCGGAAUACACAGGACCCCAAAGUGAACCUGCAGCACCUCAAUGCACAAGGCCCUAAGCCACACAUCCAAAGACUCUCUUACCAAGUUCAUGCCUGCAUUUCGAAGCAGCAUAGUUCUCCACACGAAGAAGACAAGACUCUUUAUGUUUAUCCAUUUAUUGAUUUUUAUAUGUUUUUCUAUCCAACUGAUUGAGUUUGAGCAUAUAUGUAUACACAUGCCAUAUAACACCCUACAUGACUGACCAAGCCCCGCUGACACAAGCGGGUAUCCACCUUUCCCCCCCACCUCCAUUACGACAAUAGAGCAUAACCACUAGACAUACAGAAAUGCUAGAGGUUCUCCUUAACUCAAAGUUGACAAUACCGUUUGGACCACACCAGGCUACUCAUGCAGCCACGUUAUGGGCAUACGGAUCACAACUGCAGCCCACCACACAGAGGACGUACACAGCAGGGGCCCAAGCGGUGACCUCCCAACAAAGAGCUGUCUCCUCAUUUGAGCAUACGGGCUCCACAUAACACACGAAUACCACACGUUAGCCCACCUCAGACCAGAUACUAACCCAAGAACCUGACACAGACCAAGCCCCAAAACAUAAAACCCCUUCUCGCACGCAAAACACACUCAAAGCGAAUUGCAGUGAAUCUUCUAUGUAAUGUAUGUACUUAAAUGUUUAUUCACCUUAUUUUAGGACAAUGUCGGCCCUCUCCUGCUUUUGUGUGCGGCACAAAAUAAAGAAUUAAAAAAAAAAAUAUCUCAGCACACAUAAGUUAUAUGAUUAAUUAUCAAAUGAUUUACAAUAAGCUUGUGGGUCCAUAUAGUUGACCCCUCCCUUGCUUAAGGAUGUAUGGAAUGUUGUCAUGGUUAUUCUCUUUUAAAACUUAGCUUUUAUUUUACAUUUAUAUAUAAUUCUUUAUAUUAUUAGUUAUUUCUGUACUACAUGUAUUUUUGCAGCCAUUCCACACAUCUAAAUCUCUUAUCUGUAAAAGGCAGAUCCUAAUGUUACCCCGUUUUUCUUCUCCAUCUUUAAAGCUGUUUAUAUCUACUUAAUGCAAAAGAUGAUUUGUACACCUUGUUAAAAUUAUACAUGUGAACAAUACCCAACAGAGUGAAACCUGAGCGUACGUGACUCAUGUUUAGAGAGAAAUACUCAACCAAUUAAGGUUUGGUUGACUUAGAUAGGUGUUUGUCUCAGAACAUCAACUCCACAACCAACUUAACCUGAGUUGGUAAUGUGUUCACUAAAGUAAACCCGAGUUUUUCUAAACUGGUCUCAAUGUUUCAUGGGUAAAACCUGUAAAACAUUCAUGAGUGUGACUCAAUACAGAGAAGCACUUAUUUUCUCACUUGUACGACAGCACUGGGACAAUCAUGCCCUCUCUGUAUAUAUGAUAUUAAUGAGAAUCACACUCCCUGACAACAGCCAUUAUUUGCUGCUACUGCCCUUCAGUGGGCUCCUCUCUCAUGAUUGACAUGCUAAUAGAGAGGUGCUGGUGAGAAAAACUUACUGUGUGACUACAAAUACAAAUGAUUAGCAUGUUUUUGUGUAUUCAUGCUCUUGUGUGUUUCUGUGUGUGUUUGUGUAAGUAUAGUUAUAAUUGGAUCCCAAAAUGAGUUAUCUUUAGCAGUCAAGAAUUGAACACAUUUAGAGUAUAACCAGUAUCAAUAAACUGUAUGUUUUGUGUUCUUAUAUUUAAAAAUGGUAUAAACAGGAAAAUCCACUAUUUGCAGUUACAGGCAUCACACUACCAAUUGCUAUUUACAGACCACUAACAUGUAUUUUAUUCCACUGUCUGUGUUUUUUUUUUUUUUAAACAGCUAUUGUAUUAUAAUAUAAUAACUAAAAUCAACAAAACAAUAGUUAGGAACAUUGUGUAAACGACCCCAAUGAAAUACGUCUUGAAAGGUGAAAUGAUUUAAUGUUAUUUUAUAGCACUGGUAAGAUAAUCAUAUUAAAUGCACAGUAAAGAUGCACACAAAGAUCACAAUUUUUAAUAAUUGUAAUAUCUGAUUAGACACAGUGUGUAUUGGGCUGCAGGGGAUAUCCUGUGGAUAUAUCCGAGUUGACCACACAUCUUCAAACAGUUGUGUGUCUCUGGAGGCCUCUUUUAAUUCGAUCCAUUGUUUGUGUGGUGGCCGGGAGUGCCACUCCAGGAUGCGCUGUAGUGUGGAGGCGUGGUGUUAUUUCUGUAUGUCUGGGAGAGCAAGACCCCCCCCCACCCCCCCAGUGUCGUGGCAAGCAGAGAGUUUCGUGUCUGAGUUGCGGUCGACUACAAUUCCACACAUAUUUUAUGAUUGCGGAUCUCAGAGAUGAAAAGAAUGCCGUGGGUAAGGACAUAGGCAGUGUUUGAAAAAGAUAAGGAGUCUGGGCAGGAUGUUCAUCUUUAUGACAGCUAUUAGCCCUAUCCACGAGAUAUGUUGGUAGUUCCAUGUGUGAAGAUCCUGCAGUAUCUUAGUCAGGAGCGGUAUCAAGUUGGUUUGAUAAAGGUUGUGUGGGUCCGUUGUGAGCCAGAGUCCGAGGUAUUUCAUCUUGGAUUCGCACCAGUGCAACCGGUACUGUGCACGCAGGGAAUCGUACUCUCUGCUGGGGACCAUAAGGUUUAGGACUUUGCAUUUUGACAGGUUAAGUUUGAGACCCGAGAGUCGACCAUAAGUCAUAAAUUCUUGCAUCAGACACAUGAGAUUCUGGGUUGCGUAACAAAGAACAGCAUGUCAUCCGCGUACACUGCUGUUUUAUGCCUGGUUCCGUUUGAGGUGAAGCCCCUGAUGUCUUAUUGCUUCAAAGAGGGGUUUCAGUGAGAGAGCAAAUGGCAGCAGGGACAGGGGGCAUCCUUGCCUGGUACCGUUCUGGAUUGGAAAAGCAUCAGUGAGUGCUCAGUUUACCCAGACUCGUGCGUUCGGCCGACUGUAUAUGGCGGCAAUCCACUCGAGAAGCUUAGGGCCAAAUCCCGUCCCCCCAGGGCGUCUCCAUUAGGAAUGUCCAGUCCACCCGAUCAAAGGCUUUCUCUCUCGUUUUUCUUGCGAGGUGUUGUAUGGAGAGCACUCAGAGCGUGUUGUCGCGGGGACAUAGAUGCAUGCUAGCAGAUAUGUAUGUUUGCGAUGGUGCCUUUUAUGAAGAUAAAUUUGCCCUCUGGGUCAGCUACCUUGUCUAUUUCUGUAAAGUCUAACCUCAUGGCUAGAAAAAUGGCUACUCCUGACUUUUUUGAGGUAGGGUGGUUGCUGAAAAAGUACAUUCUGUCUUUUAGAGCAGGGGCCAAGCCCUCAAGAAAGUGUGUCUCCUGGAGGAACGCAAUUGAGAUUAAUUUUUGUCAUAGUCCCCUGAGGAGGUGCGUCCUGUAUUCCGGUUGGGUAUCUGAUGUGUGUGCGGUAAGAGUCUCCCAAGACUAGGCAGGCCCCCAGAAAGUACCCAGCCCGAGAUGCGCGGAGGGGAUCACCUUGCGAUCUAUCGGUGCGUUAACAAACUGGGACAGGAAAAGGGAAAGGGACUAAAACAAAGGGGCGAGUAAUCACCCCUGAUAGUAACAAAAGCUUUGGGUUAGCGAGGGGAUCCAUGUAACUGCAGAAGAAACGAGCACAGCACCAUGCCCGGGUCUCCCCUAGCCGGCGAAGCGCUCGCUCUCCACAGUAACAAUUGUUCACACAGAUAGGAUCGGGAAGUGUGACCGAGCGGACGGUAAUACGUUGGAUGUAUUAAUUAGUCUCAGAACAGUGAAGUAAACUGUAGUUCAAACAAAGAUAUAGCAUCAAGUUGGGUCCCCACCACCUUGUGUGGCGAGGAAUGUGUAUGAAAAAAAAAGACUUCACGUUGUCAUACCUAUUUUAUAGAUCACAAUGUAUGUUUUUUUUUAUAAAUAAUAUUAUAAAUAAUAUAUGUUUGAUAUACACACCCAUGGUAUACUGUGGUAUGAUAUGUGAAAUACUUUAGUAAAAUAGUUUACAAAUUUCUAAUUUAUUCUCAUUUUUUACAUAUUGACAAUCAUUUGUGGCGUUCUAUUGAAUUUAAAAUAGUUUUCUUAUAAAGCAUCUUCAAAUAGAAAUUUAUAAUCAAGAAAUUGACUUUUACAACAGUAGAACUCAUGAUUCAAAACAAAUUAAACCCAUGUCUGUGUCUUUUAUCAUAACACUCCUGUAAAAACUUUACGAUAAAGAAACACUAUUCACCCAGAGAAAAGGUUAAGAUUGCAGGUGAAGAGAUAAGAUAGGAAAACAAAAUAUGAGUUUAUGUCUACAGAUUACAAUGCUUCUUAAAAGUUUGCUUUUCUAACUAAACAGAUUAUUUUAUAAUUGGCCACAUACAUAUUUAAUCUAAUAGUAGAAUAUCACAGAAAGUUCAGACAGUUGGAAGAAUUUGUAGAUUUUCUUUUACAAUUCAUGAAAAUAAAAACACAAUGGGAAUGUUUCCAGUUUGAAUUCCUACAUUUUCACAAUCUGAAAUGCAUUUUUUGUAUUAAUUACAGAAGGAAUCUGAAUUUUGUUUAACCACUUAAAGACCAGUGGUUAGGAAAAUGCCUUCAUAAAAUUACAAGCAUGAAGUAGCAUAAGAGUUUUAUGAAUGGUAAAAAACACAGUUUCUCUUUUUUUUGCAAUUUCUUCCUGAUUUUUUUAUUAUAUAGGAUCAAUAUGGCAAUAAUGCAAUACAUCUUUAAAUAUUAUCGCUCAGCUAGUAUCAGUGCUUCAGCAUACCACAUAUGUAAUAUAUUAAUUUAGCACUAUUAAAACAAUUAUAAUUAUGAUCUAAUAUUAGUUUGUUUUCAGACACCACCGAUCACCAGAAGUUAAAAAUAUAAUCUGAUUCCUUUUUGUCAAAUUUUCUAGUUGAAUUCUAACAAAUUCCAAAUUUGUUGGCAAACAAAUGCCACUACUGUCACAGUGUUUGCAUAUUUAGUUCAUUUAUUAUAACUAAGUUUAUGUACAUUCAAGAAAAAAUUUUAUAUUCAAGAAAAAUAACAAUUCUACUUAUAGAUAUGUAGAAAUUCUUCUAUUAUUCAGAUUCGGAGUAAUAGACAAUGUGCCUAAUUGUUCUAUGAAUUCAUUAUAAUGAAUUCUAGGCAAUAUUCAGGAUCAAGAGAAAAUUAUUAAAAUCCCUCAAGGCCCUAGGCAUAUUACCAUUUUAUCCUCCCACCCACCCACAAUUUUUUACAUAGAGAUGUUGAAUGGGGAAAAACAAAUUCAUGGUUCCAUGGUUCUUGUCUAAUAUCUGGGCCCUAGAUGUGCACGUAAGGUCAAUCCUGCUCUGGAGUUUAGUUUGAUGCCACUUAAGGUAUCAAACUAAAUUCUUGAAAAUGAAACCUAAUCUCAUCGGAGCUGUUAACCAGAGAAAAAGCAGGAUAUUUAAAUUUAACGAUUCACAUUAAUAUUUUUCAUAAGAUAAAGUACAUUAUUUUUUAUAUAUUUCAUUAUAAUGAUGAUAUUUUUAUAAGAAAAAAAUUUAAAGGUGUAGUAUUGCAGGAUUUGUACAUGUACUGAUCCAUCACAACCCUCAUCUCAAACUUACACAUUACAACAUCAAAAAACACCAUGACCUUUGGUGUGGUUAGAGGUUAUCUCAUUCAACAAGGGCUAGAUGCAAGGUUUAAGCCAACAAUGUUUAAACUCGCUUCUCACUCAGAUUAAAGAGUCUGAGCGCAAACAUACAUAUCAAAUGAUUCUUAUACUCACCUACUACACCUUGGGUCCCAAGUCACCUUUCUCCUCAAUAUAAAGGCACAAAAUAAAAUCUGUUUUAUAAAUUUUAAAUAAUAUAAAAUCUGUUUUAUAAAUUGGCAAUAAGAGUGGGAAGAUUUUGGCUAGACUUAUUAAAAAAAGCAUGGUCUUUCUUCUGCGUGCCCAAACUUAAAAAGAUGGAUGACUCCCAAACUCACCUGCCAGAUGAGAUGCUCUUGUCAGUGCCCUGUCAGUCUCACUGUUCGAUAUUAUAAAUAUAAUAUAAAUCUGCACCCUCAUGAUAUAAAUGCAACCAUCACAAAAAAACUGUUAAGCACCCUGAGUUUUGACCUAGCUACAUGUUAAUAUUAAUGCUUAAUGCUGAUCCUAAGCUUCUGGCAAAUGUGUUGACAGAUCACCUUAAACAGCACAGGCCUAAUUAAUUUGACUGGAUCAGGUGGAUCCACUAGCCCUGGAGGGGUCCACUAGGGUGCUCAACCUUAUCCACAGAGAGGCUACAUCAGGUUCACCCAAAUAGCUUCUUUCCACAGACAAGGAAAAUAAUCUCGAUAGGAUCUACUGGAUUUUUCUUAUUUGAACUUUAUGCCACAUAGGCGUUUGCCCUAAUAUGCUUAAAUGGGCCAGUUCUUUAUACUCCACUCCUACUACCAGUAUUAAUUUGAGUGGAUCUCUGUCGGAACAUUUCUCAAUUUUUAAUGGUAUGAGGCAGGGGUGUCCCCAUUCCCUUUGCUAUUUGCUUUGACAUUUAGAACAUUUUCCAACAUGCAUUUAUAAAGACCCAUUAAUCCAUUGUAUUGAUACCCCUAAUGGGGAGUAUAGGUCUUGGCAGGGUCUUCUGUUUAAAUCACACAAACCACAAUCUCACUUCCUUAUAUAAAUUCAUGGAUUCCACCUCUACAGCUUCCUUAGCAACCUUAAAAUACACAUGUCUACAUCUGAAAUUAUUGUUCCUAAAUCUCUACAGUGGAUGCACUCAUUCCCUUUCCAGCAGGAAAACAAGCCAUGAUAUAUGGGUGUAGAUUUCUGGAAUCUACUAAGGAGGUUUUCUCCCAAAGCUUUCAUUCAUUGUUACAAUCUAUCAGGAAUGAUCUACUCUGUUGGUCACUUCCACACAUUAAAUGACUAGGUCACAUUUACAUACUAAAAAUGAACAUUCUUCCAUGCCUUACAAAUCUAAUCCAAACUCUAUCAAUAUACAUUCCUGCCUCGUAUUUUGCUGCUCUUAGGUCAGCUUUUAUCCAGCUUACCAAUGCUAAUAAGACUCCAAGACUGUGAUUUGAUAUCUUGCCUGACCUUAAAAUGAUGGAUCAUGCUGCCAAACCUAUAUAAUGACAAAAUGGCUUCUGAUCUUCUGCUUCUAGUGGAGUAGGGCAUCGUACUUCCGCAAAAAUUGUGAAUCGCAUUGAAACAAUUAGAGGUGGAGAGUCCUUCGUAGUCUUUGCCCUAGCUAUCUCCCUUGCUUGAUUGCGUUAGUUUCACUAUGCACCUGAUUAUUUCUUUCACAAUGAAAAUAUGGUCAAAGUUAUGCCACAUCCACCCACUUAGCUUCUCCCCCACUUCAAUGAUGCCUUUAAAUGAAUGCUUAUUCUAAACUACUUCGACACCCUAGUUCUCCAAAUACACAAUCUGUUUUAUCACGGCACUCCCAGGGCUCUAGAGCAAUCUACCACUGUCACCCCCAAUACAUUUUUGACCUGGUUUCACUAUCAUAGAUUACAUUUAUUUAUAAAAUAUUUUACCUGGAAAGAUAAAUUGAGAUUUCUCUCGUUUUCAAGUAUGUCCUGGGUCCACAAAUCAUUGCACUGUUACAUUAGGGUACAAUAAAAUGCAAAAACAAUAUUAAUACACAAUAUAUACAAAAUCUAACAUAGAACAGGUAGGAAAUAUAUAAUCAACCAUGACACGUGCAUUCUGUUUUGAGGUAUGUAGAGAGGGAUCUCUUAAAGGACUUUAGGCUUCGGGAAGAUUUUAAAGUGUGCGGGAGGUCGUUCCACAAUUGCGGCGCUCUGUAGGAGAAGAAGGAUCGGAGGAUUACAUAAAUACAUGAUUAGAAGUACAUUCUGGACAAUGCAGCAUGACUGCCCAAUAACACCACUUGAAACCUUGUGUCAGAACACUAAACCAAUUUCCUGUGGUAUCUUGGAGAUCUGGUGAUUGCUUAUAAAGCCCACUGCUACCGGUAUAGAGGCAAAUGGGAGGAAGAACUACAUUUUCAAUUUUCUGACAAACAUUGACAAAAUAUGAGCUUUCUAAUGCAAUACUGCUCCAUCUCUUCACAGACUGUAUGGAUGGACAAUUAUGUUUAUCUAUACGUAAAAAAAAAGAAGUUCAUUAAGUGUAUGCCACUCCAAAUCCUGGAGUUAGGCAUCAUUUACCCCACCUGGGUUAAAAUCUAAACAUAAUUUUAAUUAAUUUGAAGAAUCUCAAUUAAAGUUACAUUUUCUGAAAAAUACUAUAAUAUAAUAAACAAUUUGCCAGUGACCCUUGACCUUAACCCGCUGACUGCUAGCCAGGUCCCAUAUAACAUAAACUCCUGCAAAACUGUUUGAUCACAUAAUCCUAUUUUGUUCUCUUUCUGGGACUUCAUCCAAAUAUUGUUUUAAUGCUUUCUCUCUUUGAAAUCAUGCAUGCAGCUACCUCCGGGAGAGGAACGCUGGCAACUAACUCACCUGCAUUAUCUCCAAGACAACUUUAAUACCAACCAAAUUCCCUUUAGUUACUUUGAGAUUAAGUGACAUAGGUUGAGGUCAAAACCAGAGAGAGGGGGAAAUACAGGCAGAUCUCUCAGUAUCUGAGCAUCCAAGCUAUCUGUCUGAAUUAACAGUGAGCGUUGACUAGACACUCUGACCCCAGUGUAAACACAACAGGUAAAAAGAAUGGCCCUAGGUUUAAAUAGAAUGAUAACAUAGCAGUGGAAUCUCUAGAGCCUUUCAUCUUCAACAAAUAUUUUAAAAAGUCCUCGGAAGCUCCAAUUUAUAAUAGAGGAAAAUCCCCACAGGUGAUAUGAAUUACCUCUAGCAGAUAUAUCAAGUCACCUUUCAAGCCAACACCCAACCCUCUCUUGUGGAAAUUAUACAUGCGCGCACACACACACUGCAUAUUUCAAAAUAUAUUAUUCCUUUACUCCUUGCCAUUGUGCUGCUUAUCCUAAUUCCCUAAUAAUAAUAGUAAAUAUCUCAAUAUGGCUGGAAUACAAACUAAAGCAACUACCAUAACAGUUAUAUUAUAAUUACUAUUACUUCUGGCAUAAAAAAAUAAAAAGGAAAAUUUACUGUUCUUUUCAUAUUUUCUGAUGCUCCAGGCCAUCCCGGUAUUUUCUCAGUUCCUCCGUCUUCUGCAUCCCCAAAUUCCUAUCCCUUGCACCUCCCCCCAUCUGAAAGUGGACAGAGGAUUUAAUCAGCCGCAGGUGUGCCAUAUUGCCAUAUACAACUUUGGUACAUAUACAAAAUGUUGGCUUAUUAAUUAAUGGGAACAUUAUGUAGGUAUACGCAAGCAGAAUUGCUAGAAAAUAGAUAGAUUUUUAUAAAGCAAUUAUUUUAAGAUAUGAUCCACCUCAUCACCUCAGACAUUUGCAAUAUAAAGUGCAAGUGUAUAUAAACGUUUGUUACACCCAUGGACUCUGCAUAACAGUGGUAGUGGCACUGAAAGGGAGGUAAGUAGUUUCCUAAUAGCGAAUUGGCAAUAAAAUAUUUAAUUUAUCUCUUUAUAUUUUAUGCUUUGUGCAAAGUUUGCAGGUUAAAGUAAAUCUGUCAUGACAGGACCCGUUUAAGCUUUGUAAAAUGCACAAAACAUAAGGCAUUUAGAUAUUUACAUUUUUGUAUGUUAACCCCUGCAUUGUCUGCUGCUUUUUAACGAAUCUAAUAAUCGUAAUGACAUUUUUGGUGCUGAAUUGAAGAAUUUUCCAAAUUGGCUAUUUGGGGCUAAAUUAAAAAAAAAUUGCUUUGUAUUUACUUUGAAUUCUGGGAAAUGCUCACUUUAUUGAGAACUUUUCUAAAUUUCUUGUCCUUUUCAAAUGGAAUGGACUAAAUGGGCUGGAUUUUUACAUAGAGAUGAAGUGUUCUGAAGAGUGUCGUAGUUGGGGAAUUCAAAAAUCUGUUUCAAUUUAUUAGUGUUUAAAAACAAGUCUGCAUACACCAAACUUGCAAAGGAGUCUAGUCCAACUUUCUACCGGGCGACUGGGGAUCAUGUGAAAAAUGCAUCGGUGCAGCAGAAUGCCCUUUUCCAUCCUUCUCUGGGUCACUCUCCCACGGACUGCCCCACAAUUUGCGGGAUUGUGCUUUACCAUCUCAGGGUAUAGGAUGACCAGACCUCUGUCUAUGGGCCUUCAUGUCUUCCAACUGCUUGGGUCUUUUCACCAUAGCCACGUUUUCAAAAUCUGCCUAUGUUUUGUCUUAGUGCAUGAGUUCUGUAUAGUCUUAUGUUGUCUUUUUUACUUAUGCAUACCAUGCUACUUUUCUUUGGCAAAAUCUAAUUUACGCUAAGAAUAUUGCUCUUGUUACAAAACAAAAAAAGAUUUUUGAAUCCUGUUACUAAUGUAUCUGACAUGUUCUUUGCUGCAUACUCUAUGUCAGGGGUAGGCAACCUUAUAGCAGCACUGUGCCGAUAUAGGAUUGUGAUGUCCCGUAGCGUGCCGAUCCUAUUUUUUUAAAUUGAGGUGUGUAUGCUGCCAUAUUCUGCUUGUGUUAUUUUUAUUGUAAUUGCUUUGUAUCGUUUUAUUUGUGCGUAUAUGAGCUAUUAUAUUGUAUAUGUUCAUUAGUAGUUUAUGAUAUCGUGUAUGAUACUUAUGAAUGUGGGCUGUGUAUGAGGGCUGCUUGUGGAAUUGUGUGUGGAUGGAUAUGUCACAUUGUGUGUUUGGUAGUGUGUGGGGGCUGUUUGGGGUAUUGCAUGUGAGAGGCUGCAUGUGUGGUUGUGUGCAUGCAUGUAUAUUGUUAGUGGUGUUGCGUUUGUGGGCUGUUCAUAUUAUUUGUAUGAUGGGAUGGUUAUUCUACAUUUCUGUGUAUAUGUAGCAGUGUGGGUGGGUUCCCUGGGUUCCAGUGGGGACCAGGCUGGCCAGGCACAGGUCAAGGACAGGAGCUGCGAUACCUGUCGAGGGCUGCUCUACUACAGUGUGGAUACCAUUCACAAGUGCUGGGAGGAAGUGAUCUGAGAUCACUUCCUCUAUGUGUUGCAAUGCAUAAAUUGAGGUUUGUCCUUCACCACCUCUUCGUAUUAGCAGAUAUCUGAAGAUUCACUGGGACUCCUGAUAGGCCAGAGUGCGUUUGGCUCUAGCAGCCUUGAGUGCCGUGCAAAGAUACCUCGAGUGCCGUGCAUGGCAGUAGUGCCGUAGGUUGCCUACCCCUGCUCUAUGUAAUACUAUGUUACGUGUCAUGAGAGCUAAUGCCUCAAUAAAAUAAAUAAUUAUUUAAAAAACAACAACAACAAAAAUUAGUCUGCAAAGUGUCACCAUUCUUCUCUUCAUAUUCCAGUAGAUUUUUUCACCUCUACAACUAUAUCCCAAAAGCUAAGAAUACCUGUAAAUCUUACUGUGUGUGCAUUCUGCCUCGGUUUCUAUGCCAAGAUAAAAGUAGUGUAAGAAAACACCAAAAAAUAGAAAAAAAUUCUCGUGCAAAAAGCGUAAAUAUAAAUAAAUUUUAAUUGCUACAUAAAAAGUAAGAAAAUUAAUAAUCACAGAAGAGUAUCAAUAAUAACGGUAAUGGUGGAAAAAACAUCCAACAUUUUCAUGAAUACCCCAAUGACACUGGCGGUUGACUUUUUUUGAUGUUUUAUUUAGAUUUCUACAGCUAGGAACUAAUGAGUCUGAUAACUUACAAAACAAUUUUAACUAUUUUCAUUUGGAUAAAAGAGUGUUAAAUACUUUAGCUGCACGUUUGCAAUAUUAUCUUCUAGCUUUAUGAGAAUAUAAUUAUUGUAUAAAUAUUGAUCUCAUAAUAAAAAUACAAGCAUGGGUGCGCUAUCCGGUUUUUAGGGAAUUAAAAUAACUUGCUCUUAACUGGGAGAACAUCAUCAGUUAAUUCUAUACUACUUCAUAAGUGACUGAAACAAUGUACAAAUAGAUCUUGAUCCAAGUAUUGGAUAUUGCAAAAUAUGAAAAGUAAAAACAGACAAAAUCUAUUCCAUUGCCUUUCAAAUAGAGGAUACCAGAACUGUCACUAAAAGUGUGCUGCCUGGGAAGAAUUAUUAUUCAAUAAAUGUUGAGGUAGGGGGCACUUACAUUAUAUCAUUAUAGCCACAUUGGCAUAACAAGAAUGAAAUAUCAAGUGAGGGGAAGUCUACAGAAACACUGACUUUAAACUCUAUCUAAUAACUUGCCCAAAAACAGAUGGCAGUUUCAUAAAACAGACAAGCACCCGAUGUGUUAAUGGUUCGAAUGAAGCAAGAUUCCAGACCCGAGACUGAAGGAUGGCACAUCAUCUACAGACAGUCCAUUGGGUUUUACUAUGCAGUAUAAAAGAAACCAUCAUUUUAGUUUGUUCAGUUGACAUUAGUGAGAAGAAACUAAGGUCUGACACGAAGGAUCAGGGUAAGUUAGGAUCUAUGCUAUAAGUCAAUGGGAAUCAACUUUUUUUAUACUGAUGGCCAAAUAGCAGAUUCCAUCAGUGGUUGGAGCUUUCGGGUUCCUUUUGGUUUCAGGUCUCUUCAGGUUUCUGCUGCCUAGUGUAAUGUCACAUCCUAGUAUUUUGCAUAAUUACAACCUGCACCGGCAUGGAUAAGUUCAGAUACAGUUCCAAAUAAUAUCACACACUGCAUACCCAACUUACAAUAGCUCCUGACUCACAUCUCUUCUAUGUUACUCCUCAACACCAAAGGGGUGGUCUGUACAUGAAAUAACUCAAAAUAUCAGUGACACACAAACCUCCUUUGAUCAUACGCUGAAUUCAAUUUGCUACUUCUUUCGUAUUCCACUGUUCUACUACUCACCACUGUCCACAGCAUGUUUUUGUAUCUCCUCGAAAAACCUUCUGUAUUGUUUCUAUGUUACACAACGGAGAACAGAGAAAGGGAAGGGAAUGGGAAAGAGGGGUGAGGAGGGGGGGGGGGAGGAGAAUAAGGAUGAAAAAGAAAAGAAACCCCGACAAACUUGAGAAGGGAAUUUAAUUCAAUGGCACAAGAAGGAGAGAUGGAUAGGAACAUUGAGAAGGAGAUUGCUGCUAAUAUUCUUCUUAUGUAGCUAAUAUAAUACUGGCAUGUACAUUGUCAAUGACAAGGAGAGGACGUGAGUAUCGGGAAAGAGAGGGCUAGUGAUAAGAAGAUAAGAAUGGAGAUGGUAAGUGACACAGAAAGGGUAAGUGACAUGUAGAGGGAAUGGCUUAAAUAGAUGGAAAGGAAGUGAGCUUGGACAUAGAUGGGGAGAGGAAGGUAACAUUUAGAAAACAAUCUCAAGUGUUUAUUAACUGAGUUCUGAAUUUUCAUCACUGAAGUAUGAAUUUAAAGUGAAACUUAAUUUCUAGGCUAAAUACCCGAAUAACUCGGUUUGGCUAUUUUGUCCUUAGAUUGGCAAAUGACAUGGAAUUCACAGUUAAUACUCAGCAAUUUGAGCAUUAGUGAGUAACUCUGAAAACCUCCAUAUGUAAUAAUUACAGAGGCAACCUACAGUGCACUGCAGUUAUUAUGGUGCAAGGAGUCGGAGUCUCCUGGUGCCAACCCACUGUUACAUUUUACAGUUUAACACUAUUAAAUGUAGGUUUUGUUUAUGCACUUAAAAAGUAUCCAAAAGUAGUUUAGUGUUACAAAAACAUUUUGUACUAUGUAUUGUUUUAUAAUGAAUAACAAAAAAAAUACUAACAAAACAAACAAACCAUAUAUAGCUUGGAAAUGAAAAGUAAAAGGUAUAAUGAAACACACUCUCAAGUCACUGUGUCCCAGUGUAGAACCUCCCUACAGGGUGUCAAACUCCCAACAAUAGAGCUCUGUUUCUUUGUGUCUGAACAGUAAAUCCCUUUGAAAAACCAUGGAGUAUAUAUGGUGGGUCUUUUAAAUCAGUGUUACCAAUACUUGUGUGAAUGUAAUCAUGGUAGGUUAGUAUUUUUAUUAUUCUCCCAUAUAUCUUUUGCUUCCAAAAGCAGAUGAAGGUUGACACAAGAAUCAAGCUCUGAAAAUACCUGUGGAGAACAGAAAUGUCCCCUCUGGCAGUUGUACAGCACAGCUAUGACCCUCAUUUUGUUUACUUGACAGUACUGCAGUAAGUGUAUAUACUACCGAUAUAUACUACCGCUGCUUUGCACUUAGCGUGGUGCAGGAGGCUAAGAUUUAUCACAUAAUUUUCCCUAGGCUAUGACCAUGAGUGAUUAAAGUCUUUCUUCUAUUUAAAUGGUAGAUUAUGCUAGUUUCAGUGUACCAGUAUUAAUGACAGGAAGCAAAGUUUUGCUUAAAUCUUUCUUUAAUAGAACUCUACAGCAGCACAAGUUAACCAAGUGAAAUAACCAAUCAGAAAACAUCAAAGCAAAUAAAUCUCCCAGCUCCUCUAGCAACUCCUCCUUCGAGCUGCAAACAACAAACAAUAUAGUAAGUCUUGCAAAGUCUUAAAAACUUGAGAGAAAAUGAUGGUUCCUCAGGAGAAACACCUGAAGUCAAAAAUUAAACUGAAAUGAGAGAAAAUUAAGAUUAAAGAUACAUUGAAGCCAGCAAAGUCUACAAUUUUAUUACAUGACAGGUGGCUUUAUAUUUGUUGUUAUAAUGCUCUGCUAGCUAAGCAAAAGAGGUAUAUGAACAAGGGUGUAAGUAAAAUCGUCUGAUUGUAUCUUCCUGAGAUUAGUCCACAGACCUCAAGAUGCCACUAAGAGAGGCUACCACCAAAAAGGGCCUGAGAUGUUGCCGCACCACUCACAGAGUGUGCACCAAAAGAGGUGUGCACACCUUCCAAAGACAGUAAGCUACAAACCCACCAAGUCAAAGUUAUGGAACAAAAACACGGCUUGUGAGGUUGAAUAUAAGAAAGAAGGAGUUGUUUGGGACCGGAAGAGUGCAGAUAAGAAGUAACUUCCACAUAAUGAGAGUGCGUGGAAAGGUUUUACAGCCUAGGAACGUCCCGAAAGAAAUUACAUGUGUAUGAAUGUCACAAACAGGCAGCGUGGUGUUGCAGGCUGUGCUAACAAUAAUCACUAACACAGAGUGGGAGCACAAAGAUGACCGCCGGGAUAUCGUCCUCUUCCAAGAUGGCUGACAUAAGCGUGAGCAGGUCCUCCUGAGACAUUAUCAAUGGGUCAAGAGGGCCUGAGCAAGUUGGGAAAGGUAGCACAAGCCUCCCGAGACUCCUAACCCAGCUAACAAAUGCGUGCUUGCUGAGGAAAGAACUAAGAAGGUAAAAGGAAAGUAGAAACAAGUAGGUCUGUAAGAAAAGCCAAAUGAAUAACAUUAAUUAAUUAAAUAAUGCAAUGGAUAAAGAAAUAAAAGGAAUCAGACAUGAAUAUGGAGAGAAUAUAAGUCAAACCAUCAUGUAGGGAACAGACUAUAACACUGUAGCCAGGGACGUUUUAGCAGCGAGGCAAACAAGGCAUUUGCCUUGGGCGGCAUUUUCCAGGGGGCAGCAAAAAAAGCAGCCCCCCAAAUGCCCAGGGCAAAUGCCUUGUUAGCCUUGUUAGCCUUGCGGCUAACUGACCGGCUGGGCGUGCAGGGUGCUGACGUCAUUUUCCGGUUCCCAGCCUCACUCUGCAGAGCGUGAGGGAGCUGAGCAGACCGCUCAGAGGAAGAGCUCCCUCGCCAGCCGCCCGCCCGCCCUGCAGCCACUGCACCCCAGGGAGAGAGGGAACCCCCCACUCCCCAGCAUUCCCUAAGGUAAGGAGGCUGGGGCAGGGGGUUAAAAUCAAUCAAUAAAUGUUAAUUUGAGUGAGUGUGUGUAUAUUUCUGUUAGUGUGUGUGUUAGUGUGUGUGAGUGAGUGUGUGUGAGUGUGUCUGUUAGUGUGUGUGUGUCUGUUAGUGAGUGUGUCUGUUAGUGUGUGUGUAAGUGUCUGUGUCUGUUAGUGUGUGUGUGUGAGUGUGUGUCUGUUAGUGUGAGUGUGUCUGUUAGUGUGUGUCUGUUAGUGAGUGUGAGUGUGUCUGUUAGUGUGUGUGUGUGUGUGUCUGUUAGUGUGUAAGUGUGUGUGUCUGUUAGUGUGUGUCUGUUAGUGAGUGUGAGUGUGUCUGUUAGUGUGUGUGUGUGUCUGAUAGUGAGUGAGUGUGUGUCUGUUAGUGAGUGUGUCUGUUAGUGUGUGUGUGUCUGUGUUAGUGAGUGUGUGUUUCUGUUAGCUAGUGUAUGCAUAUCUGUCAGUGAAUGUGUGUGUGUGUAUUUAGAAGGCGAGGUGGGGCGGGGGGAAGGGUUGGGUGGGGGUGGUGCGGCGGGGGAGGGGGCACCUGAGUUUUGUCGUGCCUAGGGCAGCACAAAACCAGGAUACACCACUGACUGUAGCUAUAAAAAUAAAGCCACAGCAACAGAAGGCUGUUGUACUUUGAGCUGUGCUGCUGAGGGGCAACAAAGAAAGAGACAGUAAUAGAGGAAUAUGGGAUAUUUAUUUACUUUGAUGUAUUCUGAUUUCUGAUUUGAUUCCUUAUUUCACUUGGUUAACUUGUGUUUCUGCAGAGUUCUAGUAAAGAGAGACCAAAGCAAAUAUAAAGACUCCUGUCAUGUAAUAAAAUUAAACUUUCACAGACAACCACUGUGGUAGCACAGUCCCUCUAUGUGUUAACAUCAGAUUCACAAAGUCCUGGGUUAUAUUUAUAGCUUGCACCUCUUUUGCACUUGCUUAUUUACAAAUGAUUAUUACAAAGUCUGCUUUUUCCACACUGUUUUACAGCAUAAAAGCUCAAUUUAUGACUCUAGAUGUUUCUAUAGGAGUUGUAAAAGGAUGUCAGGAAGAUGAGCAGAACACUGUUUAAACCCCAGGCACAAUUAAAUGCAUUGUUCUGCUUAUAGCAACACAUUUUAACCUUUUGUAUUUAUUUCUAACUAUUGCCAAUUAGAGGUACCUUUCUAUGCGUUGACUGCGGUACUCCUCUCUUCUCUAUAUCCCAUGAAAUCAGUACAUAGGGCCUAGUCAAUUCUGUAUACAAAUAAGCAUCUCACACGUAGAUUUUUGUAAAUAAUUGUUGGGAAGUGGGACAGUCGGCAUGCUUCAUACGAAGUCACAGUGACAUGCGUCUGAAAAGUACAUUCUGUUUUAUCCUUUGAUUAUAUGGAAUCUUUAUGUAACCUUUGCUUUAAGGGUUAAUAAGGUUAAACUGCAUUUCUUAAUGUUGAUGCCUUCCAAUUGUUUAGAGCAAUGUGGAAUGUUACGUUCUGAUUGGUUGUCCUGGCAGAGCUACAAAGUAAGCAACCUGUAAAUAUAAACAGUCAACGUAUAACUAACUCACUGUCUGCACAAGCUCUGAUUAUUUAUAGUGUUUAUUUUAUUAAUUGUAACUUGCAUAUUACAUGCUUUGCUUAACAAAUACAAUAAAUUACCCCUGCUAAGGCAAUCCGUAAUAGCACAACCUCUUUAUGCAGUGACUGCCAUGUAUUGUACUUAUGUAGUUUACCUUUUCUGCAAACAUUUUAUUUUUAUUAUUAUCAUUAUUAUUAUUAUUAUUAUUGGCAUUUAUAUAACAACAACAACAACUUCCUGAAGAGAUGGGUUUUAAGGCACUUUUUAAACGAUUGGAGACUAGAGAGAGUCUGAUGGUGGUAGGCAGGCUAUUCCAAAGGAAGGGAGCUGCCCGUGAGAAGUCCUGCAAGCGUGAGUUGGCCUUACGGGUUCGAGCAGCGGUCAGGAGGUGGUCACAGACAGAGCGGAGAGACCGAGAAGGGGCAUACCUAUGGAUCUGUGAAGAGAUAUAAGAGGGGCUAGAAUUGGUUAGUGCUUUAAAGAUAUAGAUUAGUACUUUGAAUUGACUCCUAUAGGAUACUGGAAGCCAAUGUAAGGACUGACAGAGGGGUGAGGUGUGAGAGAAGCGACUGGAGAGGAAAAUCAGUCUAGCAACAGCAUUCAUUACAGAUUAUAGUGGGGCAAUGCGGCUUCUGGUAAGACCAAUUAGGAGAGCUUUACAAUAAUCCAUACAAGAGAUUACUAGAGCAUGGACAAGCUCCUUAGGAGUAUCUUGGGUAAGAAAGGGGCGGAUAAGUUCAAUGUUUUUAAGGUGAAAUUGACAGGAUUUGGUAACAUACUGGAUGUGAGGCUCAAAGGUGAGGCCAAAGUCAAGUAUAACACCAAGACAGCACGCUUGCAAGGAUUGGCUAAUGUGUGUACCACUAAGUUGAAAGGAGAGCAAAAGAGGAGGAUCAGUAUUGGGAGGAUGGAAGACAAGGAGCUCAGUUUUAGAGAGAUUGAGUUUCAGAAAGCGGGAGGACAUCCAGUCAGAGAUGGAAGAAAGGCAAUUGGUGACACAUUGUAGAGCAGCAGGGGAGAGGUCAGGGGAAGAGAGAUAUAUCUGGGUGUCAUCAGCGUACAGGUGGUAGCGGAAUCCAACCAAAUGAAUGUGUUGCCAAAAGAGGCAAUAGAGAGAGAGAACAAAAGGGGACCAAGAACCGAACUUUGAGGGACUCCAACUGAGACAGGAUGAGGGGAGGAGGUGUCAUUGGAAAAGGACACUGAAUGAAUGUUGGGAGAGAUAGUAGGAGAACCAUGCGUCACAGAGACCAAGAGAUUGAAAACUUUGGAGAAGGAGGCAUGAUCAACAGUGUCAAAGGCAGCAGAGAGGUCAAGAAGAAUUAGUAUGGAGUAGUGACCUUUGGAUUUAGCCGCAAUUAGAUCAUUUGUAACUUUAAUCAGAGCCAUCUCUGUGGAAUGGAAGGGGCAGAAUUCAAAACUGAAGAUGGUCGAGGAGAAAGUUGGAAUUGAGGAAGCAAGUAAGACAGGUAAAGACAAGUAUUUCCAGAAGCUUUGAAGAAAAAGGGAGCAGGGAUAUGGCACGAUAGUUUGGCUUUCUUAGGCUUUCUUAGGACGGGUACAACAGUAGCAUGCUUAAGAGGAGCAGGGACAACACCAGAGGAAAGAGAACAGUUAAAGAUGUGCAUUAAAGAUGGCACAAGUCAAGGGGCGAGAGAUCUUAUGAGGUGAGUUGGGAUGGGAGCAAGCAGACAUGUGGGGGGAUGAGAGGAAAGGAGAAGCGCAUCAAUCUCCUGUUAAGUAGAUGGAGAAAAGGCUUGGAGGGUAGGGAUGGUACGGUCUAACUGAGGUUGAGAUAGAGAGCAGUGGGUUGACUUAGUGUGCCACAGUUGGAGGCGUGCCCUCCUUGAGGUGCGUGCUUGGAGAUGGGCUGCAGCAUCUAGGGUAGGGUUGAGGGUAUGGUGUUAUUUCUUUUUUUUAUAAUUUGACCAUUUUUAUUAGUCAGUGAACGUUCAUCACAUUGUCAUUAAGAGUGGGAGUAUGAACAUUUCUCCCAACACCAAAUUUGUACAGAAAUCACAGUAUACAAUCGCAACCUUUGAAGCAUAACAUAAUAAGUACAAUUGGUGUAACUGUUAAGUUUCACUAGACCAUUUUACUUGGGAGGUUGGGGGGGGAGAAAAAGGGGUAGGGAGGGGGGGAAUGAGGAGGCUUAAUCUCUGUUUAACAUGGCCCGUUAUCGCAGGGCCUUCCGGACUAGUUCCAGACUAGUACUUGUAGUCAUCUAAGGAUGUUGUGUUAGAGUAGGCUAGCUUUGGAUCUCUCUAAGUAGUUUUCCCACAUUGCAUGGGCUUUUUCCAUGUGGCGUUUGUUUCCCAAUUGGUUAGCCCAUGUGUUUUCAUAAUCCCAGUUAAGGGAGAUUUGUCGUAUUAGGAGUUCCUUAGUGGGGGCUGCAGGCUUUUUCCACAUACGUGCAAUGAGAGUUACUGCUGAUAUAAGUAUAUGGUACAUGGCUGACCAUGUUGCUUUGGGCGUCUUUGUUGGGGGUAUAAAUAGAAUACACAGUUCCAAGGUGAGGGUUAUCUGUGUUUUUAUAACCUCUGAGAUUGUGUUUUGCACCAUGUGCCAGAACGGUUGUAGGGUGUCACACGUCCACCAUAUGUGGGACAUGGUGCCCCUAUGGAGCCCACACCUCCAACAUUUGUCCGUGGAGCUUGGCCACAUUUUGUGGAGUCUAUCCGGCACCAUGUACCAGCGAUAUUGUAGUUUACGUUGGAGUUCUAGGUGUGUGGCGCAUGAGGUCACUCCUUUGUGUGAUGUGUAUGCCUUGCUCCAUUCUGUUUUAUCUAUGUUUUCCCCCGUUUCUUGGUGCCAUGAUUGAACGUGUGUGUCCGCCAAUAUGUCUGUUGUGUGAAGGAUUAGUCUGUAGCUAAUUGAGAUUGUCUUCUUAAGAGGUUUCUUGUGUGUGCAUAGGAGUUCAUACUCAGAGAGAUGUGUUUGGGGGUCAGUAUUGUAGGCGUUCAGUUUGGUCUGGGAUAAAUAUGAUUUGAGUUGAAGGUAUGAGAAGAUCAUCUUGGGGGGCAGGUCGUGGUCUGUUUGGAUGUCCGUGAAGGAUCUGAGUUUCCCAUCUUUGUAGAGCUGCCCUAUCUCUAUGAUACCUUUUUGCUUCCAUGGUUUUAUGUCUAACGUUGGAAUCGCAGUUGCUACUGCUUCUAGUGGUGUGGCUAGGGGCACUGGGAGAUAGUUGACCAAGUGGUGUUUGGAGGUGUCCCAUUGAUGCAGCGUGUGUUGCGAUGUGGGCAGCAGGUGCAGGGUGUUCGGUCUGUGGGCCUCUGGGGUCCAAAAUAGGGUGUGUAGUGUCAGGGGUUUCACCCAGUGGUUCUCUAUACUUAGCCAUUGUGGCGAGAGGGGGCCUGAUUUUAGUUGUGGUACGAUUGUCAGAGCCGCUGCUCUGUAGUAUGCAGAUAUGUCUGGGAGGCCUAAUCCCCCCUGUGAUGUAGGUCUUUGUAACAGUCUCAUUGCUACCCUGGGCUUUUUAUGUUGCCACGUGAAAGCCAUCAAGUGUCUUAUCAGGGAUUUAAGGUAGGUCGCUGGUAACGGGAUUUGUAGCGUUCUGUAUAGGUACUGUAACUUAGGCAAUAGGGACAUUUUUAUGGCCGCUAUCCUACCCACCCAGGACAGAUAUUUCCCCUCCCAUGAGUCCAAUGUGGCCCUGAGUGUAGUGGCUAGAGGGACAUAAUUGGUGGUAAAGAGGGAGGCCGGGUUCUUUGUCAUUUUAACGCCUAGAAAGGUCAGGUGAUCCUCUCUCCAGUCUAGGGGGAAGGACUGUUUCAGGAGUUCCAGUUUGCUAUUGGGUAUGUUGAUUCCCAUUGCCUGUGUCUUAGUGACAUUCAGCUUGUAAUACGAUAGUUGGCCAUAUGUCUUGAUGUGGUACAUUAGGUUCGGCAGGGAUAUCUGGAGUUGUGUUAGGGUUAGAAAGACAUCAUCCGCGAAGAUGCUCAGCUUAUACUCCCUCUGACCUAGUUUGACUCCCUGUAUGGAAGUUUCCGCUCUGAUUUUGGCUGCCAGGGGUUCCAGUGCCAGAACGUAGAGUAGUGGGGAUAAUGGGCAUCCUUGCCUUGAGCCGUUCGUUAUUUUAAAUUUGUCAGAGCAGAAACCCGCAUUCAUAACUCUCGCCGCCGGGUGGCUGUAUAGGGCUUCCACCAUAUUUAUGAAUUGGGUUGGAAAACCGAAUUUGACUAAGACCUCCUGGAGAAAUCUCCAGUUCAGCCUGUCAAAUGCCUUCUCCGCAUCUAGCGAUACGAGGAGGCUACCUGUUCCCGCCCUUCGGACGCUAUGUAUUAGGUUCAAGACCUUGCGGGUGUUGUCAGCUCCCUGCCUGCCGGCUACAAACCCCACCUGGUCAUCAUGGAUCAGUGUGGGUAGGAUGGAGCUCAGUCUUUUUGCAAAUAUCUUCGCAAAUAAUUUGGCGUCGGUAUUGAGUAAGGAUAUGGGCCUGAAGUUGGGGCAGUGGGUCGGGGGUUUUCCUGGCUUCGGCAGUGUGAUAAUGUGUGCUAGCAGUAGUUCCUCGGGCAGUUCUCUCUCACUAGUAGCCGAAUUGAAGAGCAGUGUCAGGUGUGGGGCUAGGAGUUGCUUAAAUUUCUUAUAGUACGAGUUAGUAAACCCGUCUGGGCCUGGGGCUUUAUUGGAGGGUAGGGAGUGUAUUGCCUCUUCCACUUCUGUGACUGUGAUGGGGCGUCGUAGUGUGUCUGCUUGAUCUAAUGUGAGAUGGGGUAGAGGAGUGUCGCUGAGGUAGGCCUUGAUGUCCUGGUCUGUGGGUUCUUGUAUUGAGUUCGCCAUUUUAAGGUUAUAUAAUUGUUCGUAAUAUUGUGCAAAUGCAUUGCUAAUGUCUGUGGGUGAAAUCAGUUUUGUGUUAUUGUGGUUGUACACGUAUGGUAUCUUGGUUAUUGUUUCUGUUUUUUUCAGUCUCGCUGCCAGAAUUUUGCUGGCUUUGUUUCCCUGAGUGUAGUGGGUGGCUUUGAGUUUGCGGAGGUUAUAGCCCACCUGUCGUAAGGAGUGUGUUUUGAUUUUUUCCGAUAUCGCUUUGAUUUCCCUAUGGGUUUCCGCUGACGGUUGUGUUUUGUUUUUGUUUGUGAGGUCUACCAAUUGCUUGUGCCACCCCGUCCAUUUGGCUCUGCUUGCUCUUAGCGUGUGUGCUGCUUGUUUGAUGAGGAGCCCUCUGAUAACUGUUUUGUGUGCCUGCCAUGUAGUGCCAAUAGAUGUGUCCUCUGGUUUGUUUGUUGUGAAAAAUUCGUUUAGUGCAACUUCUACGGAUUGUAUAAAUGAACUAUCCGACAGGAGGGAUUCGUUGAGUCGCCAUGGGCUUUUGUGUUUGUAUUCGUAAGUGUCUUUGAGGGAUAAGGUACACGGGGCAUGGUCAGACCAUGAUAUGUUACCCACGGAACACUCCACGAUCUGGUCUAGAUGUCUGCCCUCUAUGUGGAAUCUAUCAAUCCUGGUAUAUGUAUUGUGGACAUGUGAGAAGUAUGUGUAGUCUCUUUCUUGUGGAUGGAGAGUUCUCCAUACAUCAUAUAGGUUGCGUUCCUCCAGCAAUUUAAGAUACUUUGUGCAUGCCCUGUGUUGCUUGGACCUGGACAUUUGGGGUGUGUGCGUUGUCGUGUCCCAUUUCGGGUCGAGUAUGUGGUUGAAGUCUCCACACAGGAUCAGUAUGCCUUCCUGUAUUGGUCUUAGAAGGGUCAAGAUCCUGUGUAGGAAGUUUCUUUGGUUCUUAUUUGGGGCGUAGACAUUGACUAUCGUGUAUUUGGUGUUGUUGAUCGUGCCUAUUACUAUGAGGUAUCUACCCUCCGUGUCUUUGUGUAUUGAGUGUUGUUGGAAGGAUACAGUGUUGCUUAUUAGUACUGACGUUCCUCCGGAUUUCCUACCUGAUGUUGCAUGGUAUUGGUGGGGAAAUUGAGAUGGUUUCAUAUUAGGCGGUGUCUUAAAAUGGGUCUCCUGGAGGCAUAUCACAUCUGGUUGUGUCCUCCUAAUUUCUUUAAAGAGACAGUGUCUUUUGUAUGGGGUGUUGAGGCCCCUAACAUUAUGGAUUUGUAUUUUCAUACUGGGGUGAUUGGCUUGAUCUGCUGAUGGGGGUGGUUAUAGAUUUCGUGAAUAUGUUUCCGUGGGGCAGGCCUUUCUCAGAGAGGGUGUUGAAAGCGCUUGGGACGAAAGGCAUCCCAUGGGGGAUAUAGGUAUGUCUUAUGAGCCUUAGAGUGCUCCUCCGGAGUAGGGAUGAGGAAAGGUGUAGGUGGGGAGAGUGGGUGGUUGCGUACUGAAGUAGUACGGUGGGUGUGGACACUGCCACGGAGGCCCUUACUCGGGCGACGUGUCUGUACAUUGGUACUAGACUUGGGCGUGGUUUUCCUAAUGUAAGUAUAGUGGGGGUCGUACGGCCCUGUUACUUGUUUUGACCUUGUAUCAGUUAGUGCAGUAGCGUCAUUGUCUGCACAACUGUGUGGCUGGAGUUCCUUUUGUGUUCUGCAGCGCGAUUGUUAGCAUGUUAGGUAGAGGUGUAGCUUAACAUAUGCAUAAUUAAUCAAUAAUUGACAGUUAACAGUUAACCUUCAACAUUCAACAUUCAACAGUUAACACGGCCCCUAUUGGCUUCCACGUCCUUGGUGCGGUUGUUGGAAGGCCACACCUCCCUGAAUUAAGCUCUUGUCUGCGCACUGUGUGGUGGCGGUCAACGGGGCUGCACUAUGGUUCAGCUUCUCCCUUCGUGCAGUAUUCCCCCACACCGUGGCUGACAGUAUUGUUAAUCAUGUACAUGACAUACUCUUGAGGGUUAACAGCACUCAGAGAGGCCUUUGCGGGGCCCUCUUGGUGUCCCACCAGUGCCGCCCCAUCGCCAUCGAUGUACUCAUGUGCCCCCGGGGGACGUGCUGCGUCCCCCGUGGCACAGCUGACCUCCCCGAGGUGCUGUCCCAAGGUGUAUAGUGGGUCUACAACCUGGUAGAAACAUCAGCAAAUAAUGUUUAACAGUUAGCCAUAUGCAUCCCCGAGGAGAAUCCCAUGAAUGGCUUGGCCGCUAAGGGUUCACAAUUCCACAGUUACUCACCCUCCCGGUGGUACAUCGUGGCGUUGUCCCACCAAAUGACCCCACAGUGUAGCAUCACAGUGCACUAAUCCCCUCCCGCAGUGACCCACUCGGGUCCGGCUUAGCCUUGUAGUUACAGUGUUCAACAUGAGACUCCCAAGUAAAUAGUAACAUCCUGGUCCCAACUGUGCAGUGUGGUGAUGUGGCAUGUGUUCUCUUAUGUCAUGCGCGGGUGUUAGUUGUUACGUGUGCUGUGAAGCGGGAGUGUGUGUAGUGAGAGUGUACCCUUCGCCACUUGACUGGAGUGGUGAGUUGGUGUAUAUGCCAUGUCACAACUUUGGGUAUUGUCAUGUUUGCGGGGUGUAUGGGAGUGUGUAGAUGUGAGCCUGUGGUGGGUUAGUGCAAGUAACGUUACCCCGUAAGUCCAUUCCGAGGGUCGUCCAAGACCCUCCGUUGUAUCUUAUGCGUGUCUCAGAGUUGGUCCCUGAGGUGGUUUAUGGGACACCAAGGAGGCGGCAUUUGGAAGUCUUUGUCCAGGGGGACCGGGGAAGUCAAUGUCCCCUUGGGUGUUUGGCCAUAUUGAGCAAAAUAAAGUUCACAGCCAGGCAUGGCGUUCACCUUCCUGGUCACAGGAGAUCUUGUCUCUUGGUUAGGUGCGGGCUUUCUUCCAUUCCGGCUGGAGUUUGGCUGGUUGAUUCGUGAGUGCGUCCCGUUCUUUCAUAUGGAUGCCCCAGUUUCUGAGGGCUUUUCUCCCCUCUUCUGGGGUAUUGAUGGUAUGCAGAGUUCCGUUUUUAUGUACAAGUAAGCGGACCGGGUGGCCCCACCUGUAGGGCAUGUCAUGUUGUCUCAGGGCCUCUGUGACUCCUUUGAAUUCUUUCCUCUUCUGCAGGGUUAGAGCAGAGAGGUCUGUGAACAUUUGUAUAGACCGAUAUCUAUCCGGCACUUCCUUCGUCUGCCUUGAAGCUUUCAUCAGGGCCUCCUUGGCAUGAAAGUAAUGCAGGCGGGUGAGAACAUCCCUGGGUGCCUCUUCUGGUAAGAAUCUCGGCUUUGCGACUCUGUGUGCCCUAUCCAUGAGCAGGAUAUCUGUGGGUAGAUCCGGGGCUAGCAGUUUAAAAUAGUUCGUGAGGUAUUCCAGUAGGUCUGGUUGUUUAACUGACUCCGGUAUACCUCUCAGACGGAUAUUUUGCCUCCUGGAUCUGUCUUCGAGGUCCAUGAGCUUGGUUUGGCAGGAUUCUAAAGUUUGCUCCAGUUUUUGUACGUGAUCCGCCAUGUCAUUGUGGGCCUCUGCGUAUUCGCCCAUGCGGUGUUCCAUGCGGGCUGUGCGCUCUCCUAGUUCCUGUACAUCCUUCCUUAGGUCGGCUAUUGACUUGUUGAAACUGUUGAGGAGCUUGGUUGACAUCUCCUCCAGGCAUGCUUGCAGGAUUUCUUGCUUGACCGGCAGGCCUCUGGGCUCUGUGGGGUCGUGGAGUGGCAGUGUGUCGUCGCCAUCUUGCUCGGUAUCCUGAGAGGCCUGAGAUCGGGGUUGCUGAGUCCGGGCCGCGAAAAACCCAGAUUUGUCUCCUUUUUCGGUGGGCUUCUUCCCUUUGUGUUGGGCCAUCUUAUGUGCAGUUUGGGUGCAGUUUGUCGGUCAGGAUCGCUUAGUUAGUCGCUGUUUUGGGCCGUUUUUGGACGGAGCUCUACUCACACGCGUCCGUCCGCGCCAUCAGUCAGGCCACCGGUAUGGUGUUAUUUCAGAUGACCAUAUAGGGUUUCUAAUUACAGGCUAAAUGUGCAGCAUUUGAACACAAAAAGAUGUGGAAUAGUGGCGCUAUAUAAUUAGUGAAUUGUGGUUUUAGCUGCUAUAUACACUCCGUGGGUACUCCUUAUAACCCACCAUACAUAAUUAAACACCAAAAAGAACAGAGAAAACUUUGGAUCUAGGUGGAUAUUUAUAUCUCCCAGAUCUUCAGUUCCUCAUGAGUGUAGUGCUAAAUAUAUAGUGAAAUUUUCAGUGAAAGGACAGUGCUAACACACGCACUUACCCUAUAUAUUGUGCUUUAGUUUUCUUAGUGAUAUAUAUAAAAAAAUAGAAAACAUAGAAAAAAUACAAAUAAUAGUGUAGUAUGUUAAAUAAAUAUCCAAUAAAAGUCCUUUAGUUGUGAAUGAUGAAUUGAAAUAAACUCACAUUUUUUAGAGCCUUUUACAGUUAUAAGGCUCUAAACUUCCAGGUGUCUGUGUCUUUUUAGGGUAGAUCACACGACCCGUCUCUCAAGGUGAAAAAAAGAGCGUAACUUCCUCUUCUUUAGAGCCUGUGGUAACUGGCUCUAAGUAUUUUUAGCCUAGUGUCAGUUAGUAGGGGUGACACUUCCCCUUCCUGGAAUCACUUGCGCAGAGUGUAAUUCAAUGGUGGAUAAAAAAUAUAUGUUUAUUUAAGAAACUAUUAAAAAUGUAUAUAUACUUCUAGAAAAUAAUAAAAACAAGUAAAUAUAAUACAAAUGUAUUGAGUGGUCUGAUAACAGGUCCACCUGGUUAGCCAAAACGCGUUUCACCGAAAAAACGGCUUCCUCAGUCAGCUCCUGAUGGUGUCAUGGGUUGAGUCCCCUUUUAAAUGUUCGAAAUUCCCGCCUAAAAUUUCCUCUCCUCGUUUGUAUUAGUUGCGUCUGGUGUCCUCAGAAUGGCGUCACGUCAUUUCCGCCCGUCUGUACUACAGGUUCCAUCAUGCUUUGUGUUGAUUGACGUCACUUCCGGUUUUCGCGGGCAAAAUGCCGUCGCGUCACUUCCGGUUUCGGGUACUACAUGUCCCAUGGUGCAAUGGCACCUCGAUCUCAUUUAAUUGAAGUAACACCUAUUUCUUUGUAGUCCAUUUCCUCCACAACCAUACUCAGGGCAUAUCAAAAGAUAAAUAUAUCAGUAGCAUAGUAACAAAAUACAAGAAAGGAGAAAGGACAAUGAUAACAAUGUACAUAUAACAACAAAUGUCUCCAUACAACAAUCAAUAUUAUUUAGCAAUGUAUCAAAGAGGGCCUUUGUGUUAAUCUGAUAUUUAAAAUGCAUAUUUUAUAAAUAAUUAGUGACUUUUACUUAUUAUGGUUAUUUUAAAACUAUUAAAUGUAUAAAUUUAAAAAAGGCCCUCUUUGAUACAUUGCUAAAUAAUAUUGAUUGUUGUAUGGAGACAUUUGUUGUUAUAUGUACAUUGUUAUCAUUGUCCUUUCUCCUUUCUUGUAUUUUGUUACUAUGCUACUGAUAUAUUUAUCUUUUGAUAUGCCCUGAGUAUGGUUGUGGAGGAAAUGGACUACAAAGAAAUAGGUGUUACUUCAAUUAAAUGAGAUCGAGGUGCCAUUGCACCAUGGGACAUGUAGUACCCGAAACCGGAAGUGACGCGACAGCAUUUUGCCCGCGAAAACCGGAAGUGACGUCAAUCAACACAAAGCAUGAUGGAACCUGUAGUACAGACGGGCGGAAAUGACGUGACGCCAUUCUGAGGACACCAGACGCAACUAAUACAAACGAGGAGAGGAAAUUUUAGGCGGGAAUUUCGAACAUUUAAAAGGGGACUCAACCCAUGACACCAUCAGGAGCUGACUGAGGAAGCCAUUUUUUCGGUGAAACGCGUUUUGGCUAACCAGGUGGACCUGUUAUCAGACCACUCAAUACAUUUGUAUUAUAUUUACUUGUUUUUAUUAUUUUCUAGAAGUAUAUAUACAUUUUUAAUAGUUUCUUAAAUAAACAUAUAUUUUUUAUCCACCAUUGAAUUACACUCUGCGCAAGUGAUUCCAAGAAGGGGAAGUGUCACCCCUACUAACUGACACUAGGCUAAAAAUACUUAGAGCCAGUUACCACAGGCUCUAAAGAAGGUGAGCAAUUUUGUAUUUUAUUUACAUUGAUUUAUAUCGGUAUCUAAAAUACUACAUUUAGAUUGGGGAUAUCUGUGUCUUUUUUCCAUGCAACGUGGAGAGGAAAUUACGCUCUUUUUUUUCACCUUGAGAGACGGGUCGUGUGAUCUACCCUAAAAAGACACAGACACCUGGAAGUUUAGAGCCUUAUAACUGUAAAAGGCUCUAAAAAAUAAAACUAAAGCACAAUAUAUAGGGUAAGUGCGUGUGCUAGCACUGUCCUUUCACUGAAAAUUUCACUAUAUAUUUAGCGCUACACUCAUGAGGAACUGAAGAUCUGGGAGAUAUAAAUAUCCACCUAGAUCCAAAGUUUUUUCUGUUCUUUUUGGUGUUUAAAUGUGCAGCAUGUAUAAUGCAUUUUAACCUGUGAUAAUUUAGGUUAAUCAAUUUUUCUGCAAUUUAGUUGAAUUUAAAAAAAAGAAGAAUUAGGCAAAAUUACUAUCCAGUAGAAUCGGUCCAAAGGUGGGACUGAAAAUCUGAGAAUUAAGUUACUGAUCAAUUCCAAAAUUAUCUAUCUGAAGAAUGAGUUGACAGCAGGCAGGUUCAAUAAAUUAAAAUUAGUAAAUAAAAAAUAAAAUAGAUAAUCCACACAGUAUCAAUAAUGAACACAGUUAUAGUACAGGAGACUUUUACUCUCUAACAUUCUUUUAAAAUUUUAAAACUUAAAAUUUUACUUACCUGUUUUGAUGAUAUUACUCCUGUGAUUAUUUAUAAUUGCACACUCUCACUUCUGUUACUAUUCUAUUGACCUGUUGUGAAAUACAUAGGUAUAGUAAAGAUUGUAAAAUAAAAAAAAUUAUAGAGAUAACCAGUAGAAAUUUUAAAUGGAAUCCCUCCUCCUCUCUCAUACUAUCUGCGGAGGUUGAUGGAGUAAGAAAAUAAACAUUUCACAUUCAAGGCCAGUUCAAGCAUAGGCCAGGUGAAUGCCAAGUCAAUGUCCUUUAUAUAACCAUUGCACCAACCCAAGCUAAAAAUAUAUAGGGCCUGGUGGAUUCUCAAUCCUCCUCACACUAAGGCCUCGGUUUAAUAAGCUUUCCAAAUGAUUUAAUACUUCAAAGGGUCCAAUAGACUUUAAUGGUGAAUUCUGUAGAUAAAUAAUUUGGAAAGCUUAUUAAAUUACGGUCUAAGUGUGCAAAUACUGAGCUGUAAAAUGCUCUGAUGACGUCCACCUUGCUAAAGUUAAGCAUUUUGAUAUAACCAAUACUUUUUUUGUGUUUAUGUUAAUCUCAAAUAAGAAGAUGCUUUAUUCACAAUUCCUCAAGUGCUUUCUUUCUUAAUUGUUUGACAAAUGCUCCAAAUUCCUAGUUAUUAUGCCAACCUUACAGGUAUUAAUCUUAUUCUAACAGAAACACAAAUUAUCAUACCUCCCAACAUGAGCAAUAUUAAUGUGGUAGGGGAUAGCCGAACACAGGGCAUGUUGGUGACAAGUAUUGCAUUUAGCACAGCAGGAGAUGAGACUUUGCCAGCCAGAAGUGGCGGCACAUGCCCUGAGUGUUUACACUAUUUGCAAAAAACCCAAGUAAAUAGCAUCUAUUGAUGUCACGUGAGCAGUUCCAACUUUAAAUAGAUAGCAAUGUACAAGAGCAAGUGUUUCUCUUAUUUCCUUUUUAUAUCAGCAAAUGGGCUUCAUGGCUCACGACUUUCUUUAUUGUCUAAACUGCCCCCACUUCCUGAGACAGAAAAUGGAGGUCAGUGUAGUUACUAGUAGUUUUUGUAUUUCUUUAAAAAAAAUCUCAACAUCUCUCAUCUGUAAUUAUGUAACACAAAGGAAAAAAAUAGAAUGAUUUUCAUACUUUAUGUUCACAUACAAUUCAGCAAAUGCCUUGAAAGUUAAUUUAAAAGCUAGCAAGCAGAGAGAGAGAGGCAAAGGACUACUUUAUUUGUCAGGAAAAAAAUAAAUCUAAAUAUGAUUAUUAUAUACUUGUCUUUAUUUAUUAUAUUUAUUUAUUUAUUUUUUCCUCCAGAACUGUCUAAACUAUUAUUGUUAAACUAAAGUUUUGUAUACAAGAUCCAGUCCCAGGCUUUAUCUCCUGGUAAUCUUAUUUAAUGUUUACAAUAUGUCCUAGUCAGCUGACAGAAUCCCUCUCUGGAUUAACCCCUUAAGGACACAUGACAUGUGUGACAUGUCAUGAUUCCCUUUUAUUCCAGAAGUUUGGUCCUUAAGGGGUUAAACUAGUACAAAUGCACAAAUCAGCAUUUGUGUUCUAGAGUGAAACACUUUGAGAUGAAUUCAUUAGUUAAUUCUCAAAAUCCGACUCUGGAAAACAGUGUUGUAUGAAAGUUUAUAGGUUAAGGGAACUAUCAGCGGCAGCAAGGGAGAGCAUAUUGACUAACAUUAACACAUGCAACGCUGGGACAUGCUUAACACAUUAUAUCUCUUGAAUGUUAAGUGUUAAAUUAAGAGUUUCGUAGGAGAUGAAAAAAGGCAUCAAGGGAUUCAAAGGCACAGUUUGAAGAUAAGUGGAAAAAUAAGGACUAUAAAAUAAUAAUAAUCAAAUAAUAACCCAUUAUCUUCUAGGUGUAUUCAUUGUAUUAUGUUAUCCGAUCCUUAAAGCUCAGAGCCCCUUUAAAUCUUGCUUUUAAUCUAGAUUUCCCAGACAAACAGGAAAAUAACCAAUUACCUAAAAGUCGCUGCAGCUGCCUGUUUCCAGACCUUACCCUUCAAACCCCCAUUCUAACCUUAUACAUUCAAUGCCUUUUUUGUGUAGAAAGUCUGCACAUGGAUUUAUUGACAGAUAAUUGAAUAACUGACGGCACAUUUUCUUAAUGAGAGAUUGAAGUAGAGCUUUAACUAUAACAGGGAAAGUUUAAGACAAAAUCUUUCUAAGGCCAUUGUCAGAGCUCCGUAAUGUCUAAUAAUAAUAAUAAUAAUAAUAAUAAUAAUAAUAAUAUGGGGGUAUAUUUACUAAACUUCAAAUUGGUGCAAAAUGAAGUCAAUCAGGGUUAUUCAAAAAAGUAAGAAUUGUUGGGAAUUUAGAAUGAUUUCACUGUGAAUUUCAAAUUUAUGGUCAAAAUAACCAAACUGUAAAAUUCUCCAAGUCAGCUAUGCUUCCAGUUUGGCAACUUUUGCCUUAAAUGUGAAAUUCACUUUGAAUCCCCCAAAAAAGUAUCACCUUAGUGAAUAGUGUAAUUGAAAAAAGUUAAACAAAAAUGACCUGAUCUGGAAAACGUCAAAAUCUCAGCUAUAGUUUCAGCUUCGAUAUUUUAGCCAUUUGGAUUUCAAUUCGCUACAAAUCGUAGUUUAGUGAAUAAACGUAAUAGCAUUUUAUGAACUUUUAUAACAAGGUAAUGUAUAAUAGAUAUUUACACACAGACACACUUAUUUAGAUAUAGAUUAAGUAUAUUUAUAAACAGCCAUAAAAGUGGCCUUUGAUGAAGUCUCUAAGGAUUUUAAUCUUCCUUUCUAUAUGAUUACCAGAUGCUGUUUUUUGAGAAAUAUAUCAGGUCUCAGGGUUAAUGCAUAAGCCUUCUCUAGAAGGUGCAGUUUGGAUUACCCCAUGAUUAAAAAAGACUUACAAGCCUACUAAAUGUCACUCGUUUAGUUUGGGGGAAUUGGAAUACCCAACAACACACUUUACGUGCUUAAAGUAGUUUGAUUUAUUUCCAAACUUGAAUAGUCCUUUUUCUCCACACUCCCAUUUAUCGUGACCUUUCUAUGCUCUCUGUGUUUUCACAAGAUUACCCAAGAAUUAGAGAACUUGCCCUUGUUGAAAGCUUCAAAUAAACAAGAGCAGAAAAAGGGAAAUAAAAUGUUGAUAUUGUCGAGUAUUUGGGUGGCCAUUGAAAGGUUGAUUUUCAUUAUGAUGUAUCUGAUUGGAUAACAGAUCACAAUCGUCGGCUUAAUUGGGUGCCUUAGAUCUUCAUAUAUUUUAUGAUCUUUGUGUGAUAUGUGCUUGUUUAUUAAUCUUUUAAUGACUACAUUAUUUUAAUGGCGUGAUUUUUGUUUUCUAAGCACAAAAACAAACACGCAAACACACAAAUAGCUCAUUUGUUUCCAUUUUGAAGUGUUAAAAGAGAAAAUGCUAUUUGCAUUUUGCAAGAAAAAAGGAAAAGAGGGAAAACUUUUAGAAUGCAAUCUGUGUAUUGAUAUAUUUUUUUUUAGUAUAUUUUAUAUGUUUGCACAAAAUGCAGUUUAUACAACUGACUUUUUAUUUUUAUUUAUGGGGAUUAUUCAUUAAAUUGUAAAGUGUGAAUAAUCGUGAAGACUAUAUAUGAGAUUUGCAAAUUUUGGUACAAUGUAGCCAAACUGAAAACCUCAAUUGACUUAUGUAUCCAUCUAAAAAUUCUUGAAUAGAUCCAUAUGUAUUUAAUAUUAGUUAGUGGUGUAACAUAAAGCACAAGCCAUUACAGCUACAACAUAAAAAAAAAAUGCAGGUUUUAAUCUAUAAAGGAAAACACUAAUUAAUUUAGUGUAUGAAUGUGCUGCACUCUUAACGACUUCAACCCAAAAUCUAUGCACAGGUGGAAGACGUUUGCUACAUAUAUACAUGUACACAUAUAUAGGGUUGAUGUCUAAGCCUUUUCCAAUUUUAUACUUGGUGACACUGGCCAGAGGAUGUUGGCCAUAAGCUUCCCAACAUGGUUUGCCAAUGCUCUUUUUACAUUUUAGCGGUUUGGUCUAACAUUUACAAUUCCUGGGUUUAUUCAACAACAUGACGAGUAUACUACAUACAGAAUAAACAAUACAGACCAACGUAAAAUUCAUCGACGUACAAAUGCAACAUUUUUCAAGCGUCCAGAGUGAAAUGCCUAUUCUACAUUUAAUGGUUUCCACUAUUUGUGCUAAGCAUGACAUUCAUUGCCAGGCUGAAUUUGUUAAGUUAAUUUCUGCAACAUACCCCCCAGUGAAAUCCAUUAAUUCUGUAUACAUCUGUGUAUCAAGAGCAUCAAAACUGUAUGUAUGCCAAAAAUCUGUCUACAAGUGUUCUUUUCUUCUUUUCCUUUUGGAAAGGGAGAGUGAGAUCUGAGAAUAUCCAGAUUAAUAUAAAGACAUAUAAAGAAACUGCGUUAUGGGUUCUUUUGUUAAUAUAGUGUUGUUAAGCCUUUGUAAAAAAUAGUAUUUGCUAAGGUAUUUGUAGCUUCAUUUUUUUAAUGUCUCAUUUAGUCGUGGAAAUGUAUUAAAAGACCAUUGUACCAUGACGUAUGCCCACAAUACAUAGAUGGGAUGUGCAAAAUGUGAUACUUAGCAGAGCUUUCUCUAGUUCUUUGUCUUUAAUCUGACAGCUUUGUUACGUUUUGGACAUGUACUAAUCCACCACUCAAGAGCAGAGUGCAGCAAGCAUGCGCAUAGUCUUACAAUAAAUAGUGCACAACUUCCUUCGAUUGCAGUUCAAGUGGAUGACUGGUCACCCUGGCAUAAAUAAUGCCAGUACUUUACUAAAAGAGAAAUAUGACACCUGCUAUCCUGGCAAUAACAGUACCAACCACCCAACUGGAAUAUCAAGGACAUGUCUAAUUCCCCUUGCUUCAAUAUUAAAACCCAUUCAAUUUUCAUGCCAAGAGUUUAUCAAUUUAUCCACAUUAAUAGUGCUAAUAACCACCCCCUUGGGUUAAACUGUCAAUUAAUUAAAACAAAAGUAAAUUAUGGUCAUUACCAACCCCUUAAGAUAUAUGGAUAUGGUGGUGGAGUGCCUUUCAAAAAAGUAGUAUGAUUUAAAAAAGUAAAAACGAAACUAUUUAAAAUGAUCAAAUCCUGUGUUUUUAGCUAUUGCACACUAAUCAGUAAAUAUUUCAUGGAACAUUCCUACAUAAUUUUAGUGAACAGCAUUUUGGGGGAAUUAAUUUAUUUUCACAAUGAGAUUUACCUAAAAGGAUAACGAAAAAGGAACGAGAAUAUUAAGGCAGUAUAGAUCACUGUGCAUUGUUGGAUGUGACAUUAAAGGGCCACUAUAGUCACCGAAACAACUUGGGCAUAAUCAAGCAGUUUUGGUGUAUAGAUCUUGCCCCUCCAGCCUCACUACUCACUUCUCAGACGUUUAGGAGUUAAGUCAUAUUGAACAAUAGCUUCUUUACACCGAGAGGGCAGACUGAUCUUGCAGGACAGGGAAAACCUUAUAAAGCUUUCCCACACUCUGCCAUUUGACCCAAAUUGAUUGGCUUAAACAGAGAGCUUUGAGUCAAAUUGCAAGUCAUAUUUAGUAGGCAGUCUUUACUUUUUUUUUCUUUUUUCUUUUUUCUUUAUUUUAGUUGUGCAUGUGACAAGUAACACAUUGGCAGUCAGGGCAUUUCACAACAACAUAAAAAGUGACCAAUAUUGUAGCAUAAUACAUGACAAGGCAUCUGCACAAUUUUUUUGUAUUAACAGGCUUACAUCAACAUUCGAUUUAGCACGGUGAAGUCCCCAGGAGGCUAGCUUGCUGCAUAAUGCGAGAAAGAAGGGAUAGGCUGAGGGGGAAAUUUUAAGACAAACAACACUUGUAAACUGAGAUUUGUCAGAAUCUGCAAAAGGCAAUAGCGAGAGGGUUAAAUGAGGACUCAGGGCUCUUCCUACCUCAUUCCGAGAGUUCACAUCACCCUACACCAACCAUGGAGAUAUUAGAGCCCUCCAUCCCAGGCAUGCAAGGCAGGCCUCUGAGCCCCGAUGGGGGUCGGCAAACGAAGUCAGGUGCCACGGUCGGAGAGUGUGCAACAGAUCCUGUGCUGGAUCACAAUGGCCUGCUUGCUGCUUGUUCCUGUGUAUCCUGUGCUGAGCCAUGUUCGGGUUUGUAGUGUUACAACUGCUGUGGGUUUGUACUACGAGUGAGGCAUCCACUGGUGAGACGAGUAGGCAGAUGGUUGUCUGGGCAUGUUGGUGCAUUCUUUCCUCUAGCUUACGCCAGAAAUCAUUGAAGAUUUUAUCCAGCCUGGACUCUAGAUCCUGCUUGCCCUCUGUGGCACCCUGAACACAAAUGGCGACCGCCAUCUUAGGUAAGUUCCUGGAGUCUGCCGCAGCCAUUGCGGUAUCAGCCCGUACAGCCAGUGAGUCAAGAUAGCCUCCUAAGGAUGGACCGGGAAAUCCCCCUCCGGUCCAAGGGAGGAUUAACGGAACAGCAGUGGGGCCUGGGAGAUCAGCCGCUUCUCCUGUCCGGUAUGUCUCAGGCCGCAUGUCUCGAGCCUUCCAACUGAUGUGCUCCAGUCAAACUUCGAGCCCUACAACGAGUCCCAAUGGGGUAAGGAGUCAGGUAAAUCGCUUAAUUGUGUCCAUCAUAAGCUCAAUGAGGGUGAAAUGUGCAGGUUUUGUUGCCCUAGGAGAGGAGCUUCAUGAGAACAUGUCUUCCCACCAUGAUGGUCAUGCCCUGCCCCCCAUCCAUGUUGACAGUCUUUUCUUAUGACACGGUUUAGUGUACAUGACUCUACUUUGGGCACAGCGGGUAGGGGCGGGAGGGAGGAUUUAAUAUCCCUUAUUUACUAAUACGAAGUAUUUUUUUUACUUAGUAUUUGUAAAGUUGCCUGAAAGACCAAAAUGACGGAAAGGAAGGGCUUUUCCUAAUUUUGGUCUUUCAGCUUAGUAGAUAGCUCCCUAAUCCUUGUGGGAUUACCAUAAAGAUACCAAAAAAAACCUAUCUACUAAACAGUUUCGAAUUUUGUACCCUUAAUUAUGGCAAUCCCCCAAGAGUAAUAGCGACAUAGAUCAGAAUUUCAUAAAUCCGAAGGAAAUUAUGAAAUGAAAAUAAUGGCAGAAUUUUCACCCCCCAAAAAUGAACAAAUGGACGAAAUAUAUUUUUUUCCAUCUGUAUGUAUUCGGACAAAGCUACAAUUUUGGUGGCAAAGUCUAAAAUUUGUAAGCAAAUUUGUAAGCAAUUACCAGAAUGUUUUUAAAUUGAGCCCUAUAACUUACGGGAAUCCAGUGUAGGAAUUGACAGAGGGAGGAGGCGUGGGAUGUGCGGGAAGACAGGAAAAUGAGCCUCGCCGCCUCAUUUAUUAUAGACUGUAACGAGGCAAGCUUGGAAUGCGUAAAUGUAAAAGGCCACUGAGAAGCAGAUAGUAGUAGUCAAGGUAAGAGGUGUUAAAUAAGAGCGAAUACGUGCUAUGUUUCUGAGACUGAAGUGGCAGGAUUUGGAGAUUGACUGGACUACAACAUCAGUUAAUAUUGCAGAAACAUCGACAACUUAAAUAGAAAAGCUGAGCACCACAUCCACUACAGUAAAUUAUAAUGGUUAUGUUUCAAUGAAUCUGUGGUUAUUUUGUAAUUUUUGAGUGGUUUAAAUACCCUUGACUCACCUGAGGCUGGUGGGAUAUUGUGGAUGUUUCCAUUCUGCACUAUCCUUAAAGAUUAAAACACUGGAGUGACUGCACUUCAAGAGCCUUUGCGCCACAACCACUACAAUAAACUGUGGUGAAAAUGGAGCUUAAAAUGUACCUUACUUUAGAAAAUGCAGGAUAAGACCAAAAAAAUGUCUGCAAUUUAUCAACAGUAUUUAAAAAUGCCAAACUGGCUACAACUCCAUGUUUUCUUCUUUCUGUUGCAUUUUACACAAUUUGUUUCUUCACUUUAACACUCAUGUCAAAGUUGUUCCUUGUAAGUCUUGUCCGUCUUGUCCGUCUUGUCCAAGUGUGUUCUCUGGUGCCAAAUGUCUUUGCCAGAUGCUGAGUAAGUACUAGUUUUCAUACUGUUCAUCAAAGGAAAACAUUUUGGGUCUUCCAGUUGUUUUGUUUCCAACUUGACCUGUUUAUCUAAAUCUAAAUCAAUUUUGAGUUGUAAAGGAAAAAUUUUAUUACUUUAUUUUUACAAUCCAGGACUUUUAUUUUCUGCUCAUUUGUUCUAAUAUAUUGCACCGACACAUAUGUUUUAAAGCCAUAUUUGAAAAACUAGGCACUCUGGGGUGUUGAAGUAUACGGAUUAUGAGACCUUUCAUGCAUCCAUUUGAUCGUCAUUAGUUAUAUAUAUUUUUUUCCAUUCUUCUACAAAAUUAGAUCAUUGUUAGUAUAACCAAAAUUUAACUCAAACUUCCCAAAUUAAAGUAAACUUUUUUUAAAUGUUGAUGGUGCCGGUAUAGGUGAUGUUGGUGGUGCCGGUAUAGAUGAUGUUGGUGGUGGAGGUGGUGGUAGUGGUGGUUACGUUGUCUGUGGGUGAGAUAUUUGUGCCAGUGGCAGCAAGUGCAGCUAAUGCCACUACUCUCUACAGAUGUACUUAGAGAUGAUGGAAAAGAUGCAGGAGGCAAGUGCACAUUAGCUACUGGAAAAAACUAUUGGGCUGAUGUCUGUCCUUUCCAAACUCUCUUCUUCUAAUUCCUCUGGUUAAUAAUACUCAAAGUUGGGCCAGUGGUAAAAGAGUAUUAUUGUCAAUGGUGCAGAAAAUAGAAUUUUCAUCACCAGAUUAAUCACUACCAUCAACAAUGACAUGAAGGCAGUGGUGGAAGCAGUGGUGGCAGUGGUACCAGCAGUUCUCAUGGCCAAGCAUUUUCAAACUCUCAGAAGCCAUUGCACCACUCCACUCACUGAGACAGAUUUAAAGUCUGUAAUCAACCUAUAAUUUGAUAUAUCAGACCCAAGCAUUCAAACUGGUCCUUUCAUCAACUCUAUUUGUCAUAAUAAGUGAAAGGGGGUUUUUUGUUUCACACAUAGUGUUCUUAGUGCAGUUAUUGAAAGGCUGAUAUAUAAUUUGCAAGUAGCUAACAGCAUGCAGUAGCUAACAGCAUGCACCCCUCAAAUGUUUGUUUUGCAUUCAAAUAAAGCAGCAUUUAAGCCCUACGGUGUAUCAACAGAAAACAUGAUGACUACAUUUUGGGCAUAGCAGAGCCUUUGAAUUCUCUACCAAUGAUGAAUUCCUUAGGUCUGCUUUAUUGAUGGACUGGCUUGUGUACUGUUGCUGUUUAGGAAUGGUAGUAGUUAUUAGCCUUUUUGCUUUUGGGAAACAUUUUUUUUCUUUUUGUUUUGAGUCAUUGUAGGCUAUUCAUACAUAUGUAUAUAUACUUUAGUAUAAUUUUUUUUUUUUUAUUAUUCAUUCCUAUUUUUUUCAAUACACAUCUAAUCAACAGCACAAUUUACUAUUUCAGUUUGCCGAAAAUACCCUUCUUUUCUUAGUUUGUGCACACACUACAUAAUUACUAUGUGCAGAUUAUUAGAUAAUUUCUCUAAGUCAUAUUAACAAAGGAUGGAUUUAUUUUAAUUUUAUUUUACUAGGGUGUUUAUUUCUGUAGUUUGUUUGUGAUUGUGGUGUUAAUACAAACUGCUGGUCACAUAAUUUAAAAAAAAAAAUCAUCUACACAUUUUCUAUUUAUUUUUGCACCGUUCCAACUAAAAAAAAACAGCGUUGUUUUUUUUUUUUGUACAGUACGUAUCUUGAUGUCUCUAUACUUGGGAGUUCGUAGUUUCUUUGUGUUUAGGAUAUGUUUCUGUUUUGUUUGUGUUCUUUGUCAUUACGCUUAAAAAGGAUGUGUGCAUUAUUGUAUAUGCAUCUUAUCUAAUGCAUCUUAGGGCAGGGUUGAAUAAAAUCUGGCCGUUUUGAAACAGGGAUAAAAAAACACAACACAUCUCAUAACUAACAGGCUGACGAAGUGAAUAAUUCUAUUAGAGAUAAGCGUCCAAACACCAUUUAAAAGACUGAAGCAGGCAUAGUCAAGCAGGUUGAUAACAGAAGCAGUGGGUAGGUUAACUAAUCGUACUACCUGCAAUGGUAUGUCAGUCUGUAGUUAACAAUCCUUUACCCAGGAUACAAAUAUUAAAAUGUUAAACAGUGCUGGCUCACUAUUACAUUCUGCAUCCUAGAAAGAUCUAAAUGCAUUUUUAGUUAUUGAUUUAACACUCUCGGGGAUGAUUUACAAAGUAAAAAAGUAAAUUUUUUGUGAUUUAAAGCAAAUUUUACAUUUUAUGACGAAGUUAUAAAACAUGGUUGACUUGUAAAAGGUUUUGAUACCAUAGCCUAAAAUUUGAAAAUCACUUUGAAUUCUUGACAAUUCACACUUUAAUAAAAUUGUGAAAAAAUGUACAACACAUUUUAGAUUAGAAUAGUUGAGCUGAGAAAAUAGGAGAGUUUGAGGAUUUUUUUUUCAGUUCUAAAACACUGUUCUAGAAUCUGUAAAUUUUCCUCAAUUUCUGAUAAAGUGAAUAUUGACAACAAUGCUAGACUUAUUGCUAUAAAGAAUAACAGCAGUUAUAGAGAGUUUCUAAAUAAAAUAAAGAUUAAACUAUUUUAAAACACAAAGAAAUAGAUGUGUAAUGCUGGCCGUGAAAAACUAUUUUUUGUAACUCUAUUACUAUUUUAUCGCUAGAUGUAAGGUUGUUCAGUAAUUACUUAUAAUUAUUGCCUGUUUGGUUAUUUACAAUUAUUGCCUGUUCAUAUACUAUUAGAAACCAGAUGAGACGGAAAUAUAUUUAUCAAUACCACCUGUGUUAAUUAAGAGCUGUUUGGUUGUGCUACACACAGAAUUAAGCACACUCACCUUGUGUUAUGCCUAGUGUGUGAUAGUUAGGUAUCCCUUUGAUUGAGAUGAGAUAAGCAUUAGGAAAUCUUUCUAGCGGAAAAAUUAAUAAAUCCAAUCUGUCCAUCUCUGAUACACAAGGGGCUCUGCCGUCCAAAAUGAGGAUUCCACAAAUGUAAUUUCUGAAUAUUUUAGGGAGCUAGCCAUCAGUUUGGGCAGUCUCUAAAAAUUGUGAUCUAGACACUCAGUCCUGGUGCCAAACGAGCCCUGGACACAAUGCCAAUGAUUGUUAAUCAGAAAAAUUUGUGCUGGGUUCCUGACUAACAGGUUAACCUCUUAAGGACACAUGACGUGUGACAUGUUAUGAUUCCCUUUUAUUCCAGAAGUUUGGUCCUUAAGGGGUUAAAGAGAAAACACUAGGUCUGAGUGGUCACAAUGUGAAUUUUGUUAAUAAAGAAAUAAGUGGUAUUAAGCAACUCACAAUACCAAAGACAAGACAGAGAUUAAAAAAAAAAAGUUUUAAUAUUUACUAUUCUACUAAUUUGGAAGCCUCUCUAUUGCUAUUACUAUUUCUAGAAAGCUUCCUCAGCAGAAAAUAUGUCACUACAUGUAACUUUUUCUACAGCCAAGAGGAAAAGAAAGAGACUUUGAAAAUGAUAGCGCCUUAACUUGUUCAUGGUGAAUUCUCAUUCAGGACCCAUGAGAAAUUAUGUUAGGCACCUGUUCAACUCUUUUAAAAAAAAAGAUUACUUUUAUGAAAAUUAAAGCAUUGCCUACUCUGCUUUAUAAUGCAUUCAUAUAAAUGCUCAUCAUUUCUCUUUUUUUUUAUCAUCAUCAUUUCAGUACAUCAUCAUCAUUUUUUUUUUUAUCAUCAUCAUUUUUAUCAUCAUCAUGAAACAAACAUCUUACAUGUAUAUGUACACAAACACAUAUUUCUACAAAAACAUGUUACAUUAAAACUCCUUUAAAAGGAACACAGGACCUAUAUGUGCUGUACAUUACUUUAGGGCAUUGACGCACAAAACAUGAAUUAUCAUCAAAUUGGAUGGACACUACAGCCUAAAAUCAUGAUGGAAAUAGUGCAUUUUAAAAAUACAAAAAAAAUUGAAAAAUAAAUAAUCAUCAUCAUUUGCGGCAAAUCCCAAAGCAAUGCAGAAAAUAGGAAGUGGCUGAUAAUUUUUAGCCAAUCCUGGUCAUCGUCAUUUUCUAUGUGAGCAAUAUCGCUCCAUUCAUAAUGAAGAAACAUAAAUGAAGAAACUUCACAAGUUAAAAGUACCUGCAGCAUGCCUUUCAUUAAGUAGCUUUUUGCAAAUCUAUGGAAAUAUAAUAACCAGGAUAAAUAGAGACAUAAAUAGGAAGUUCUUUUCGUCAUAACGGAUGCAAAAAGGAUGAAUGGUUAUGAUGUUUGGCAUAUGCCUUUAAACCAUAGACAAGGCUUAUGUUUACAUGACUGAGGCAUGAAGAAAACUUACCAACAGCAAAAGAAAAUAUACAUCACAAAUACACAUGCCUCGCUCUAAGCGAAAGACCAAGAAAAUAUUCUGAAUAACAGAAACCAAAAUUGCUACAUAAUACUGUAACCAACACAGAACUCUAUCAAAACUAUGACAUAAAGCUCGGAGCCAAGGAUUAGGGGCCACUGUUUUCACAUUAACUGCAGGGAAAGCAAAACCAGUGUACAUAGUUUGGAAAUUAUAAAGGGAAGUAAAUCUAUCAAGGUAAAUCCAUUUGGGAAUACAAUUAGGCAGAGACUCGGGGAGAGCACAAAAGGAGCCAGAUUCUAAAGGCCCCCGCCGUUGAUUGACAAUGGCCAGGCUCGCAGAGCCAGAAACAGCAGCGGACAAGGAAAAAGAAAUGAAAGGAGUAAAUGUGAUUUGUAGGAGACUCAGAACAGGAAAACAAAUCAAUGUAAAUUCAUUUCGGCUCUCAGGGAUUCAGACAUUUUCUUCAAGUCCAUGGGAGAGCUGGGAAUUCCAGGUCCCAGAGCAACAAUCUGACCACUUGCGUCCUCUAUAUGUCCUAACUUGUACAGUAUACAGAUGCCAACAAUUAAGUACACUGUUAACCUAGAGGGGCAUUUGCAUGCACAACCAGCUUGAUUGAGGCCAGGCAUAUCAGCUGUGGACAAAUGUCUGAGACGAUUUCGGCACAGGAUUUAUAGUCUGUCUCAGAAUUUUUUGUUUUUACCCAUAGUUCCUCAAGUUCACAUAGAACAAGAAACUUUGUUCUUUAAUUUCCUUUUAAUUGAACAUUUUACAGUUUACAUGCAAACAAAACAUAGUUUAGUGACGAAGAAACACAUUUCUAAAGCAACUUUUUUUUUAAACAAAAUUAAAUACAUAUACAAUGCUUAGAAAAAAAUAAAGCAGAUUGCAUUGAAAGGAAAAUGAUAUACAAGGGGGGAUAUUUAUCAGAGAGUUAUCAAAAGUGAUCUAAAAAGUGAUUUUUUUCUGAUGGAAAAAAGUGGUGGAAAUUUCAUAAAUGUGUUGCAUCACUGAAUUAAUGGCUUAUGUUAAAAAGCUCAAAGUAACAAGAAUAUCCAACAAAAAAUAGCUAAAAAUUAGACCUAAAAAUGUUGACGAAACUUUGAUAAAUAUCACCCAAUGUGUGUAAAUACACACACGCUAUAUUGGACCAUUAAAAUUAUCUGUUUGGACUUUGUGUCAAUGUGGUAUGCUAUGUUUUAAUACAAUUAAUACAAUAAAGCGAUCUAAGAAACUGCACAUUUUUGCACCAUUGUGCUAACCAAAGUUUGCGACAAAAUUCUCAAGGGAACACACUUAUGUUGGAAAUACAUUUAUGUAUUUCUAAAGAUAGUUUGUAACUAAUUAGAUUCCAGGCACCACAUUUAAAGUUAAAAAAAUAAGAUUUCAUUAAUCCAAUGCAUCUCCAUGGGGAGCACUCAGUAUCUUCAUGUAGAUCGUAAAGACCAAGAUCAUGGAUAAUGCAAAGAUUGGAACAGGCCUCCCAAUUGCCUGCUUUCAGUAGAACAGUCCUUAUUUUAGAAUCCUGUCCAGCCAUCCUGAUUUUAUCCUCUGAUGUCCUAAAUCCUGGGACACCAGGGAACUGUCCCCAGCAGUGCAGAGCAAGAGCAUCAUUAGACAUGCUUGAAAUAUGAGGUGGGCACUAGGACCGCUGCAGCAGGACUCUCUAGAUGGUCUUCUGUGACCAGCCAAGUUGCAGUUUGACAAUCUCUUUUAGUGGGCAGACCUGUUACCUUUAUUGUCAGACCCACCCAUUAUGGGUAUUGCCAAUGACACAACAUUAUUUACUGGUGAUGCCCUCUCAGGGGCUCCGUUGGUGAUUCCAUACCUUCUAAUGGUGGGAUAUGUUGCAGGACAACAACAGGAAGCAACUCGAAUAGCUGUCUGAAUUACAGGCACUAGAAGUUUCUUUAGGAAACAAUGUAAACACUGCUAUUUCUGAGAAAAGAUUUUCUGAGAUGGCACGGAUGUUCUAUUUAAAUCAGAACCACUGCAUUAAGCUGUAGUAGUUCCGGUGCAAAGUGUGUCACUUUAAGAAAUUGCUGGAUCACUUUCCCAGUUGGUGCAUCUGUAACAUGGGCAUGUUUUCUGACAGUAAUAUAUUUUAUGUAUUGAUACAGACAUUAAACAUGAUAUUAUUAUUGGGAGUUUGAAGCUCUGGGUGUUCACUUUUUCACUGGGCACCUUAUUUUUUGGGGUAACUUUUGAUUUAACAUGUUAUUCUAAUUACUCACUUUCCCUGUUUUCCUUCCUUUUGUUUCUAUGUCUAUCUAGCAAGAUUACCAGGACGAGAAGCUUUGCUACAUUAUUAAUUCAUGCCAGUAUUUUUUCUUGCUAUCCCUUGCUUUUUGUGAUUAUCUGAGUACAAUUUUUGGCUAUAGACAGCCUAGUUCCAUUGGACAGCUUAUUAGACUAGGUGAUGAAAUUACCAUCACCUGUUGAUAUAUAUAUAUAUAUCUAUACAACCUAAUAAGCCACUAGUAUUUAGAAGGAGUACUUUGACAAUCUGCUGAAUAACUCCUGUCUGUUUUGACAUUUGACUGGAAGCUGCACUUUAGGAUUACUCAGACUCAUCUAAAUAAUAUACUCAGAUAUUAACGCUAAUACUCCUGGUUUAUAUAUUUCAUUGGAACCAUACCAAUAAAACUCUUUUUCUCUAAUCAGGAACAAUAUUGAGACCACUAUCUGAUUUUUCUUAUAUGGACAUAGAAAGUAACCCGAUAGGGUUAUGACUACACAGACCGGGUGUGUUUUAUAGCUUGCAAUACUUUAGAUACAUAUUGCUAUAUACCUUUUUUAUAAUUUUUGUUUUCUUAUUAGCUAUAUAUCCUCUAUAUAAUUUUCAACUGACUACUAGCAUUAUCUCCAGGCAGGGGAGGGAUAGUCAACUUUGGUGAACUUGCAUACCUCAUUUAUUAUUUUUGUAAAUGUUAUUAUUGUGCUACUUUUUCUACAUAAAUCUUAACCCUUUUAAACAUUACUACUUGCAGUGCAAUGCUAAACUAAAUUUAGCCUAUAAAUCCAAAUUUUUAGCCAUGAAACACAUAGCUAUAACUGGUCAAUGAUGGAGGAACUAUCAAGUUUGAAUAACUAUGAAGGUUGCGGGAUGAGUUUGAAAAAAAAUAUUUUCCAAUUGUAACAGGCAUACUCAAUAAACUGUAUGAAUUUGACAGGAAUAAAAUCUUAGAUAAAAAAAUAACUGAAUAUGAAAAAACUCUCCAACACAGUUAUUUUCUUAAGCUAUUUCGGUCUAAAAUGAUUCCCUCGAUAAUUCCUAGCAAUUCACUACUUAAUAAAUAAUCCUGUAGAUACACAAGUUAUAUAGUUUUAUUGCAUACUUAGUGAAUAUGAUGGAUUUAGGCAGUAAAGUUAGAAAUCACUAUGCUCAUUUUAAGUCGGCAAAUAAAUAACUACAUACGACUGAUCAAUAAAGAGGAGUUGCAGUCCAGAGCAGUGUACAAUGCCAGAUGUUACCCAUCACUAAGAUUAUUAUUCUGAAUAACAGCAGGUUUACCCAAAUAGGAAUAAUAAUGUACGUACCAUGAGGGUUCAUUGUGAGUGCAGAUAAAACGGAUGCUUAUUCUUUGCUUUAACAUGCACGGGAAUAAAACAUCCUAUUUUCCUCCAUGAUGGCAGAUGCAUUGUUGCGUUGCAAAAAAUGCGUCAUAGCGUAAGACAUUUAAAGGAACAAAUACAGCUGUACAUGUACCAUAAACUUUGCAGUGCUGUGACUAAUGGGAUGCCUUUAGCCCUCUUAUAUGUUUUAGUGAGAUGUGGACCUAACCAUGAAUAAUUUAAUUCAUGAUAAAAUGGAUAAAAUGAAGUUAGGAUAGGUAGGCAAAACCUGUGUUCAAAAGUAUAUAGUGUACGUACGUAUAGAUAGGCCGAUGUUUUUGAGUACACAUGUACACAUGCUUUAUUCACAUGCUAGUGAGCAUUAAAUUUAAGAGACAGGGACCCCCAAACUACUCCUUGCCAGCAUGUAAUUAUGUUUUUCAUGUAAUUGGUAAGUCUGAUAGUUGAGCAUGUAAUAGCUUUAAAUACUUUUCUAAGUAAAAAUUGCAAACGAGACAAUAUGUAUACUAUGAUUAUGAUAUGUUCUUCUAUGUAUGUGAAUGCAUAUUUUAUUUUAUGUACAUUAAAAAUACAAGAAAACAAUAAAAUAUUUAUAAUUAAAUUUUUUUUUAAAUAAAGCUACUUUCACAAAUUUAAAAUACAAUCAAGAGCUUUUGCUAAUGUGUGCAAGUAGAUUCAGUUGUACUUGUUUGUUUUUUCAUAUUUCAGUUGUAUAAGUAGUUUGCUUCUCUCAGCUGUCUUUCUAGAAUGCUGAGAGCUGUACUACAUAUUCCACAGGAUUCCAAUGCACAGGGAAUCAUGGGAAAUGGAAAAUGCACCACUGAAAAAGUUUGAGGAAUGACUGAAAGAUCUCAGUGGCUUUCAGGUGUCUGCAUGCAUCGCUGCCGAAGUUGCAGAUCAUAAUUUUGUUACAAAUAAAAAACAUUUAGAGGUGUAUAUUUUGUACAUUUUGUUGUUUUUUUAAUGUUCUUUUUUUUUGCAUGUUUAAUGUACAGCUUCCAGAACGCAUUGAAAUUGUGGGCUAACAAAUAGCUCCAGGACGGAGUGUGCCUUAAAAACUCGAGCAUAGCAGGAUAAUUGUAGCAGAGUUGAUGUUUAAUAUGCUGGAGUGAGUGCUUGACUCAGGCUGUAGCCAUUAUUUAUUUAGACAUAUUGCCAUGCUAAAUAUAAAAUAAUCUGAAAUUUUACAGCAGCUUUAACAUAUAAAUAGUGGGUCAACCAGCGUGCAAUCAAUUUCAAAAAGUGUCAUUUGUUUUUUGAAGAACACGUGCCUGCUCCCUAUAGACAUGAUGAGUUUAAAGACUGUGAAACACGAACACAGAAAACAUGUCCUUAAAUAAUAUAAUUUAAAAUUAAUUGUAUGUAUGUAAUGAUUGAAGUAAGCGGGCUCUUUUGUUGAGAGGAUAUGAGAAAAUGGAACAUUUAAGCCAUUAUUUUAUAUGAAUGUAGGACUCCUGAUAUGUAGGACUCCUGAUCGAUAUUAAUGCAUUUUAGCAAUGCUUUCAUGACUCUCUGUUUAGACACUUUCAUUGCCCCAUGUUAUGGAAUCUGUUGGCUCUAUAUAAAUGGCAAUAAUAAUAAUAAUAUUACACUUUAAAAAGUAUCCAUAUCUUUUGUGGAUCCUUCUGAAUAGGAUCUUUAAUAUACCUUUAUUAUACCUUUAAUAUACGUUUGUGAUACAACGGAAGCAAAUCAGAUCAAAUAUGCAGUUCUCAGACACUGAUUGGCUGCUAAUAUCAAAUGUGCAACUGGAAAAUGAACUAUUUGGAAAAAAUGUGAAAAAUUGGCUGAUUAUCAAGCAAUAAUGGCAGCUGAAUUUACUUUAGUUUCUUUAGGUGAAAAUAAUAUAUUUUUUGAAGAUUAAAUGAAACAUAUUUAUUUAAAUAAAGAAUAAUUUGACAUCCAUUUUAAACAUCAGUAGACAUUUUUUCUGUUCAACUGUUAACUUUCCUUUAUCUAAAUUAGUUUCAUAUACUUUACAAUAUAUGUGGCGUGAUUUUAUUUAUUUUUACAGCUAUACGCUAAACAAAAUAAAAAAGUCUAAUACACCUCCUUUGAGGAGAGUGAUAUCACUUCUGACGAAAGCUUCCCGAAGCAGUGAUGUAGAAAGAAUCUUGAAUGCAGGGAAGCACUGCGUGAAAAGAAAGUUCUGAUUACAUGGAGCAAAGCACAGGCUGUCUGAAUGGAUCAAGGAACAUUGCAAGUAACAGGCUGUGGCAAUGCAGGAAGAGCCAAUUCUGCAUUUAAUCAUAUAGAGAAUUAGCGCUGUGCAUAUAACCCAUUCCUAUGUUACUGUACGAACCACCAUGCAAUGGCUAAGGGCACACACCAAUACAGUGGGAUUUUUCACUUUGAAAUAUAUUGUUAACGCCCUGCACAAAUCGCCCCUGCAGAUACCAUAAAGCCUACAAAUUAACUAUGUAAAGAAAUAUUGAGUGCAAACCCUGAAGCUAGGUUUCGACUGAAGCAUUUCUUUUCUGAUAAUCAUUACAGUUAUUAAAAUUGAUUAAUGAUUGGUUUAUCUUUUGUUUUGUUUCAUUAAUUUUUUGCAGUCCGUAGAGAUUGCGAAUACAUAGCAAUGCUUUAUGGGAAAAAACAGCACUGUUAAGUUAGGGAUUUCUUGGGGUUCCAUAAAGCUUGAUCAAAUUACUCCAAAAUCUGUAGGACAUCUGGUUCCAAGGUAUUCGCAUUUUCAUUUGCUGUGAAAAUGAACGUAAAUUUAAAGAUGGCCUCUUGGGGGUUCGAAGAAGAAACUGCCAUGUUGUAAUCUUAACAGUAAUGCAACUUCCUGUAUGUCUGCAGUGCAGGACACUAGGUCACAAGACAUAACUAAGACCAAAACCUGAGAAAAUGUCUGCUAACUUUAACAGCGUGUCCACAGAUAAAACAAUACAGUGUUGAUAUUGCACAUUUUAAAAGUCUAAGUGUUUCACAUGUAUCUUGUUAUUGUUUCUGUUGUAAUUGGAAACUUUUCUAUAAAACCCCAGGUUUUUUUCUUUGACCUAUUAACUAGUCAAUAUCAUUAAGACUUCACAUUUUUGUGGGUUGCAUAUGUAUGCAUGGCAAUUACAUAACAUAUAAAUUCACACACAAAAAAAAUGCAAUCAACUACUAAGAAAAAAUAUGUUUUUCAUAAUAUAAACAUGAAACUAAAGGGUCUGUUCAUUAAACGCUGAAUUUGAAUUUGAUAUUUUGGGAAAUUUCAUUCAGCUCAAUUAAUCUGCAUUUGGUUAUUAAAUUCACUAUAUGAUUCAUUCUAUUCAUUAACAACUUAAUGCUAACCAAAUUUAACUGAAUGGAUACCUACUAUUUUCAAACAGAUCUAAUGGCUAUUUAUACCUCAACCAAAUUGCAAUUGGAUCCCAACUCAAUUGUAGUCAAAUAGCAAAUUAAUUUUAUGUUACAAAAAAAUAAUAAAUAGGCAGAUUACACUAAUACAAAGUUAUAAUUUGUGGGUGAUUUAGAGUUGGGACAUACUUAUAGAGUUAAGGGGCUUUGGGGUAGCAUGGCAGUUAGUGAAAAGACCCCAAAAAGAUGCCAUUAGAUAAACUAUAAACUAAGACACCAAUGUAAAUAGUUAUGAGUGAUAUUCUUAUUUUUUAAUACUUAAAGGGACAGUGUAGGCACCCAGACCACUUUAGCUAAUUGAAGUAAUCUGGUUGCUGUGACCCUUUUACACUUAGUGCUGCAAUGUAAAACAUUGCAGUUCCAGAGAUUUAAUUACAUAAAGGAAAAUAGAUUUGUACUAUAAAGCAGGAGCUAACACAUAGACUGGUAACAAUAAUGAGCAAUGACAACAUGAUUGGACUGGAAUACAUCUGCAUUAUGACAGUAAGAUAAAAUAGUAAAUAUGGAAACACUAUAUAUAUAAAUAUAUAUAGGUCAGUUCUUCUUCUUAUGUUGAUAUUUCAUUUUUUUUAAAUUCAGAUAAUGGAAGAGUUCUCUACCUUACAGAAACUCUGCCUAUAGUUGUUAUCUCUGACUGCUAUAAUAUAUACAGAUAUAUAAAAGUCAGAGAUGUCAACUCUGGGUAGAGUUUCUGUUAUUUAGUGAACUCUUCCAUUACAAUAAAUAAACUGGAUAGAAAAAAAUGAUUAUUAUUAUUAUUAUUGGUAUUUAUAUAGUGCCAACCUAUUCCGCAGCACUUUACAAUAUUCCGAAAGGGGUACAUUUAAUAUUACAGGAACAAUAGGUAGAUGUGGACCCUGCUCAAACGAGCUUACAAUCUGGAGGAAGUGCGGUAGAAAGACACAAUAGGAAGGGCUUCAAGGGAGACAGCAAGCAAACAAGGUGGAAAAGUAGCAUAACUGGAGGUGAGAGUGGAGUGUGGCUCUUUAGGAGAGAGGAAGAGACAGAUAAGUGACAUAGAAGUUACUUUGAACAGAUGGGUAUUAGGGACUUCUUAAAUGAUUAAAGACUAGGGGAGAGUCUAAUGGGGUUAGGCUGUUCCAAAGAAAACGAGUCGCCUGUGAAAAGUCCAGCAAGCUCGAGUUAGCAGUAAGAGUGCGAGCAGCCAACAGAAGAAAGUCACCGGCUGAGCGGAGAGACCGAGAUUGGGUAUAUCUACGAAUCAGUGAAGAAAUGUGAGAGGGGCUAGAGUUGUUUAGAGUUUUAUAGGUAAGGGUUAGUAUUUUUAAUUUACUCCUGUAUGGCUGUAAAAGUUGUCUUAUAUGGCUUAUAUUGGUGUGAAAGUUCUUUAAUAACAUGACAAGGUUAUUUGACACUAAGGGAGGUAAGUUGCCAUAUAUGUCUUCCAACAUUUGAGAAUUGUUAGAGUGAAAGGGAACCUGACCUGUCCCUAUUGACUUUAGCUUUUUUUUAAAAGCUUAAAAUUCCAUCUAUACAUUGUGCUAGCAGCUUUGAUGUAUAAAUUUGUAGAAAAAGAUUUAUUGAGAAUUGAGAGGCAUGGGGAGCAGAGGAAAUAUCUCACAGUAUGUCCCUCUGCUGUCCACCCAUCACAGUGCUUGUUUUGUGGUUGCUACGGUAACUUCCGAGCUGGUGCUGAUAGGGAGUGCAGGAACUGAAUGACAUGACGUCACUCCGUUCAGACGCCAGCAUGCUGGCAACGAAACCAGAGUGUCGGCGUCAUGGAUGAGGUUUGUUCUGUUUGGGGAACUUUACCCAAGCAGGGCAAAUUAGUGAAAAGUGAAGUAGUAGAGUAACAGAAGUGUAACACCCACCUCUUUGAUGAGAUUGCGGCGGGGAGUGGAGGGGUAGGUAAGCUGUGACAGUUUCCCUUUAAUUCCACCAUGAUUCACAUGUCCCCCACAUUGGUGAUUCAGUACAGGUAGUUGCAUGUUCUACCAGUAAAAAGGCAUGAGGCAUUUGGCUAGUUUAAGAAUUAGGAAAUGCCAACCUUUAUUUAACAAACCAUUUAAUUAGCUUGGAAACAUAGGUUGUUUGUUUUGCUAAUAAUAAUAUCCAUUAUUAUUUACUGGUACAUCAAAAUGGCAGGCUAUUCUUCAGCAAGUCCAGCAAACGCGCCCACAGUGCAUGUGACCCAUCAUUGAACACCCAAUCCUGGAUCGGUAAAGGUAAAUGUGUUUACAUUUGCCUCCUCUGUAUUUAAUGAAGUUUGAACAAGAGGAACUGUCAUUAAGACAAAUGCACAUGUGAGUAAUGUUUGUAAUGAAUACAAUAUAAAAAAGCUGCAGUGUGAAGUGUGAAGUCAAACUUGAUAGAGACACAAUCUAGGUUACAAAAUUGCUGAAUCGCUCUUAUGUUGACCAGGGACAUUACUAGGUUACAAAACCUACAUGUACAAUAGCACAUCCAAAGCUCUUGCCGUCCUGUCUCUCUAAACUAUAUCUGGCAUCAUACCUGUGGUGCCUCUCCUUUACCCACUUUGUAUCUAUCUGAGCAUCUCCCUUAAUCAAUAUUUUGUUACUCUCCCCCCGUCUCAUACAAAACAUUUUGUAUGUCUCUCUUUCCAUGUACCCUGAACCCUAGUAUUUAUUACUGUACAGGGGUGAGGGGUGGAGGUACCAGCAUCAUAGAGAAUUGGGCGCAUCAAUGACAGAGUGUCAUUAUUGCACCUAGCUAUCAUAACAGGAAACAUGCACGGCAGUUCUUUAUCACAACCCCACAAGCCCCGUUCCAGUGUAAAGAAGAAGAAAUGUUACCUGUGGGGAGAUUCUGCCCCCUCUCUUCUAGAAGCCUGGUGAUGUGCAAAUACUAGGAUUUCUUUUUACAUAAUACAUAGGCAAAGAAGGGACUACAAAGGCUCACAAAUCUGGGUUUUUAGCUCCUGAAGCCACACCCUAACAAUGCUAUGAUGUUACUUAUACAAAUGCACCGACUAUGUUACUGAGUCGUGAAACACUCUCCUUAUUUAUACUUCCUCUUAAAACACUUAGACUUUUCUGUUCCUCGCCAUAGAAUCAGUUUUAGCUUUUCUUACCAGACCUGCAGUCAUCAAAAAUACAGAGGUUAUAUUGAUUAAUGUUUAGCGUGCACUGAUUGAGCCGCUGUAAAUAAUAAAUUAUAACUAUCCACUAGAAAUAUCUUUAGAUCAUUCAAUAGGAAAAUGACAACUCUGUAUGGUGGGUGAUAUUUCUUAUACGAGUCAGGAGAUUUGAAGUCUCUUUAAGUGAUACACUUCAAUUUAUACAACUUCUUUUCAUGUUAGGCAGGCUUCCAAUCCUACUAUAACUAUUUUUUAAAGAAAAACAAGGCAUUUUAUACUUAUUAUAAUACCCGAUUGAAGUAAUUAAAAUAACACGCAUUGGUAUAUUUAGUAUAUUUAGUUCAAGUAUAUUAUUAUGAAUGAAAAAUAAAGAUAUAAUUGUGUGCCUGAGAUGCCACAAGGUUGAGUUCCAAAGAAUAUAGGUUGAAUGUUAUUAUUUAUAAGAAAAGUAAAACACUGAACAAGUUACCACACGUUCAAAGUAGGCAUUUCAUGUUGACAGUGCCACUUUAAAAGUCAUUUUAAUCAUUUUCUAUUGAUUCUGAUUCCUGUUUUCUGAUUAACUGGCUUUUUUUUUUUGUUUUACCAUUUCAUUCUAUGUAUCUUCCAAAAAAAAACUUUGUAUAGAAAAUGCUUGAUGGAAUCUAUCAUCAAAUUUCUCCAUACUCAUAUUUGUGUUGAAAGAAAUUACAAUAUAGAGUGUUUUAUAUAUUUUUGUUUUUAAUGACUGUGUGAUUGAGUUGCACGAAAGGUUAACAGUAGUGAAUUUAGACAAGAAAUCAAGGCAUUUAAGGGGACAUGAAUCACUGUGAAACAACUGUCUCAUUCAAAAGCUUACACUUUGAAUGAGACAGUUGUCUCAUUCUGAAGACUUAAAAAAGCAGGUAAAUAUGACAUAUUUACCUGCUUCUUCUUUCUGUUUCUUUGCACACCCAUUUCAGGGGGUCACUGAUCUACGAAAUCAGUGUCCUAUCCCUAGGAAUGCUGAAAGUGCAUUGGGCAUACCUGACAGAUUUACACAUGUGCAGUUGGAAGAUUGUCUCACCUUGCAAUGUCUCCCCUAGCUGAGAAGCUUGUCCAACAAUGCAAUCUAACUAAGUUUAUAGUAAGUUCAUAAAUGUUUCUGCAUGCUAUUCAAUGUUCUUCAUGCUUUAUUUUGUUUUGUAUAUUUAUUAGAGUGCUUGUAGGUUUAAAAAAAUAUUGUCACCAGACACAGACAUAUUUGUGUGUCAGUGAGCUUCAAUCUGACAUGCUUUGCCUCUUAUGUUUAACAUUAUUACUGUAUUUGCUUGCAUGUUCAUGUACCUGUUCUGUUACGCAUAUACUCUAAAUGAUAAAGGUAAAUAGUUAAUCACCUCUUUAUUUUUUGGAUUGUAAUUAUUUUGAUAUAUUACAGUGUCCCUGUAGAUUAUAAAUAAAUUCAAGCAAUGUCCUCAUUAACCACUUAUUAUUGGUAACAUGGGUAAUAGUUUGCCUUAUUUCCUGUUACCUCCCCACAUACAAAAUGGAAUGCACUGUAAAAUAUGUUAAUGUUAUAUAAAUGCUAUGGGCUGAUAGGGUACAGGGGAUAGUGAAGGUGUGAUAAUAGAGGGGGAUGAUAGGGGAAAGGGAUGAAAUUGAAAAGAAGCAUAGGAGAAAAAGGAUACUGUUGGGGUAGAACCUAGAGUAGCAGGAGAAGUGAAGAAAGGGACAGGAGACAAGAGAGGAGGAGAAAGGGUAAGAAACUUACAUCAGUACUUCUCUCUUUUUCCAUUGCAGGGCGAUGAGGAAGGAGAGAGGAGCCCUCGAACCAUUUAGGCGUAACCACAGUAGGCUUUCACCCUCCUUUCAAUUUCUAGAUGGGUUUAUGUUUGGAGUAAGUCAAAUGGUGCAUUCAGCCCCCAGUACAGGUUGCCAAUGGUUAGAUAUACUGGGGAUCCAUGAUGGGAAAAGCAGAGAUGUCUUAGGAAAGUCAGGUCACAUGACUGUUGGUUUGGUUAGUCAUGUAACAGCUAUGGAACAUGGGAUCAUUUUACAGAAGCAGGUAAACUUUAUAUUUUAACCGCUGUGACCUUGUAAUGUUCUCAUAUUGCUGGAUGAUGAACACUAGAAGGAUUUCAAACAUCUUUCAUUUUCUCUCAAAUCACCAUUAAAACUUUAUGUGAUGCCUGAAUCAGAUUGUUGAGUACAUUUCUAUCUUCUUCCUCCCUGAAAGAACAGAAUGCAGUAAUGCUUGAAGAAUUGUCCAAUAUCUCACCACACAGUUUAGGUAUACAAUAACAUCAUACAGGACUUACACUGUUCCAAAGACAAGGGUGGGGCCUUUAAUAGGAACAUGUUACUAUUUACCAAUAUAUUGAUACGCGUCUCCGUUAUUCUGGACAUCUCUAUAUGGACACAAUCAAAUUGCUGUAAUUCCCGCCGAGGUUUGCUAUAAUAUUUAAUUGUGUUACAUUUACAUUUAUUCAUCCACUGUGUAUAUAUAUAUAUAUAUAUAUAUAUAUAUAUAUAUAUAGUUAAUACAAUGUUAAACAAAAAUCUGCACACCAGUCAAGCCAAAAGACUUGCUUUUCCCACAGAAAUCUCAAAUCUGCAGUGAUGUUACAACCGCAAAGGAUUCUGGGUGGGCAUAUGCAAAUGAGUUUAACAAAGAAUCAAAUUUUUGCCUCAUUCCAUUUUAAACAUGGAUUUCUUUUAGUCUGAGUUUGCAGUAUACAACUGAUUAGAACACAAUUUAGGAAAAGAUGCAAAACCAGUGAACCACUCAUGGACAGCUGUUUCGUUGUUAAUGCAACUCAUCAGCAUGAGGCUGGUUACUGGUUUGCUUAUUGAGGCUUGGUAGUGCUUGGGAAGCAAAAUCCAAAUAGGUUAUGGUGUAUAUAUAUAUAUUAAAAUGUUCAUGAUCUUUGUUGUAUGAACCAACCAAGCCAUGAGUCAGCUGAAGUGGUAACCAUAUAAUAAUGCUAGCUUUUCACUGUGAUUAUAGAUCUGUAUGAAAAUGAUCCCUAUAAAAGCAACAGGUCACUUUAAAUUUAUAUCCUACUGUCCAAAGUGGCAAAGAAGAGUUCCAUGACAUGAUCUCUUCAUCCAUCACAUGAAGGGCAAGUAUAGGAUAUCAGUGAGGUGACCAUGUGUAGCACAUGAUUCAAAUCAGUCCAGCUUUGAUUAAUUGGGUUCAAUCCCAGUUUCGAGAUUAUAACAACUGUUGUUCCCCUUCACCUCAGACCGACGGGCCUUUAAAGGGAAAGUAUCCAUUUCCUUCACGCAUGACAUUCAUUAAGGAGGAUCAAGUCCCAUUAGUGUUUAAAUGCUGGAUGAAAUUUGGACAAACUCAAUUUACUCAAGAUGUGCUAAAGGUAGAGUCACAAGCAGGAGCAGAGAACUCUCUGUGUUGCAUCUAGUGCUCAGAUCUGUUUCCAUUUAGCUGAGACAGAUACAUUCCUUGUCUUCGGAGAGGGAGGUUCCAGGUGAAGUUGCCGAAGCAGUUCAGUGUUAUCCGGGUUAUUUUAUCUGCAUUCUGGAAACUAAUCAGUAGAAAGUAAGCUUUUGGGUUUGAGAAUGAAAAGAACACAUACAGGAUUAUUCAAUGGGUAUUAUUGUUUGCGAGAAAUAAAAUAUUAAAUUCUAUGAAAGAGCCCCGAAAGAGUCCCUGUUGAUGCUAAUAAUUCUAAGCACAUGCAAAUUUAAAUUUAAUAACUAAUUAGGUAUUUUAUUUCAUUGUCAAAAAAGAAAAAAUAUACCCACUAGUUUCUGAAAGAACUUCUUGUGCAGAACAAUAGAACAUAUCUGUGCAAAAUCUAAAUGAACAGAAAUACCACUGUAUGUAAAGUGUCAUAAAUAACGAACACUGAAUUAUUUCAGCUAUUCAUGUAGAGAAUUGCCAAACACAGUUCAAGAACUACCAAAAAAUGGGUUAUUUGCAAUAAGUGAACCACUCAUACACUCAUGUGUUAAUCAGUUGCUCGGUCAUAAUGGCUAUACACUUAAGAAGAGAAAACCUGGCAUGGAAUACAUAGAGUCAUCACCAUCUGUAUACAAACAUUGUACAAUCCAAGCAUACUGAAAACCAACUCCACAUGCAGCUAUCAAAUGCACAUUUAAAACCUGUAAUAAAACCAUUUCCACAUGCAUAUAUCAAAUGCACUCUACUACCAUGUAUACAAUUAUGUUACUGGCCUGCCAAUCUUUAUAUUCUUCUCUUCAAAACUCUGGCCCCUUUUCUUACUCAUCCACUCAAAUGUGACAUUCUUUGUUUUGGGUCUGUUGAACCAUGUUCAUUCACUCAUCUGUCUCUUUUACACAUGCUCAUUUGCCCUUUGUGCCAUACGUUUUUAUGUGUAUCCUCUCAUCCAUGCAUGGUUUUGUGGAUGCUGAAACUGGUCAGCACUUAUUCUCCAUUUCUGGUUCAGUCUGUCCUCUAUCCCACCACAUGCAUGGGAUAUGGAAAAGGGAAGACUGGUGGAGCUUCCCGUAAUAUGCUUUAUGGCAAUAUUUGUGUGGAUAUAAUCCUGAAGGGCCUGAAAAAGAGCUUUCACAAGGAUGUGAAUAAUUAUAGUCAUAGUCCAAGGAAUAUUGAGUGUAGGCAUCUCCAAAACUAACUGUACUCUGCUUUCAUUCAGUAUCCAUUAAUAACCUUUAAUCGUCUUAAGUUCUAAUAUCCUCUACCCAUUAUUACAAAAUAAAUCUAAUACUACCUACUGAUGACAUAAAAAUUACCAUUUUGUAGACUGUAAUGGGCUGUGCUCUCCUGAACGCAGUGUUUUUAUAAUAUAGCUCAAAUUAUGGUAAGCAUUUCCAACUCAUUUAACACAGACACUUUUAACAGAUAUCUCAGUUGCGAACUUUAGCAUUUUUGCUGUAAGCUAUAUGUGAUAAAGGAGAAACUUAGAAGACAUUACAGUAACCAGAUGCAAGCAGAUUCUGCAAGUUAUUGUCCGGUGUUAAUAAGAGAUCAUGGAAUCGGAUCCAUUUCCAAUAAAAUCCUGGUGCCUGGCCAGCUGCCAGAAGAGGUCCAUUAUUGGUAAAGCAAUGUGAAUUAGUUUUAGAAAUGUAAAAGUUUAUUGCACACACCCGGUCUAUAUUGUAACAUAAGCCUGCAUUGCACAAUUGCUUGGUCUAAAGUCCAACAAUAUCAGUCAUUUGUCACAUUAUAAUGUUUUAGUCAGUUGAUUAUGAAGAGGAACAUUCGUGAGGUUUAGUUAGUGUUUUACCCAAAGUGAAGGCAUACAAAAUAAAAUUUAGAAAUGUCUACAACGUUAUGAUAAUGAUUUAAAGAGUAGCAUACAAAGUAAAAUUGCAUGUUGAUAUUAUAUCAACAAAGAGAUUAAUGAUACCAUAAAACUUUUGCUAGAUAGCCAGUCCGUCUACACAAAAAGUAUUACUCAGUAGAAUGGGUUAUGUCUUCUGCAGGAGCAGCGUGGACUUAUUUUCAUUUAGUUGGAGACUAACGGAGUGACUUUGGCUUAGCCUAGACUUUACAAAGAGUUCACAUUAGGGUCAGUGUGGCAAGUCGGCAGACAAACAAAUUACUAGUCCUGAACACAAGGUCACUCAGAUGUCACUGGUCAAAAAUAACUCUUUAGAAGGGGACUUGAAAGAUUAGCUACACUGACCAGACGUCCUGUAAAAAAAAACAAAAAAAACCCACAUAUUCAUAUAAUGAAAUAAAUGCAGUAGCAAAUGUUGAAAUAUUAAAGAGUAAGACCACCGCAAAUGAACAUUUCUGCAAAUUAACAUUACCGUCGGUAACAUGUUCAAGGUUAUUCACUAAAGUGUGGAUUGUCAAAAAUUGAAAUAGAAUCCAUUGUGAAUUAAACAUUUUAGGCCAAAGUAUCCAAAAAUAAAAUUUAACUGACUUUUUUCAGCUUGAUUAUUUUAGGCCUACAAUUUUUAAUUCACUUUGAAUUUCCUUGGAAUUCCAGAUAAUUCAUUCACUAAACUAUGAAUUUCAACAAAUUAAAAUCUGAAUUACAAAAUUCAGAUUAAAGUAAUAUAUCUGGAAACAUUCUCAAACUCAGCUUUAGUUAUAGUUUGUGCAUUUAAACUUUUUUUUUUCAGUUCACUACAAUUUAGAGUGUGAUAAAUAAACCUUUUAUUGAAUAUCCCUGUGUGAUAAACACAGAAGAAUUGAAGUGAAUUGAAUGACAAGUGAAGAGAAUUGGUGAGUGUAUACAUGAUGCAAACAAAAGCAAACAUACAAAUAACAGCACUUCUUACUCACAAUUUAUAGCCCCCUUUCCUCACCCUAACACAUGGACGAGAAGUUCAUCAAGUGUGAUCAGGAUUUGUACCAUUGUAAAUCUGAGCUCACACAGAAUCAGUUUCAAGAUCUCUGAACAUUUUGUUAAGUUUCCUAAGAAUGGAUUUCUUGAAUAAAAAUCAAAUUGGAAUGAUCCAAAUGCCAAAAUAUCAGUAGUAUUGUAGUAUACAGGGAUGUUUUUUUUGUAAAUCAAAUUAACAAUAAAUAUUAAAAGAUACGCUUUCAAGAGGUUCCUCUUUUCUUCAAGAAUGGCUUCUGACAAAGAAGAAAGGAAACUCUCAAAAGCUGAUCUUUCGAUAUAUAUUGUUAUUCCUAUAAAAAAGUACUCCUGUUAUAUUGGCAUUAAAAUUUCAAAUAUUGCUAUUAUUAUUGUAUCUCAGUAAAAUAAAAUGAUUAUCGUUAUUAUAUUCCUUGGGACUGGUUGUCUGGGAUUUAAGGAAACUUGAUUCAGAUAUUUGUGUAAUUCCUGCUGAGCUGAUGACAGUAUCCUGGGAAGCUGCUGGCAGAAUCCAUUCUUUCCUUGUCAAAGAUUCCAAGACAAAUCUAUUUCACCCAUUUAGUGCUGGAACGACCAGAGAACUGGGUAAAAUAACUUAAGUUUGAUCUGUGAACUCCAAAACAAAUGCUCUAAACACAACCAUAUGUGCUAACUGUGCAUUAACAGACACAAUCCAAAAACCAGAUCUAUAUUGCGUGUCCCUUUUAAUUCUGAGAGACUUUUUGAAUACAAUUAAUUGUAGAAAGCAUAACUACAUCCCAGAUAUUGUAUUAAAAAGGAAGUGGUAACUCUGUGUUAAAAUAGAGCCAGAGCCCUAGUGUCAGAUCUGAUAUUUUUAUAAGAUAGGAAGUGAUAUAAGUUUUCAUCAUGACAUGAAGCAUAUGGAAAUAUGUAUUUUAGGAGGACUAUAUAAGCCCUUAAUAUAUGUCCAAUAAACAACGGCUGACCCCCUUAUUUUUAUAGAAAAACACUAUGAAUUUGGUAGCUGUCAUAUCUGUGUAUAAGGGAAAGACUUUUUUUUUACGUUAUAUAAAGUCACAAUUUUUUACGUCAUCGAGCUUGUCUGAAAGAUGCAGUUUAUUGUUGCAUUAUGUGUAUAUUGAGAGGACGAGAUUAGUUUAUGUUGUGGUGUCUGUUUAUUGAUUUUACAGGAUAUGAUGUGUGCCUGUCUAUGAUUAUUAUUAUUUAUAUAGCGCCAACAAAUUGUGCAGCGCUGUAAAAUGGGUGGACUAACAGACAUGUAGUUGUAACCAGACGAGUUGGACGCACAAGAACAGAGGGGGUUGAGGGCCCUGUUAAGAGACUCUUAUGAAUUGUGGUGCUUGAAUACUAGGAGCUGACUGUUAAAUGUUAUGGUGUCUAUGUAUGAGGAAGAAGAUAUUUUUAUACCUUAUUCUAUUGGGUUAAGAAGAGUUUUUCAUGUUGCUGUGCCUGUGUCAGACGGAGGCUUUGCACUUUGCUGCCUUGGAGCGGGGCGAAGAUUGCUACAUAUCAUGAUGUUUGUGUAGUACUAGAGAAUGAGAAGUAUGUGUCCCUGAUGCCUCUCUAAGGAUAUGGAUAAAGUGCGUGAAAUGUCCGAAGUGUCAGACACAGAACAGUGUAAUGUGUAUCUGUUUCUCAUAUGUGCAGGAAUCCAUGGAAGAAGCAGUGACUGACAGCACAGCUUUUCUUGAGCCGCUGGAUGAGUGUAAAGUUCAAAAGUUCACUUGGAGCAAAGAGAUAUUUUUGUGAUCCCUCCCGUUAAAGGUGAAAUCCAUGCUGCCAGGUUUAAAAAAUGUAUUUCUUUUUGAGUAGAGCCUCUUAACUCGUUCCCUGCCUGGAAACAAAUUCCC